Molecule: long non-coding RNA, 129321 nt
Filed under: Malus domestica (apple)
Lineage: Eukaryota; Viridiplantae; Streptophyta; Magnoliopsida; Rosales; Rosaceae
Description: long non-coding RNA (MDOM_LNC017839)
Source: RNAcentral
AGAGAGUUUCUCUAGAUGGAUGCUUUCCGAGAUUCUUCUUCCUCCUCUUACCGGUGUUCCUAUCAUGCCUUCUUGAGUUUCAGAGGCCCAGACACGCGCAAGGGCUUUACUGAUCACCUCUAUAUAGCCUUGGAGCAAGCAGGAAUCCACACGUUUAGAGACGAUGAUGAAAUCGAGAGAGGGGAGAAUAUUGAGUUGGAGUUAGACAAGGCGAUACAGGAGUCACAAGUAUCGAUAAUUGUCUUCUCCAAGGGCUACGCUUCCUCAAGGUGGUGUUUGAACGAACUUGUGAAGAUCGUGGAACGUAGAAAUACUGAUCGUAGACAUGUGGUUCUGCCAGUUUUCUAUGAUGUGGAUCCAUCCGAUGUCAGGAAGCAGAGUGGUUCUUUUGCUGAAGCAUUUGCCAGACAUGAGGAGCGAUUCAGUACGGAGGAGAUGGACAAGGUAGAGCAGUGGAGAAGAGCUCUUAGAGAUGUUGCAUCUUUGGGAGGAAUGGUUUUAGGAGAUCGGUAAUUUCUUUUCUCAUUAUGUUCUCACGCUAAUUGAAAGUGUCUUUUAAAUUAGAAAACUAGAUUUUAAUCCCUAAACAAGGUAGAGUUUAGAAAAAUAUUUUAUACAAGAUUAAAAAUUGAUUUUAGUCAUUAGACGUCAGCAUAUAUAUAUAUAUAUUCAAUGUCUCUUGUUUUAUUUAUAAUUUUAUGAAAAUAUUAUGAAUUUUAAUUCUAUAAGAAAAUAUUUUCGUAGAGAUUUUUCGGUACGCAUAUGUUUUUGCAUAUUUUCUUAUUUGCCACUAAUUCAUUACAAUAUAUUUAGGUACAAAUAUUUUGGUACACUGGGUUAGUAUAAUAUGUUUAGGUACGGACAUUUCGGUAAACUAGUUUAGUAUACUAUAUUUAGGUACUGACAUUUCGGUACACUAGUUUAAUAUCAUAUAGUUAGGUAUGGAAUUCUCGGUUUACUUAUGUUUUUAUAUAUUUUCUUAUGUGUCACUAAUUCACUACAAUAUAUUUAGGUACUUGCAGUUGGGUACAUUAAUUUAGUAAAAUAUAUUAUGAUACAGACGUUUAGGUAUACUAAUUCGAUAAAAUUAAAUAAAAUUUAUUAAGUUAAAUAAAAUUAAUGAAUUAAAAUGUGUAUAAUAAUAAAUUUAAAAUUUAAUGUAAUAACAUUAAAUAAGUUAUCUAUUAAAUAUAAAAACAAAAAUAUAAUAUGAAUUUGAAUUAAGUACACAUUAAGGGACUAAAAUCAAUAUUCAAUCAAACACAAGAUUUUUAUUAAAUUUUAAUUUUCUUGAAGGAUUAAAGUUCAAAAACCCUUAUAGAAAACUAAAUUUUAAUCCUUGGCAAAUACGACUUUUAGACUAAAACCAUGAGUAAAAUCAAAAUCUAAUUUUUGUCCUAUGAUACAUUAAUAACCUCAUUUAUUAAUUAUAUAUAUUUUUUAAUUAUUUCUCUUUUUCUUCCUAAUUUUUAAUGUAUUAAUUUUAUUUCACUAUAAUUUUCAUUUUCAUUUCAUUUAUCGUAAUAUAUUUUGUUGUAAACAUUUAGAUAAACUAAUUUUCGUUACAUAAUAUAUUUUGAUGUACUUUGUCUUUUUCAUUUAGGUAUAUUAAAUUCAUUAUAAUACAUUUCAAUGCAUACAUUUAGAUACACAUAUUUCGGUACAUACAUUUCGACAUAAACAUUUAGGUACAUUAAUUCAAUAUAAAAUAUUUAGAAAACUAGAUUUUAAUUCUUAAAUAAGAUGAAGUUUAGAAAAAUGUCUUAUACAAAAUUAAAAAUUGAUUUUAAUCCUUAGACUCUAUUUAAUGUCAGCACAUGUAUUCAAUGUCUAUUUUUUUUUAUUUAUAAUUUUAUAAAUUUAAAUUUUAUGAAAAUAUUAUAAAUUUUAAUUGUCAUUAUGGUAAGCAUCUUAUAUAAGAAAAUAUUUUCGUAGAGAUUUUUUGGUACACUUAUGUUUUUGCAUAUUUUCUUAUUUGCUACUAAUUCAUUACAAUAUAUUUGGGUACAAACAUUUCGGUACACUGGGUUAGUAUAAUAUGGUUAGGUGCGUAUAUUUCGGUACACUAGUUUAGUGUAAUAUAUUUAGGUACCGACAUUUGGGUACACUAGUUUAGUAUCAAAUAGUUAGAUACGGAAUUUUCGGUACACUUAUAUUUUUACAUAUUUUCUUAUGUGUCACUAAUUCACUACAAUAUAUUUAAGUACGGGCAUUUCGGUACACUAAUUUAGUAAAAUAUAUUAUGAUACAGACGUUUAGGUACACUAAUUAGGGAAAGUUAAAUAAAAUUAAUGAAUUAAAAUGUGUAUAAUAAUAAAUUUAAAAUUUAAUGUAAUAACAUUAAAUAAGUUAUCUAUUAAAUAUAAAACAAAAAUAUAAUAUGAAUUUGAAUUGAGUACACAUUAAGUGACUAAAAUCAAUAUUCAAUCUAACACCAGGUUUUUAUUAAAUUUUAAUCUUCUUGAAGGAUUAAAGUUAAAAAAAACCCCUUUUAAAUUAAGUAAAGGUUUUUUUAGCCAAAAUGAUCAUGAGAUUUGCAUAACUCACAACUUUAGUCCCUGAGAUUUAAAAUCAAUAGAAGGAGUCUUUGAGAUUGUCCACCAUCAAUCAUUUUGGUUCUUGGGUGAAAAAUUAAGUUAAAUAAGGAUCAAAAUGAUAAAAUUAUCCUUAAUUUAAUAAACAAUAGGCCAAAAUGAUUUGACCAAAUUGAGGGUAUUUUUAUCAUUUUAUCCUUAUUUUAUGGAGAUUUUUCACUAAAUAACCAAAAUGUGAACAAACUCGGGACCAAUUAUAUCGAUUUCAAAUAUCAGGACCAAAGUAAGCAGUUGUGUAUUUUGGCUAAAAAACCUUAAGUAAAAUUGUAGAUGGCAGUGAAACUUGAAGUUGUUCGAUUUUGGUUUAUAUGCUCCUAUAUAUACUGCGAUUUUGGUUUAUAUUUUUCUAUCGAUUUUGGUUUAUUUGUUCUCAUGCUUAUUUCUGCGUCGUAUAUUUCGAUUCAAAUGAAUUACAGGCAUGAGGGGCAGUUCAUCCGAGAAAUUGUUGAAAAGAUUAGAAAUAAAAUGGGUCACGCAGCUUUACACGUCACUCCCUUUGCAGUUGGAAUGGAUAAUCGUGUGAGACGCCUAAACAUGUGGUUACAAGAUGGAUCAAAUGAUGUUGGUUUAGCUGUCAUCUGUGGGAUGGGUGGAAUUGGCAAGAGCACCAUCGCGAAAGCCGCUUAUAACCGCAACUUUGAAAGAUUUCAAGGUAGCAGCUUUCUUGCAGGUAUACGAGAAUCUUCAGAACAAUCCAAUGGUGUUGCUCGCUUGCAAAGAAAACUUCUUUCAGAUAUCCAAAAGGGGAAAGCAAAGAAAGUAUACAAUAUGGAUGAAGGAACAAUCAGGAUCAAACAAGCCGUAGGCAAUAAAAAAGUUCUUAUUGUUCUUGAUGAUGUGAGCAACCGGGAUCAACUCAAUGCAAUUCUUGGAAUGCGAGAGUGGCUUCAUCCAGGAAGUAAAAUUAUCAUAACAACUAGACAUGAGCAUUUGUUAAAUGCUCAUGAAGUUUUUGAAAAGUUUAUGGUUCAAGAACUGGAUGAGGAUGAAUCACUUGAGCUUUUCAGUUGGCAUGCCUUCGGACAAUCCCAUCCAGUAGAAGGUUACAUGGAGCUUUCAAGACAUGUGGUGCAGCACUGUGGAGGGCUUCCAUUAGCUCUUCAAGUUCUGGGAUCUUCUCUAUCUGGAAAAAGUGUAGAAGUGUGGAAAAGUGCAUUGAAGAAGUUAGACCUGAUCCCUAAUGACAAAAUUCAAAAAGUUCUGAGGAUAAGUUUUGAUUCUUUACAAGAUGAUCAUGACAAAAAUUUAUUCCUUCAUAUAGCCAGUUUCUUCACAGGAAAGUCAAUGGAUUAUACAAGUGCAAUGUUGGACAGCUUAGAGUUUUGCACAAGGAUUGGGAUUGAAAAUCUAGUUGACAGAUACCUAGUGGAAAUUCAAGGGUCGAAGUUGGUCAUGCAUCAAUUGGUGAGAAACAUGGCAAUGGCAAUUAUUCGCGAAGAAUCACCUGAUGAUCCUGGAAAACGUAGUAGAGUGUUACAGAAUGAUGCUUCUAAUAUUUUGAGAAAAUUAAGUGUAAGAACUAAGUUUUUCAUGCGUAUGUUUUUAGUUAUGAUUUACAUGUGUAGUACUAGUUACCCAAAUGCUCUGAUUUUUUUUGCAGGGCACGGAAAAUAUUAAGGGCCUCAUGCUCAACCUUGCUAGCAAAAGAACGUUUGUUGGAAGUGAUAAAAAACAAUGCCAUGUUGAAGAUUAUGAUAGAAAUUGUUCAAGACAACGUUGGCUUGGUUUCUUGUCUUGGAAGCCAAUUAGCUUUUCCUCCACAAACUCAGCUUCUGCAUCAAAUGAGAUAGAUUUCAAAUCUGAGGCGUUUAGAAGGAUGCACAAUCUUGAAAUUCUCAUUCUCAACAACGUCAACGUCGAGGGAAGCUACGAAGAAUUUUCAAAAAGUUUAAUAUGUUUAUCUUGGAGAGGAUUCCACUUAAAAUCAAUACCAGAAAAUUUUUAUUUGGAAAACCUGGUUGUUCUUGACAUGCGAAAUAGUAGCCUACAACAUGUUUGGAAUGGGAUCAGGGUACGUAACCCUCUCUCUCUCUCUCAUUCUUUCUCUCACACAUGUCCAUUAUAUCUUCUUAGAAAUUGAUUAAUACUUGUUAUUGAAACAGUUUCUUCCGAGGCUGAAAAUUCUUAAUCUCAGUCAUUCGCAUGGCCUUAGGACAACCUCCGACUUCUCAGGACUCCCUAACCUUGAGAGAUUGAUUCUUAAAGAUUGCAUAAAUUUGGUUGAGGUUGAUGAGUCCAUCGGAUACCUAGAGAAACUUGUUGUUUUGAAUCUAGAAGGCUGCAAAAAUCUCAUGAAGCUUCCAAAAUUGAGAUCUAUUCAGGAUCUUAUUCUUUCUGGUUGCUCAAAGCUUGUGCUUGGUGCCAAUACGACUGCCACAACUGGUCACUUACAAUCUACAGCUUGUGAAAUGAAGAAACUCAAUCUGCUAUCAGCUAAAUCAUGGUAUUCAAUCUGGUCGCAGGUGUCGCCAAGAAAAAAUAUUGAACCAAGCAGUUUCUCAUUGGCAAGUUUACCACAUUCCUUGACAAGUUUACGUCUGGAUAGCUGCAAUCUAUCAGAGAUUCCGAGUGCCCUUACUAUGCUGUCUUCGUUAGAGUACUUGGAUCUGUAUAACAAUCCAAUUACAAGCCUACCAGAGAGCAUGAACAAUCUUGUUAGGCUUCACACUCUUGCAGUAGAAGGUUGCAGAAACCUCACAAUGCUUCCAGAGCUCCCACAUAGUUUGAAACAAUUGAAUGGUAGAGGUUGCACAUCAUUGAAAAGAAUAACAAAUUUACCGAACUUGCACAUAUCACCUACCGUAUAUCCCUUCGGCAUGCAAAAGGACUUAGAUUUAAUGCAUUACAAUAUAGUAUUGGACUCAAAUUUAUGGUAUUGUGGGAAACUAGUUGAUGUUGCAAGCUUGUUCAAUACACUACCAUUGAGCAGCUUUGACAUAAAACUCCUCAAAGAUAUGGAUCUAUUCGAUUUGAAACCCAACGGUGGCGUAGAGGUCCAAAGGAACAACGAUUGUGCAAGUUUUAGCAAGCCAAGGCGCUCCAAGGUUCUCUCUCUCUCUCUCUCUCUCUCUCUGCUAUGUACAAGUGCUUAUAAUAUGAUCUCUAUGGCGUAAACAAUUAGAUUGUAAUCGCAGGGAACUUUUGAAUGCGGCAUAAUUAGCAUUUUUGUGCACGAGAGCAAGAUUCCAGAUCGGUUCAAUUACAGGUGGAUGCCUCCAGAUCGGUUCGAUUACAGGAGCAUGGGUAACACUGUGUUCUCUAUUAUUGUUCCUUCACAGCCUAAUAUCAAGAUCGUAGGUUUAAAUGCAUGUAUACUGUAUGCCCGGCAAUCGGAUCGAAGCCCUGUGAUUCCAUUUGGGAUUCCAUUUGGAAACUCUCAUGCCCAUUCGCUUGAACUUAGGAAUGAGACAAAGGGCCUUAAGUGGAACUUAAGAAUGUCGACUGGGGUUGAAUGGAAAGUGAUGAACGAAGAUAUGUUAUGGCUAAGCCAUUGGAUUAUGGGGAACAAUGAAUUGGAGUGCGGGGAAAAAGUGUAUUUUAGACUAACCGAAGAUCAUGACGAUUUAUUCACAAAGGGGAUUGGAGUCCAGUUUGGGUACGAGCAGCAAAAUAAGGAUAAGGAGGAUGUCCCAUCAAGUAGUGAAGAUCCAAUGAUCCUACCUGACAGAUCGCCUUGGGACGGCGGUCACGCUUCCAGCUGGGUAACGGAUUCAUGUCAGAGAUUUAUCGGGCCGAAAUGGAUCGAGAACCUUAAGAAGGAAUCUAUUUCAACUGUCGUGUGCGCGGCUAAUUACUCUCUCUGUAACCAUGAAGUGAUCGACCUUGAGAACGAGUCCCGCAUGACGCCAUGGUAACGAGUGCUCUAAACUAUUACCCAGGUUAAUUCAAAUUGAUGGUGAUGAUGCACAAAUCACUAAAUUCAAAUGUGUAUUGGUUGUUAAGCUUCGUUUCUAUCCAUUUUCAAUUUUCCCUAAAAAAUUGUUUUCAAUAAAACCUGUUUUGAAGAAAAAUAAAGUUUCAGAGCCCAACUAGAAAAUAAGCCCACGAGUUGUGGUGUGAACUAACUGUUUCAGGCGUAACUGCAUGAAUAAGACACAUUUCACACGUAACUGAAUAAAUAAGACACAAAGUGCAAGAAGUAAAGCUCAUAUUUAGCAGUGUUAUUUUAACAACAAUUGUUCAAGUGGUGGAUUGCCCCGGUGGGUAGGGCAUUUCUCUUAGUCCUACUGCAUUCCGGGUUCAAAGUUCCAACCAUCCCCCGUACCAGUUUAAGCACACCAAAGACCAAAUUUAGCAUGUUCUGUCGUCAUCCACCCAACCCAGCAGAUAUACAAAAUUCAAAUAGAACUUGGCAAAUUCAUCCUCUUAAAAUACAAAACGAAAAUAAUUUAUGAUCACUGACCUCUGAGAAUCGAAUGAUAUUCGGAUUCUUCAAUGAUCUGUGGUUCAUGAUUUCCCCUUGAACAUGUUCAUCCAUCUGCAUCACCAAAAAAAAAAAAUAUUUAAAAAAAAUACAAAAUGAAAAUAGUUUAUGAUCACUAACCUCUUUGGAUCGAAUGAUAUUCGGAUGGUCCAGUGAUCUAUGGUUCAUGAUUUCCCAUUGAACAUGUUCAUCUAUCUGCAUCACCAAAAAAUUAAUAAAUAUUUUAAAAAAAAUACAAAAUUUAAAGGAUAAGAAUUGCGAAGAUUCUUAGGUCUUAGUUCGAAAUGUAAUAGCUCAUCUCACCUCCAUAUAUUACCAAAUCUUAGUCUAUAUGAUUUUGCCAGAGCCACCGAAUGUUGAUAUAUAUCUGUUGCAUGUUCUACUACCAUCAACAUUAUAAAGGUUUCUAAUUGAAUCAUAUAUUUAAAAUCCAAGCAUGAAAGUUUUACAAAGAUAAAUAAACAAAUGUAAAUAACUAAUUAGGCAAUACACAGCAGAGAGGGGAGAGAGAGAGAGAGAGAGCAAUUGAAGGGAAUGCAUAGUUAUCUCUAUCUUCGGAAAAAAAAAAAGAAAAAAAGAGAGCAGUUGAAGGAGUGAGAAGCAAAGCAGCAUACCAAGUGGAGAGUAAGCAAUUAAGCAUAGUCAUCUCACGUACGGAUUGCCUGAGAACUGAUCUUUGCUUCUCUUCCUUAUGAUCCUCUUAAAUGCAAUUCUACACAUUUCUAAACCAAAAUUGCAAAGCAGAAUUCAAAGAAAUUUAAAGAAACCUAGUAAAGAUUCAAACUUUUUUAUUAUCCAAAAGAUGUACAUAACCCCAUGUAACAAAAACAAAUUUAUGACACAAAAGAAAUUAUCUUUAGCCACAAAAAGCAAAAAAGAGAAAGAGAGAGAUUUUGCUUUUUGCACUAUGCAGAAUGUGCAGAGAAUCAAAAUAUCAUAACCCAUUUAACAACAUGAUAUUUUAGGCAAAAAGGCAUCACCUUUAGACCCCAAAUGAAAGAAUUUGAGAGAGAGCGCAUACGUGGUUUCCAAGAAGAGGAAGAGAGCAAUUCUAUUUCCUGUAAAAACGAAGAAACAGAGCAUUAACAAACACACAUGCACAAAUCUCAAAAGGAAAUUGGUAAGAAAUAAUCGUAAUUGAGAAAAUAAUUAGAAAACUAGAGAGGACACAAUUGGAGUCUAAUUCUACAGAACCCACGAGUCAAGACAAACAAAUAUCCAAAAUUAACAGAUUACAGUAACAACAUUCCAACAAAAGUAAGAAGACCAGAAAAAUUAUCUAUUCUAAAGUACAUUAGUUCCAUCAUGCAUAAAUCAAGGGAGUCACGGAAGGCCAGUAUCUUAAGGUAAUCCAACAUGUUAAAGCAUCCAAACAGAGACUCAGAAUUACAAAACGCAUGAAAAUUCACAUUCCAACGUGUUAUGCAAUCACCAAUUUCAGAUCAACCAAAACCAAAUAAAUUUAUAUCAGUACGCAUCAAACCCACCAAACCCAAAAUCAAAAGAAGGUGAUCAAAUGUUUGAUUUUGCUAAAUAUUACAAAAUAAAAUAAAUAAGAAUAUGUACAAAUCAACAUGCAUACCUUGUAGCGGUGCAGGGAACAGUAGCGUGAGCUGCAUCGAGGGCAUGUGUACUGGGAAAAUUGCUACUGGCAGCUGCAACUAACAAAAACAAAAACAAAACAAAAUUGAAUAAAAUCAAAAUUGGAAAAAUUUCCAGAAAAUAAAUAAAACAAAUUAUCAAGCUUUGUUGAUGAAAGAGAGGUGGGGUUGGUGAAGAACAUACAUGCGGCUAUGAGCAGUAGAUAAAAGAUUUCAAAAUGAUUUCUUCACUUUUCAAUCAGGACAUGCACGAAUAUAAAAAUGGCAGAGAGGAUUAAAACCAUACCAAACACUAGAAAAUCAAGUAUAAAAAUCGUACUUACCUUGUGAAUGAGGACAUGCAGACACAUGAUGGAUGAAGGACAGCAAAUCCCGCAUACACGAACCUAACUUGCCAUUGUUCGCCACCCCCACCCCUCCCUAUCUCUCUCUCCCUGCAAUCCCAACGAUUUCUCUCACUGUCAUCCUCCCACUCCCGAAUCGAAUAUCCGCACGAAAUCUCUCUCUCUCUCUCUCUCACUCGGUUUCUCUCACUGUCACCCUCCCACUCCCGAAUCAAAGAUCCGCACGAAAUCUCUCUCCCUCUACAAGCAGCAUGGCCGCUGUCCCUCUCUGUCUGCCCUCACCAUCAAUCCCAAUCCCAAAAUUAAGAUGACAAAAGUGCCCUGCAACCCUUUAAUUCUAGCCGCGUGAUCCUAACCCUAGAUGAAUAUUUCUGGAAUUUGAACACCCAAAGUAUCUCAUCAAAUGUGGAUGUACCUGUCAUAGUAUGAAUCUGAGAAUUUCUCAAUUCAACUCUCGAAUUUACUGUGACAGUAAUAAUAUAUCAUGUGGAAAGAGGUGGGAUUAUGGUAAAAGAUAGAACUUUAGCUGAUGGUAAACAACAUUUGGGAAUUUGAUGUAAGCCGGCUGGGAAUCCCAAAUGUUGUUUACCAUAAGUUAAAAUCUAAUCUCUGAUUAAAAAAAUAAUAAUAAAAAGCACACCUCAAACUGAUAAGGACCAUAAUUUUCAAGGGACACUGCUUUUCAAUGGUUACCAUAAAAAAAAAUAAUGAAAGAACUGAUCAUUUGAAUUAUUCAUGACAGAACCAAUUUUGAUUUGAAAUAUGAUGGCCAAGAACAAAUCACACUGCUUUUCAAUGGUUACCAUAAAUUUUCAGAAGUUACAGAAGAUUUUUUAUCAAUUGAAAAGACAAUGGUCACAUAUAUCUACAAUUAACCACCAGUAAGCGUGAAAUACUACAUCACAAUGCAAUAGCAGCUAUACAGGAUGUCAUGCCAUUCAUACUAUGACAAAUCACAAAAGUGACAAUUAAAGGGCACCUAACAGACACCCCCAUCUCUCUCUCUCUCUGCAAUAGCAGAAAUCCCUCGGGUUUCAGGAAGCAAAUGGAAAACAAAAUGCUUUUACAUCCCCUACCCAUACCCAUACCCCUCCCUUACCCAUUCCCUUUACCCUUGCAGAAAAUCCUCCCAUCUCUCUCUCACCCUUGUCCCAUCUCUCUGUCUGCAAAUCGCAGAAAAGAAACCCUGAACAAAUCACUGAAAUCCCUCGCCUAAAUCCUCCCACAUUUCUCUCAGACACCCUCUAUCUCUCUCUCUCUUUGCAAACCCUAAACCAAAUCUCCUAAAUUCUAUCUCGGACACCCCACAUACAGCCAAGAAGCCAAGAUAUUAAAGCAAUCUCUACAUAAUACUUUGGAACAAUGAAGCAAAAUGGUACUUACUUGUUCCUUGUCCAAAACCGUUGGUGCCGCCGCACAUUGUUAUUAAUUGUGGGUUGAUCAAAUCCUUCAUGGCUUAGACUGCAUGAAGAAUUAGAAACUAAAAGAUGAAUAUAUGCUGUAAAUCAUCAUAUAAAUGUAACUGCAUUUAAAAAAAGAAGGGAAUGAAAAAUUGAAUUCUAUUUCAUCAGUAUGUAACUGCAUGAAAAGUUACAUUGAAUGCAGACUCAAUCAAUUUCCCCAAAGUCAUUGUUAACUGAAAAUCAAUAUCAAACCCAUAAAUACCACCAUUGAAUUUGCGAAACCCAAAAACAAAAUACAAAAAUUUACUCAUAUAAUCACAGAAAAACAUGAAAUUUGAGCACAUAUUUGGCAAAGUUAAAGGAUAAAGGCACUCACAUCAUCGUAGUACUCUUCGGGAAGAACUUCUAAUAAUGGUUCUUCCUUUUUCUUGCUCUUCCUCAGAGCUGCCAUAAAAAAACCCAGAGAAGCACACAAAUUCAGAAAAGAAAAGGUCCAAAACAGCCAUAAAAAAUCCAGAAAGCAUACAAAUUUAUCAGAACAAAAACCAAAUGAUGUGAGAUAGUGAGAGGUUGUGUUAGGCACCCGUAACACGUUUUGGUUUCAAUUAAAACGGCCAGAGCGUUGCAUGCGAGGAAGAUGACGAUAGGAUUCCAAACACAACAUCCACAUUCUUUUUUCUUGGGUGAACUAACCAAAUCAUAUUAUAUACUAAAAUGACAUAAAAAAUCAUUCACAAAAUCACAACAAAAUAGAACAAAAACAUUCACAAAAGAAUUCCCCAAGUUUUCAAAUGGAAAUUAAACAUUUACAUAGCUUAUAUAAAAAGCCGAAAUAUAAAAAUUAAUCAAAAGGUUGAGAUAACUCACAUCCCAGUAAUGCUUAUUGCUGAUAUUAACACCCACUGACAGCAGCCCUCGGUUUGUGGAAUUCCCACGCCCAACUCCAUGACCUCUGUCUCUGCCAUCCCUCUUUCCCUCACAACCAUACCCACUUUCGACCCACCCCUCAAUCCCGACACCAACCCUUGAUUUAAGGAGGAAAAAUCAAUCCAACCACCCUUUUCGCAAGCCUCACUCCUCCCUCUCCCUUCCCCUCCCUGCCAAUCCCAUGCCCAUCUCCCUCGUUGUAGCUCAGCAACCCACGUUUUUUGGCACCAAACACUAUGUCCUAGGAUGAUGUGACAAUUUAUCAAAGUCAGAAAAUGCAUUAUCUCAGUUUAGGUUGGUAGCAUAUAUGAUCCCUGUGCAGCAACAUAGAAUACUUAGUAAAAGUUGCAUUUCUGAGAACAAAUAACCAAUGCUUGACCGAAAAAACAAUGCAGAUGCUUUAGUAUACAGAAUUACAGUUUUAUUCAAGCUUCUCAGUCACAAACUAACCUUCCUUUGUCGAGCAGCAAGGAGGAGGGGGAGAAAAUUGAUUCCUGGAGGAGCUUUUUCGUUCAAAACUAAGUCAAGCUGCAAGGACGAAGGGUCGAGGAUUGUUCGUGAGCUGGUGUUGCGGAUAUAAACAUAUAGAAAGCUCCACUGUGUCAUAACAAACACAAAUUGAAUAUGAUCACCAUGUCACAUUAAUUACCUAAAAUUCAAAAUGUUAUAUACAUUAGUAUGUUGAAAAAAUUAGUUACAUUUCAUUAAACUAAAAAAUUUACAGAAUAUGAGAAAUAAAGAAUUUGUAUUGUUUAUAUAAAAAUAGAAUAACAAAGAACAUCAUUGACUACCAUUUUAUUCGGUAGUUUCCUCCAACUGCAAUUGUUGAGAUUGUAGGAGAUCUUCGAAUAAAGCCUUCAAUUCAACCAUCCGUACACAAACAUAAUAGACAAUGUUUUUUAGCGAAUUAUGGACAAAGCUUAAUAUUCAAAUGCAAUGAAGUGGAAAACACAAUCCAAUAUAUGGAUAUGCAUGCUAUAGGAAACCAUUCAUUUGUAGAUGGUAUUGUGUCACCAAUAUUGUAUUUAAAAAUCUACCCAAGAUAAAGAUGCAAUAUAUAGUUUGGUAAAAAAUCAAAACGAAGAGUUAACAAAGGAAAAGGAUUAAGACGUUGAAAAUACAAAACUGGAUUCUUUUAUUUGGUAAAGACGGUUCCCCCACUGGCUGUCUGAAACCACAAACACUUUUUACAUAGAAACUUUAUAAACUAAUAGAUUAAAAUAAAUCUAAGUGUUAUAAAUGAAAAAUCCUGGGAUUGAUAGUAAUGGCAUCAACAGUGCCACCACAUCCCAAAUAAAUGAAUGAAAAUAUAGUGAUUAACAUCCAACAAAGAAGCUCAAGCUUGAAAUAAACCAAGGCAUAAAAGCUUACCAAACUUUUCAAAUGGCUAAAUUGUUCAUUUAACAUGAUAACUUCUUCCUGCAAUCCAUAAGUAAGACCAUUAGAUGCGGUAAACAAAACAUCAUACUUCAUAUAUGGCAAUCUAGCAGAGAAACCAAUUGCAUUCAGAUGGAGCCUAAUUUGUGGAACUACAUUUAUAUGCACUGAAAUGCAUUAUCAUGUUGUCAUAUUUAAAAACUGAGGUUUAUGCAGUAUGCUAUCUUUAGCAUACACAAAAUUUUUGCCCCUCAUUUUUGAAGUUCCGCACUUCAUAAUUUAUAUACUUUCAGUUUCCCUUCUAAUGAAGGUAUGGACUGCUUUCCAUUUGGAAUUUUCGUAAGACAAUGUUAUGAUAUUCCUAAUUUAGAAUGUGUUUCCACUCUAAUGAAUGCAAGCCCUAAAUCAUAAAUAUUGUACAAUUAUGUGUUUGAGCACGUGGCAGGGCAUGAGAAUCAGAACCACUCCGUGUUGUUCUCCGCUUCGUGAUUUGGUCAUCAAACAAUACUUCAUUCCCUCCAUCCUUUAUCACGUCUUCUUGGUGAUCAUUUGUCCAUCUCCAAACUGUAUCCACAAAAAACUACAAAUUAAUCCCAAAAACAAUCAUACAAAAAAAUUGCGGAUUAGAUUUGAUUACGUACCAUUUUCCCAGGAUGUAGAGCUCAGUGAUGAUGCCCUCCUCGCUUUGCACCUUAAACAUCGACAUUUUAAACCAGAAACCAAAAUCAAACAAACAUAAAGAAAUACGACUGACAGAAUCACACUGUAAGACACCACUCCCUCGCUUCCACGGUUCCAACCACAACACCAAAAACAACAAUAACAAUAAUAACAAUGUACACUCAGACAAAACAAAAAUGCACCACAGCCCUCCAGUGCUAUAACAGCACUUCUCUUCUAGGACAACUUUGAUAUCUAUGGACUGUUCCCUUCUCCAUGUUACAACGAUAGUAUUAGAGCUCUUACAACAUCACAGAUGCAUGACCAAGAGUGUAUUCGACAACCUUUUCUCUGAUCCUUUUCAUCAGUUGGUCCUAAAGAUUGUAUUCUUCUAAAUUCAUCUUCUUUUUGGGUAUCCAGAGACAUUUAUCACUUCAUAUGCCGAACACAAAACACCUAACAUUUUGGGUGACAAAUUAGAAGCAACUAAUCGGAAUAUGGGUACUGAGAAUUGAAUUACUCUUUGUUCUUAUAGUCCUAAUGGAAAUUACUCGUUGAUUCACAAAAUUAAUCAAACUAAAAUGCAAGAAAAGCAAAAUCAACAACCCAUACAGAAUUAUGAAAAGAUCCCAACAAACCAACCAAACAAUUAACAUUUAAAAAAAAAAAUUGCAAAGUUGGAGGGAAAGAAGCACGAGAAAAAAUAUACACAUCCAAUGCUUUUAAUCUAAAGCUAGAAGUAGGAAUAACUGAGUAAGUUAAUGAAGGCAAAGCAGAGGGUAGGAAGCAGAACAUACCAAGAGACCAAUAGGGCAUCCGGGCCGGUCUGCCGAUGAACGCCGUGUCCUGGUCGACAACGCCCAACGGCGUCGGCCCUGCAAAGAAGUAAAAGUCGAAAACACUCCCAAUGACCUUGUAGGUGAGAGAAGUCCCUCUGUAGAACACAUCCAUGCCAUUGCUGUUGAUCAGCAUAACAGAGUGCGCGUAAGCCUCGUUGCCCACAUUCUGGAGAUCCAUGUAAAACCGGGUGGGACCCGUACAAAUCAGUGUUGAGAUUGAUCGCCGAGACUUCAGUGGUGAAGAGGGUGUGUGGAUCGUUCGGGUAGAGCUUGAUCCCGUGCGGCUGAGUGUUCUCUCCGAGGCCGUACAGGGAGGCGUCUUUCGGCGGUCGGGUGGAUAUCUCGAGGUACUGGUCCUUAAACACCAGUUCGCCAUAUGGGUCUUUGGAGUAGGAGCUCAAAUGAAGAGGACCUGCCCGUUGGACUUCCUCUUGAAGGCGAACCCAAAUGGGUCGGAGAUGAAGCUGAGAAUGAGCUCAGAGCCGGAGUAGUCUGAGACUUCGAUGGGGUUCUUCGUCUUCGCCUGAAACACGUUUUGGUUUCAAUUGAAAAGGCCAGAGCCUUGCAUGCGAGGAAGAUGACGAUAGGAUUCCAGAGAUAGAGAAAGAAGGAGUAAGACGACGGAGGCGAGAGAAGGAAGACGGCGGCAAGAGGAGGAUAGGACGGAGGCGAGACCAUCUGUAUCGUAGGUCUGUGAGACGUACAAGGCAAGGAGGGUUUGAGAAGGAAACGGAAAAGGCCUGCUUUACCAUUGCUAUUCCCUUCCCGCGAUCAUCAAGGCGUGCGCAACAAGAUCAGCGGCAGAGAGAGUCUGUGGCAAAUUUGUAUAUAAAUUGAAAUUCAUCCCAAAACAUUGUUCAUUUGAAUAAUGCAAUUGGAAUCCCUUCUUUAGACAAAAGUAAUUUUUAAGUAGAAUGCCAACUUAGAUUUUGAGGAAAACUAAUGAAAAUGACUUGAAAACUUUGAGUUUUAAUGAUAAGGACAAAAUAAAUGGUAAAGUGAAUAGUAUCAUAAUUGACUUUUUAGUGUAAAAAUAUGAUUUUUCGUUAAAAUGAAUAUUACCGCGGGUUUUUCAUUAAAACUCCCUAGAUUUUAUGCAAACCAAAACCUUACCAUUAUUCAUACUUGCCAGAAGGCCUCAGAAGUCUCCACUAAAAUGCUUCCCUAAGCACAAGUACAUAAUAAUGCCACUGACAACUAGCUCGUCGAUCACCUCAGCGCUGCGGUUAAUGCUUUCGGCGCCACUUUUACAUUUCACUCUUAGUAAGAUGAGAUGAAGACGGGUUCUCAGAAGAUCCAAUUCCGGUAUCUCAAUUCAAUUGCGCAAUUGUUCCUCGUUGUAACUCGAUCUUGAGUAUUGUACAACCAUCAUAUUGCCAACAGCCUUUGAGUCCCGACUACAAGCAGAAGCAUUUACCAAGUUGUCACAAGGCCCGUCAAUACUGGCAGUGUCAUCAGCGGAGGAUGAGUGAUUAAUCGUGCUUCUGUUCUUGUUUUCAGUUUCCAUUCUAUCAUUUUCUGUAAUGACACCUAGAGUUUCAGCCGCUUCAACCACUUGCGAUUCAACAGAUGUCUUGCAAAUAACAGCGGGAUCAAUAUCAUGGCUGUGGUAAUCAUCAGGAUGAGUUACUUUGCAUUGCUCUACAAACUCCAUUGUUGAGGAAAGGAUAUUCAUGUCCUUGUCCAUCGUAUUUUCUUGGCUAUUUCUAUUUAAGAUGUCAUCCUCAAAUCCGGUUGGAUUAGUGCGAGCAUCAUCUGCAGGAGACAGGUCUUCAUCUAUCUGUUAAACAAUGACCUGUGUUUGCUUUCAGAGAAGACACUGCUAGACACAACCUCGUCAACAGAAUGCAACCCUAGUGGGGAAAUGCAGAUGAAAGAGGGAUCAACUUUUCAUCGCCAGUAAUUUCUUCUCCAUAACUCUCAUUACAUACGCCAUUUCCACGUGCUACCACAUUACUCGGUUAGGUAGCCACUACCUUUGGUUCUCUCAGCAGCUACAUCUCCAUUACCACAGUUAUUCGCAUUUGGAGAUAAUACUUCCUCAUUUAUUGGAUCCUCAUUUACUAAUCCUUGAUCUCGAUUGGCAAAAGAUGCCACAUUUAUAGUGGUAUCAUUGCUUUCCAAAUUAACUAGUCCACUUAAUUGCUUCUGUACAAAGACUGCUAAAGAAACAGCAUGAUCACGAAUCAAAGAAUCAUGAGACGGGUAGUGUAGCAUAUCGAUCAAGGCCUUAUGGUACUGUGUGGCAGAUAUUAAUAACUUUGAGUAUAUGUUCACACAGGUUGCCCAUUUCUGCCCAAUGGCAGUUGCAAAUACCAAACUCGUCAAUAACUUUUGCACGAGUACCUUCUAUGAUAAUAUUGCAGUUAAGAAUCUUCAAAGCUUUACGCCAAGAUGUUAAACCACUCGCCCACUCAUCUUUCCAAUAUUGUGCAAAAUCAUCAUUCUCAGAAUAUUCAUCAAGCCAGAAGAAGGAAUGCACUUUUGUACCCAGCUUAUUAACCAACCAAUCAACUCGUUUUUACACUCUAGGUUUAUUCUCGUUCAAUAACCUAAGCUUUAGUGGCUGUGCUAGAACUCCAUUGCCGCAGAGGUUUCCUAGCUAGCAAGAGGAAGAGUUUGUAGUGCAGAUACCCACAUCCCUGAGUCAAAAGACAUUUUUCUUGUGCGAGUUAUUCAAGAUAAAGCAAAAGAAAAUUAAGGACCCUGUUUAAAGAGAAGGGGGUGAAGGAAUUAAACGACACACUUGUUACUUCGUAUCAUAAGGCAAAAUAUACCUCUACUAAAGAUGAUAGUAACUUAGCUAAUUCUAGGAUACUAAGUUGCCUUAAAGUAAUCUAUAAAAUCUUAUUCAUCAAGAAAAUCUUCUAUGAAGUCCUCAGACAAACGCUCGGCUCCUCGUUGUUGACAGAUGUUAUCCACUGCUUGACGAAGCCUUCUUGACAUUGUAGCUCGCAUCUCAUUGUCCACACAUUUCUUUACUAAGUUUGUAUGCCAUGCAUGAGGAACCCGCCAAAAGCUUAUCAACACUGAACACUGAAAUACAUCCCUGAGUAUAAUGAAAUAAAACUGUCAGUAUCAAGUUUGGGCGAGGACUGAGCAACCAACAGGAUGGUGAGCACAUCAGCUAGAGGAUCAUCCACUAUGAAACUAGCCAACUUCCAAACAGGAUCUUUCGUUUCAAUUCUAUUGUGAAGAGCUCUCAUCCAUUUAUGGGCAUUGGAACUUCCAAACUUUGGAGCCACUAUCCACGCCACCGGGAUAGUAAUAAUGUUGCAUGUCACAUCCCGGCCCGGGACAGAUCACUUCCCGGGCCCACUCCACCACCAUAGCACGAUAUUGUCCGCUUUGGGCUUACCAUUCCCUCACGGUUUUGUUUUUGGGAACUCACGAGCAACUUCCCAGUGGGUCACUCAUCCUAGGAGUGCUCUGGCCUCCUUCUCGUUUAACUUCGGAGUUCCUAUGGAACCCGAAGCCAGUGAGUUCCCAAAAGGAGUGAGUUCUCAAAAGGCCUCGUGCUAGGUAGAGAUGGGAAUAUACAUUUAAGGAUCACUCCCCUGGGCGAUGUGGGAUGUCACAAUCCACCCCCCUUAGGGGCCCGACGUCCUCGUCGGCACACCACGGCCAGGGUUAGGCUCUGAUACCAAUUUGUCACAUCCCGGCCCGGGGCGGAUCACUUCCCGGGCCCGCUCCACCACCAUAGCACGAUAUUGUCCUCUUUGGGCUUACCAUUCCCUCACGGUUUUGUUUUUGGAAACUCACGAGCAACUUCCCAGUGGGUCUAUCCUAGGAGUGCUCUGGCCUCCUUCUCGCUUAACUUCGGAGUUCCUAUAGAACCCGAAGCCAGUGAGUUCCCAAAAGGCCUCGUGCUAGGGUAGAGAUGAGAAUAUACAUUUAAGGAUCACUCCCCUGGACGAUAUGGGAUGUCACAUUGCAACAUGAACAUAUUCGGUUUCUCAUUAUUAUUAACAAUUGUAGUUAAUAAUAAAAGGUUAAACAAACUAAACGGACCUUCAAUUUGGUUGUUCCGAACCUUGAAUCAGAAAGCUAUAAGGCUGUGAUUGCCGAAGCAAAUCAUCUGUUGCAACUGCCACUCUGUUUGAAUGCCCAAAGUGAAAGGGUCCACAUAAGAGAAAUCCUAAUAGAAGAAAACAUGACUCUGAUGGUUUUCUACCCACAUGCUAAUGCUAACCGCAUCAUCAGCAUCCAAUUCAUAUAUAGAGCAUCGAAUGACCCUCUCCUGCCUCGAACAUACCUAUAGGUUAAAAGGUCAUCACGGUUAGAUGGACCACCCUGUUUCUCUACAGAUUCAUCGUGUCUCUGCAUUAUAGUCUCCACAGAGACCCCCGCAUAUAACAAAGAUUGUACACGAAGAAGCAGAUCCUCAGAGAUACAAGGGGCAAAUAUAGCACGUGUUCCAGCAGCCAUCUUAUCUUGUGGACCAUGGCAUGGCACUCAUUUCCUAUCUACAUGCUUAUCCUGAUUAUAUAUGAUACGCGCCACUAAAGAAUACCUAGAAUACCAUCAACCUUUGGUUUGUUAGGCGUCUAUGGCUGCCGCCGUCGCCUCGCUUCAACAUGAAAUCUUGUUGGACAUUCUUUAUUAGAGCAUUCACCCCUCAGAAAAUCGUCAACUCUAGGAAACGGAAUUAGAGCAACUCCAUCUUUCUUGUCCCGCCAACCUUCCACCUUUGACCACACAAGAUCAGAAGAAGAAAACUCCAGUGCAGGUGGACUCUGCACAGGAAGGGACAUAAUCUCAUCCCAUCUAGCCAUCUACAACAAAUAAAACGGAAAUGACAAAUUUAAUACAAUAGUCAUUUUAACAGAAGAAUCAAGACCAAAAUCCCAAUAGUCACACUCACACCUAACCCUUAACUAUUAGUUGAAUAAAAGGUUUUUCUAAUCGAAAAAAUGAACAAAAAUGGCGGAUUUUGCAACUGGCUUCGUAAAAUCACACGUUAAUAACAGUAAUAGAGGUCCUUUUUACUCUAAGCAGUACAAAAGAAAGUCAAAAACUUCAUAUCUGAUAACAAGAAAACAAACAAACAAACAAAAAAGAAGAAACAAUUUAAUUCAUGCAAUACAUUUCAUUCCCAACAAGAGAAGUUCAAAACUUUAGCAAACAAUUAAACUGAUUUCGUCUCUGUUUUCAUAAAUUCUCAGAAAUUAACAGUCGAAAAACACAAAUUAAAGGAAAAAAAAAGUGAAAUUCUUUGGGUUGUCAAAUAGAGAAAUUAUAUUCACACACCCAAAAUUUCUUCCACACAUUUUUAAUUUUUAUUUUAUUUUCUACACACUACUAACACUUGAUAGAAAAAGAUUAAAAAAUUAAAGGAUGUGAGGGAAGUAAUUUAGGAUGUGUGAAUAUAAUCUCCCUUUUAGAUAAGUGAAGUCGUUAGCUUCAGAGUCACACAUUGAGCUAUAUCGAUAUGUAUAGUAUCACGCCCUUUAUGCAAAAAGAUCCCCAUUUUUUCAAAAAAAUGGGGAUUAGGUGUAGGUCCACUCCACAACGAACUUUAAUGAUCUGAAUCGUUUAUUUUGUAAGGAACCAAAUCCCCUGCGGAUCCCUAAAAACUGAGCCUUCUGAGCAAAGAAUUAGGACAAUUGAAAUUUGAUCAAACGGUUACAAACAGGGCCCCUCUAAAAGUUAUAAUAAUUGUAGUCAUUGGAUUAAAUUUCAACGGCCCAAAUUCAUUGCUCAGGGGGCUCAGUUUUUGGGGAUCCAAUUCCAAUUUGUAAGUCUCAUUUCAUAGAUUAUUCUUACAAGAAUUCAAUUCAAUCCAAAAUCAUUUAUCUAUUUUGUAAGUCUCAUUCCAUAAAUGUCAUUAUAUCAUCAUUUCACGUGCUACCACAUUAUUCGGUUCAGCAGCCACUUUACCCUUGGUUCUCUCAGCAGUUACAUCUCCAUUCCCACAAUUACUCAUUUGAAGAUAAUACUUCCUCAUUCAUUGGAUCCUCAUUUCCUAAUUCUUGAUCUCGAUUGGUAAAAGACGCACAUCCAUUGUGGUAUCAUUACUUUCCAAAUUAGCUAGUCCACUUAAGGGUGCGUUUGUUGCACUGGAAUGUCUCGGAUUGGACUAGCUUUAGGAACUAAGCUGGAUUGUCUUAGAUUAGCUUAAUGAAGCAUUUGAUGCAGUAUCGGACUAAAAAGUAGGAUAAAAAUUAAUUUUCCUUUUUUUUUUAUCCAAAAACAAAGAACUCUAUCUGUCUCUCCAUUUUCUUUGGUCAAACUAUCUCUCCUCCUUUUUCUCCAUCUCUUCCAUUUUCCUUUCCCGUCCAAUUCCUUUUUCCUUUUCUUCUCGAUCACAAAUAUACACAGUUCACAUGCAAACCAAUUUUCCAUCAGACCAAACAACACCCAUCACCUGCCUUAUCAAUCCAACAAAAUUCCCAAACUUUCCCACCCUAAAAUUUGACAAUUCCAUUCAAAUUAAACAAAAGUUAGAGCUGGAAAACUGAGGAAAGAAAAAGAGAGAGAGAGAGAGAGUAAACGGAUCACCAAUAGUAGGAGGCGGCAACGCCAUAUAGUUUGAGGACGAGCAGUAGCGUAAAGGAGAAGAGGAGGCUAUGGGCCGCCAAGGCCUGCACGAACUUCAACAUUCUCCGCUAGUUCAUCAUCAUCGUAAAACAAUGUCGUCCGCUGCAAAAGUCGAGACUUUAGAUUGUGAGAAAUCUUAGGAGGAGGUUGAUGUUUCAGUAUACGCCAUUGAAACGAAAGAGGCAAGAAAUAUUCUUUCUCUCCUUCUUCUUUUUCAUCGUUCGGGUUGACCUAGAUGGCAAAAAAUCCCAAAUCACCAACCCAGAUGCCAAAAUGGCGCUGGGUUUGCAGGACGAUGGAGAUCAGAGACAACCGUUUCUGGAGAAGGGGGGUUAAUGCUACUCAUGUGGGUUCGUAGGACGCUGCUCGCAUACCAGGGAGACGGGACUAGCAAUCCCGUUGUUUUUGGGGGGCCUCGCUAAGACCUCCUAGUGAGGGAUUUAGUCGAGGCGAGUCCUCCUUUGUCCCAUUUACCUUUAGUCCCGCCAGUGAACAAACAUGGAUUGCACUAACUUUUAACUUAAGCGUCGAGUGAGAACUAAAGAAGGCAAACAAACACCCCCUUAAUUGCUUCUGUACAGAGACUGCUAGAGAAACAGCAUGAUCAAUUGAUUUUGACGGAGUUCUUCAGCUUAAUUUAUUAGUUUUGGAUUACAUUGCUCUUGUUUAAACUUUCAAGUAAUCUUUUUCCAUAUGAUUACUUCUAUUUAAGGGCUCAUGGCUUGGGAAUUGUUAUGCUAUUAUCACCUAAAUGCUCAUGUAAAUUGAAUUCGAUCAAAUUUUUACUAGAGUAGUCGAAUUUCUAUUAGAGUUGUUCUUAGUCAUGUUUGAAUUGCCAUGUUUAUCUUAUAUUUUCUUGAUGCAAACCUGGUCAUUUUUUUAUCUAUGCAUCCAGAGCAACAAUCAUGUGAUUUCUUGACAAUGAAUUGGACUUGUUUUUUUUUUUUUUUUUUUUUUGCACUUUAGUUGUUUAUAGUAACAAAUUCACUUGAUCAAUUGAUAUGUUCUUUCUGUAUAUAUAAAAAAUAUGUGCUAAAAUUCUUAAGUGUGUAUCAAUACACACACACACACACACACACACACACACACACACACACACACACACACAUAUAUAUAUAUAUAUAUAUAUAUAAUUGUAUACACAGAUGGUUAAGAAGGAAAGUAAUGGGGCAAGUGGAUCACAACUGCCAGCUGUAUGGAAUGCUCACAAUACAUCACUAUUUUGUGACGUGUGUAUCAAGGAAGUGGAGGCAGGAAAUCGUCCUGGUACCCACUUUAAAAAAGAGGGAUGGGAAAAUGUGAGUAUUAACCUAAAUAAAGAGACUGGAGAUGAGUAUAGUAAACAACAGCUAAAAAAUAAGUGGGAUGCACUUAAAGAGCAAUGGAAAUUAUGGAAAGAACUAAAGGGAAAAGAAACUGGUCUAGGAUGGAAUCCCAAGCUCAACACCGUUGAUGCUUCGGAUGAGUGGUGGCAUAAUAAAAUUCAGGUUUGUAAGCUUCUUGUUAGUUUCUGGAUGUUGUUUGUCUAUUAUUGAGCUUGAAUGCAUUUUAAUACUUGUUUCUUUAAAUUGCAGAUCAACAAAAAAUAUAAAAGUCUGCGUAGAAAAGGAAUUAGCCCUGAUAUGGAAGAUAAGCUAGAUAGGAUGUUCAUGAAUACCACUACUGGUGAUCAUGCUUGGGCACCCUCGUCUGGUGUACUUCCAUGUGAAAAUAAUGAUGAAUCUGAUGAGGAUGAUGGCAUUCAAAUUGACAGUAGUGAUUUUGAUGAUGUUAUCCCACUCAAAAAUACUCAAGCCGAUGAGAAGUAUUUGGGGAAGAAGAAAAAAAGAACUCAACAAUUUGAUACACAAGUUAAGAAAGAGAAUAAGGAUAAAGGAGUUGUUGCAAAGAAGGGGAAAUUGGGAGGUGCUGCUAAGUUGUCAGAACAGAUUGAUCGUAUGGUUAGUGCAAUUGAGAGUAGAAAUACAACAACUUCAAACAUGGCCAAGGGCUUACAAAAUAGUAGCAUUGCUGAAGUGAUGAAGAUAGUUUCAUCUUUACCUGGUGCAGGGCCUGGGAGCCCUUUGUGGUUAUUUGCAACUCGAUUAUUUCUAAAACAAGAGAAGAGAGAAAUGUUCUUAACUAUAGAAGAUCUGGACAUCAAGUUUCAAUGGCUUAACUAUGAGCAAGCUGAAAAUUAAGUGCCAUGUGAUGCAUUUAGUUUGCAAAGUUUUAUAUUUCGUGGUAGACAGUAUAGUCUAAGAUAUCUUUAAACUUGAGUUUAUUAUUUUGAUUUGUCAUUUGGGAUGGUUACUUGGAUUUCUUUGUGUUUUACUUGGGAUUAUAAUUGGAUGGUUUUGGAUUCUUUAUUUAAGAAUAAUUUUUUUUCAUGCAUGUACUCCUAUUUGUAGGAAUAAUGAUGAGAUUUUUAUUUUUUUUUCAAAAUUGCAGAUCUCUUUCAAGAUAUGGACAUCUUGCAAGAUGAGGAAGAGUUCAACCAAACUGUAUGCCUUUGUGUUCGUACUAUAGAACAUUAUUAUCAAACAUAUAUCCACAAAACACCUUGUAUGGAUUCAUCUCAAACAGGAUAUAAGUGGUUAAUGGAAAUAUUACGGGGAAAGAGGCGUUGUCAUAGGAUGUUCAGAAUGGAUAAAGAGGUAUUUAUGAGAUUGUGUAGUGACCUGCAAAACAAGUAUGGAUUGAGGGGUUCAAGGAGAAUGUGUCCUGGUGAAAUGUUAAGAAUGUUUUUGUUUAUUCUAGGACAAGGUGAAGGGAAUAGGUCAGCACAAGAACGAUUUCAACACUCCGGCGAGACUGUGAGCAGAUACUUUAGUCAGUUACUUGAUAUUGUAUGCCUUAUGGCUGUUGAUGUUAUCAAACCACUGGAUCCUAUGUUUAAUGGUGUCUCUGCAGAGAUAUUAAGCGACUCUAGAUAUAUGCCCCACUUUAAGGUAAAAAAAAAACUAGAUAUGAUACUUCUUGCUUUGUCUUAUGAAUUAAGUUAUAUUUAUUGAAAAUUGUGUUAUAAUAUUAUUUGCAGAACUGUAUUGGUGCUAUUGAUGGUGUACAUGUUCAAGCCACAAUACCUCCCGGAGAUCAAAUACCAUAUAUUGGCAGGAAAGGGACACCAACUCAAAAUGUAAUGGCCGUAUGUAAUUUUGACAUGCAAUUCAUCUUUGCAUGUGCAGGUUGGGAAGGAACUGCACAUGAUACAAGGAUAUUUUUAUCUGUUUUACGAAACGGUGCUUUAAAUUUUCCUAAGCCUCCUAAUGGUAAUGUCUCAAACUUGUGCAUAUGUUUGAAAUUUUGCAUUUGAUUAGACACUUUUUAUAGUUUCUUUUUAUAUCAUAGUAGCAUGUUUUGAACAUUACAGGAAAAUAUUAUCUUGUGAAUGCUGGGUACCCACAGAUGAGCGGCUAUUUAGGACCCUAUAAAGGUGAAAGGUAUCAUCUUCCUGAUUUUCGUAGGGGCAGAGAACCAACAGGAUCUAGAGAGGUAUUUAACCACAUACACUCUUCUCUUAGGAGUGUCAUUGAACGCACUUUUGGUGUAUGGAAAAAGAGGUGGAGCAUUUUAAGAGACAUGCCUAGUUACUCAUUUAAGAAGCAAGUAAAGAUAAUAAUCGCAACUAUGACGCUUCACAAUUAUAUAAGAAGGUAUGCCCGACGUGAUAAUCAUUUUGACAACAUGAAGGAUGACUUGGAUGAUGACACAAACUCGGAUGAAGAACAAGAAGAAUAUCAUAUUACCGAAGGACCCGAAGCACAAGAAAUAGAGACAUUGAGGAACAACAUUGCUGCAAGUUUGAUGUGUUCGUAAUUUUUUUUAUGUAUGCUUAUUUUAUUUUAUUAUUGUUUGAAGACAUUGAAGAAAAUUUUAUUUAUUUAAUAUUUGUUGUUUUUUUUUAACUUUUGGCAAUGCAACUACAAAUGUCAAAAUAAUUUGAGGGAAAAAAGAUUAGAUAUACUUGUGAGUCAUCUUUUUAACCAAAAAGUUAAUAGAAAACUAUUUUUCUCAUUACUUUAGUCUAAACUAGAAAAUGUGCCCGCGCGAUGCUGCGGGACUUAAAUGCAUCACCUUUAACUACAUGAAUAAGAUACAUUUCACCUAAAUAAAUUCAACACAAUCAUGAAUGAAGAGAGGAAUAGAUGAGUAAAUGGGGUCGGUAAGAUAUGCAACUUCGUUUUUAUAUACAUUGAACUGAACUCACAUGAAAAGACAUUGUACAAUGAACAGGACGAAACUGAAUGUUUUGGUUCCCUAAACUGAAACCCCUUGUCUCAGACACCCAACACCUCUCACCCUCAGAUAGCCCUAAACGAAGUGCCUCGUAGCAUCGAAUUGGCCUACAACACCCCCGAGCGAGAUUGAGACUACUUUUCAUAUUUUCAUUUUAAUGUACCAGCAAGGAAACGAUAGUAUAUUCCAAAAUUAGCAGUUUACAGAGAAAUAUAAAUAUUGUUUUCAAGAAAUUAAUAUGAUUGCAAAUGUAAUAGCUCCAUGCAUAGUGAGGUAGGAUAAAUGAUGGAAGACACACUGAAAUUUGAGGUCCAUAGGUUGAGAAGAGUCCAUAGCAUUGAUCCAGAUAUGGAUAGCUUGCACAGAUCUACAAUUCAAGCUCCGAAUAAAGUAUCAAUUUAUCAGCAAUUGUGACAUUCAUUAUUCCUAAAAAAGUUAUUGAUUCACAAAUAAACAAAUGAAAGUAAUCAGAAAAGAAACGCUUACCACAUGCUAGCUGAAUCCGAACUCAAAAUGACCACGAUAUUUUCCCAGCAAUGAUCACAAAGAGAUUGAUGCUUGGGACUUCUGUCCAUCCCUGAAAACAAUGGAAUAAUAUACCCAUUAAAAAACGUCACAAAAAGAUUUACAGUAACUGUCCCAACUAUUAUAAUUAUAUGGUCUUAUUGGCAUAUUCAGACUACAAAAUAAAAGCUGGCAGUUGUUUGCACUCGUAAACAAUUUCUCUUUACAAAACUAAAUAAAUUGUAAUGACCCAAGAAAUCAAAAUUUGAUUAGGCAUUAGAAACAAUGUUACCUUUUGGAGAAAAGGAUGCUCAACCAAAUGGAAGCCCAAAUUUAAAACAGCAACUGAAUGAAAAUCUGACGUUAUAAAAUCCAUAAGAAGCGUGUAAUGCGUCUAAUUUAAAAAGUCUCUCACACAUGUAAUUGCACGUAGGACGCCAGAUUCAAAAAAAAAAAAAAAACCUUGAAACCAAAGGACUGCAAAGGAUUGCUUUGUCAUAGAAAGUAAAAGAAUAAAUUGAAUCAACUGAACAUGCUUCUUGCAAACAAAGAAAGUAAAAUACGGGGGAACAAAAUCACAAAUCAACAUAGGCAUCUCUUAAGAAUUUAAAUAACCAAGAUUUUGAUGAACUGAUUGUAAGCAUAUGUGCAUAGAUGUCACUAUUUACAUAAAACAUGUAAAGGACAAUCAGUUUUGAGUUUCAAAAUAUAAAAUAUUAAAAUUUCCAUAAAAGAUAAGUAUUGGGAAACAAAGUUGGCAUCUCACCUUCCACAAUAGGUCGACAAAUCCUUUGAUUACGCUUUAGCUUCUUGUUUAACUGAAACACAAAUUCAUUGUUCAGAAUAUCAUAAUUUCAUGAAAUGGUUCACCUUUGAUUACGCUUGCUGCUUAGUGACUUGAUAAGUCGGUCACAAAGAUAACAUGUAGAAUGCAAAUAUGGAUCAGGAAAAAACAACAGCUAUAGAAUUGAUUAUAUAGAAGAAGAAUACAUACUUAUUGUGAGGUUAUCCCAGCUAUCCACUAUGACCCAAUAUAUAUAGCAAGUAAAAACUAUGGCAGCAAAGAUCUCACGUAUAUAAAUCUUGCAUAAACUUUGUUUUUGUACAAUGUCUUCUCCCUUCAAUGACAGUUUGUUUCUUAUUCAGGAAAAUAAAAUGAGCAGGUUAAUGAUACUCACAUGUGCAAAAUGCUAAUCCUAUGGUCUAAAGUUAACUGAAUUUUUUAGUGUAAAAUACCUAAUUUCACUGCAUUUCAAUUGAUCACAGUUCGUGCCUUGUUAAACUUGAUAUACCCUUAGACAUUUUGGGAACUUGACAGCUUAAAUUUUCUUUAGUUACAGAUGUGCUCAUAAAAGCAAAUUACAGCGACCCAAUAUAUACUAAAAACUUGGAGAAGGGACUCAAUUAGUUAACGAACAGGUGCCUCGCCUUUCAUGUUAAGACCAAAGAGAGAAAACCAAGCCGAACUCUUCAAAAUUCAUUGGCACACAUGCAUCAUCAGCUCAAUUGAAUGGAUAAUGCAUACUUAGAUACAACCAUUCAAACAAUUGAUGUAGAUUGACAUAAGCCUCCAAACUUCAAAAAAAUUGAAACCUUAUAAAAGCAAAACCUUUUUUCCUUCAUAUUUGAACUGUUUCGAUUACCUUAUCUCUCUAUCACUUGAUUCAUUAUUUCUAAAGGAAGUUCUAAUCACUACCAAAACAGCUUAAUAACAGUUGAUUAUCUAAAAAAAAAAAGAGGGAAAACAUGAAAUACUAACUGCACUCAAAAUCCCAAAUGUGUAACACAUGAUUCUAAUCUAAACCCUGAUUCUAAAAUUUAGAAUUCGACACAAAAAUGAAAAUUGGAAUGAUUAACAUGGAAAUGAGAGAGGGAGAAGUGUGAGGGAAUCUACACAUGAGGGCUUCGGAUCUGAGUCCAGAGCUGGAAGCGGCAGAGGUUGCGAACUUAAGAGUAUGGAAGAGGCGGGAAGGAUCCUUGUAAAAACAAUAAAAAUUAAAUAAGAAACUCGCCGGAAACUCGGAAAACCUCGUCGAAAAAACUGGACAGCAACUUACCUCGGAUUCACCUUUAACUCGUAACAAAUCUUUUCACAUUAUUCUCUAUUGCCACUUGUACUUCACUCAGUACUAAUCGAUAUAGCUGAAAGUCUGAAUCAUGAAGAAUGAGAAGUUGAAGUAUAUCAAAUGAUAAAGUUGUCAACAAUGAAGAAUGGGACAUUGACCAUGGAGACACUGCAAGAAGCAAAAGUGAGCAAAUUAAAUAAAUACCAGCAUCAACAUUUAGAAAAAAGUAAGAGCAGCAACUAUAAAUGAAGAAUGUGCAAUCAACAUUAAAAGUGUAUAAUAGGAACACGGAUCUCAUAACUAAAAGACAUUUUCUCACCAAACAAUGGAAAAUAAUUGGAGAUGCAAUUCAAUAAAAAAAGAAGUUAGCACUUGCUUAUUGCCUUCCAAAGAAGCUAAUGAAUCCAUCUGGUUGAAGAAGUGUUUAGCAUUGCCAGUAAAAACAACAAAAAUCACAUCAAAUUUCAAAUUAAUCAACUCAAUAGCAUGCGUACCUUAACAUCUAGAUGACGAAACAUUGGUUCCUCGAACGAAUCGUAAAGAUCACAAACACAAAUCAUGAAUUAGAGUUCGAAUACGCAUCUCCCGAUUUGAAACCCUAACGUAAUUCCCCACUUGGAAGAUGCAACCUUUGGGGUUCUGGCUGCUAGGGUUGAGAUGUUAAACCUUUGACUAAGAAAAUGACAUUGGGCAGCAUAGGAUACAUACUGCUCCCCCAGAUAGACCUGCAUGAAGAUUUAUCCACCAUCACAUGCGAAAAGGAAGAUGGUCAGUAUAUGUGUUUUAGUAAUCAAUCUAUAUUUGAAGCAAUGAAAAAAAAGCAUAUGACAUGAGCUAUCAUAAAUUAAAAUUAUCAACAAUCUCUUCCCAUUACGAAACAUAGAGAAACUACAAACCAUAACAAAUACAUUGAAAUACGCAAAUAUGCAGCAAAUCCCUCAAGCAAUUAAGAAAAAAAAUGCCUCUUAAAUCAGCAACCAAAUUCAAAUUAACAAAUGUCUCCAUAAAAGAAGUAAAAUGGAUGAAAAGAUACCUGGCUUUUUCAAAACAAUUCAAAUUCCACAACAUUUCAUUCAAAACAGUUCAAAAUUCAUAACCCCUCAAGCAAUUGGGGCUGUAAGUUACGUAAUCGGAUGGCUACAACCAAACGAAGAGCUUCAAUCAAUUAAAGUCAACAAAAUAUCAAUAAUUAAUCUAAAAAAAAAAAUUAAAUAAAUGAACACCAGGGGACUGAGGAAUGCUACUAAACAUCAGUAAGAACAGAAACGAAUAAUUUAAAUGCUUGAGCUUCAAUGAAAGCAUUUUACCCUUGCAAUUUUCCAAGAUAGCGGAGAGGCAAGAUGCACAUGUAUUAGUGAGAGGAUUUUCAAAGAUAUUGAGCACUUCCAAUCGAGCAGAUAGCAAAGGGCAUUCGCAAAUCUGAAGAUUGAAAUUAUUGAUCGAGACAGCCAAAUGAAUAGAGAUAUAAUCAUACAAUCCCCAAAAUCCAAAUCCAAAUCUGAAACGCCUGAUCCGUUUCUGGAAAAUGGCAGAGAAAAAUAGAAGAACUACGUUUUUAGAUGACCGGAUUGAAUUUGAGGCAGAGAGAGGGGGAGAGAAAGAGGGAGGAAGAGAAGCAGAAAAGCGAUAGAACAAAAUGGAAGACGCUUGAAGGGUCUUCCUUACCAACGACGUGAAAUCCAAUUGCCAUUUCAAGCUCCCUCAAUCACGACCUGUAGGAAAAUAUCAAACCCAAACAUAAGUUCACUGAAAUUCGAAUUCAAUAUAAUCAAACACAAACAAAAUAGCAAAAUUAAAAUAAAUAAAAAACUAAACUAAACUAUAAAUUAAAACUUUCAAUUGAAUAACCCCACAAUUUAAAUUACUAAACAGUAACAGAUUUCUCUGAGUAAUCAACUUCUCGAUUAUGGUCAUCGAACACGACAUUCUCCAAAACUGCCAAACACAUGCAACCAUAUUUGAUAAGAAUUUGAAAUAUCACUCCAAUCAUGACACAGAACAUAAACAUUUUGCGCACUGUCAUUUUUAAAGUAGAACGUUCAAUUAAAUCAUGAUGUUAAGUACCAGUCCCAAAUUUGAUAGCAUUCCAAAUAUCUGGUUCCUUGUCCAUUGACAAAUCAAUGCACUUGGCAUAGCAACCACCUUCAAUGUUUGACACACCAUUGUUGCCCCAGCAGUGCUCAUCAUCUCCAAUUAGAUACCGAUUAUGAUCCGUAGACAGAGUCGUCUUCCCAGUGCCUGCAACAAACAUCCCAGGAUCAGUUACACGAACACAAAAGAAACUGAAACACAAAAGAUUGAUGUAUCCAUCACCAAUUGAUCAUUGUACACAUAAAAUUAUCAUGAUUCAUACCUCUGCGUCGAUAUGGAAUUUUAUAAACUGGACAAAUGGAACCCAAUUUCAUCGACUUCACGGUGCAAGUGCUGUAAAAAAAUAAGCAAACACUGGCAAUAUGAUCAAGCACAUUCCAAGUAUUAAUACAUCCAAAUAAAACCUAACAUUCAUAUGCAAAUAACAAUGAAGGUAGAGAUUACUUGUAAGAGAUGAUUGCAAUUGAGUGAAUCCGCAGAACUCAGUAGACUCAAACUGCAAAACAGAUGGGGAAAAAUCAAACCCAUUAACAGAGUGAAGAAAUUUUUUAAAUCUUUAAACGAAUUCUGGACAGAAUCAUGUAAAGGGUCUGUUUUGGCUACCGAGAAACUUAGUAUACAUUUAAAUAUUAUUACAUGUUAAUACAAAAAUUUAGCUUUAUUCAGAUGGGAGAGAUCAAAGGUUGCAUCAUUCAGCUUCACACAUGGCUACAACACAAUUUCAAAAACUCUUGUCAUCUCAAAGUCACAUUCUUUAUCAAACUCCCACUCCAUAAUCGAACAGAGGUUGAUAACGGACAAAAAGAAACACAAAGUACGAAAUAUAAUCAAUAUCAUCAGUCAAAACUUACUGCAAAGGGUGAGGGGUCAACCAUGUGAUUUUUUGCCCCUUAACCUCGGCCUGCAUGGACAAACAACGGAAGAAUUCAUACCCAAAUAACACAAUAACAUAAAAUGGCAGGAAUGUAAAUAAUACAAAAUCGAGGGUCCAACACACGUUGAUAUGUCAUCGUGGUUUCCAAUUGAACCAUGAAUUCCAGAAUGUAAAUCAUACCUUGAGUAUAAGAAAACCAGAAAAGGAAAAUUAAAUCCCUCACAAAUGGUGGAAGAAAAUAUGAGAAACCUAUAUUAGUCCCAACGGUGUGAGUUUUCAUCAAAGAAGUAGACAAUCCACACGCUAAAUCACCAAUCAAACAUGAAGAUGAUCACAAAGAAGAAAUCCCUAAAACCAAUAUUUUAUUAGAGUUGAAAAUCGAAAUUAAGCCAAAACGGAACCGACACUACCCAAAUUAAGCUAAAAAUUCACUAACCCAACAUAAAGGCAAAGAAAAAUCACCUCUAGAUGACUGCCAUUGAUUCAAUGCAAAGAGAGCUCAAGCUGCUUAAUAUUGUUCUGAAAUUAGAGAGAGGGUGUGAGAGAUCAUGAGAGGACGGAGGGGCGAAUGGCGGAGUGAGAUUCAGCGCGUCUCUUCUCUGCAUAUAAAAGAUGCCGCACAAUUAUGCAACUUACUCCAUAGACUUAUAAACAUCACAAUUAUAAAUUCUGAAACUGAUAUAAAUUGAAUAGAAAUACACAAAGCAUAAACAAAUUCAGCAUAUGAACACCAAAACUUACCAAACUCAUGUGCUUGCUUGAAGCUGUUUUUGAUCAUUUUUCUACAAUCUACUGCAUAAAAAGGACCAAACUAUAACGGCAAACUAUAUAUAUAAUUUGCUAUAAUACCCAAAAAAAUUAAAUUACAUUAACAUUUGAGUGGAAGCCACGACCAAAGUGGUAAAAUUGAAGAAAACAUCAAAAUCCCAGAAAAAAAAACAAAUUCUUUCAGAAAAAAUCAAAGAAAUUUACUCAGGUAAUCAAUCAAUUAUGUACCUAAUUCCCCUGAUGUCUUGAAUAAAUAUAACACUCCAAGAUAAAUUAACUACCCAAUAUUAAUUUUUCCUGUUUCUUUCUUCUUAUUCUCGGGAAAGAAACAAACCCAAAACAAAUAAUUGAAGAAAACAUACAGAAAAUAUUGGGGAGGAGUAACAUACAAUCUGCUGAGUUCUUAUUCGCUUUGUAGAUAAGAGAUGGUGGCUUCUCAUCGAGUUCAUGUAUGUAUUGCCUGGAGUGAGAUGGUGAGCGGGCGUGAGAGAAUAGGGCAGUGAGAGAGAGUCGGGAGAGAAAAAGAGGGAAAGAAAUGGCGAUGGAAACGGACGGAAACGUAGUCGAAGCAGAGCAAUCCACGAUGAUUAACGCGUGGGCGCUCUUAAACUGUGCAAAAGCAGUGGUAAUUUUGUAAAUAAAUCGAAAUUUUCAAUUUGCGGUGAAGAGAUGAUGGUAAUUUUGUAAAUAACUCAAAAUCCACUCCAAGUUACUAUUCAUUUGAAUAGUGCAAUUGAAAAGCUUUCUUUAGACAAAAGCUAGAAAAAAUGCCCGCGCUUCGCUGCGGGUUUUGAAACUAUUAGCCAUAAUAGACGUGAAUAAUUGGCACGAAAAGAUGCAUUACAAAGGCGACACAAAUGGAGUCAUGUCCUAAAAUGAACCAGUGCAGAUGAAUAAUUUGCAAAAUCACAUUCAGUUUCAUUUCUAUAGGUCAAAAAACAAAGAAAACAUGUAUAUUAACUUGUCAUAUUUUAUAAAACUAAAAGCAUGGACAAUUCAGUGCACCUUGGUUGCACAUUUGUCAUAUCCAGCAGCUCACAUCGGCCACCCCCCACUGGAAUCCAAGGCUGAGGGAAGCCAUCUGCGGGAGUUGUCAUCUGAAGCACCACUCUUAUCUUUGCCUUUGUCUGAUUUGAUAUGUUGCUUACUAUUGCAUGGAUGCCAAGUAGCUUCAACAGCCUUCGAUGUACACAUAUCUGAAAUGCGGUCUUGUCCUACUGUUAGAAGCAAAGAUAGGAGCCCUAAUAGCAUAUUCUCAAGAGCUUCAUAGAGAGCUCUUUUGUUUCUCUUUGUCAACCACUGCAAGGAUUGCAAUUCAAAUUUAAUCAAAAUAAUUCAUUUCACAUUCAUAAUAAACCCGAAAGUGACUUGAUAAGAUGAAAUUAACCCAAUUACGUGUGAAAGGAAACCUUUCCAAUUAAAUGAAUGAAAUAUUUGAUGUGGAUCAAAACCAAAACCAAAUGAAAACAAAUAUCGACAACUGCCCAAGUUGGUGUUUGCCCCAAAGGUCUUCCUCCUCCUCCUCCUGCCAUCCUUUAAUUGAAACCCUAAUUUUCCUUACUACUAAAUAAUGCUAUUUUCGAUCUAUUUCUUUCGGUGUGUAAACUUUACUAAUUCUCGAUAAUUUUCAAUCACUUCCACUGUAAUUAAAAUAAGUACUGAGUAUAUACACACUCAUAAAAACACAAAUUCAGUUUUCCAUUCUAAAAAAUGAACGAAAGCACAUACUCCAAGUCAAUGUUCCUACUAUAUUCAUUAAUCCAACGAUGCAUCAAAUAUAAAAAUUAAAUUAUACCUCUAAUUUAUAACCUUUUGAUCUUGCUUCAUCUGCAGCUAAACCAAAAUUUGGACAAUCCCCAAUAUAAUUCCGUCAAAAUCCACAUAGCAACACCAUGUAAGAAUCAUAUUGGGUGUCUACACCCACACUUAUCAAUGUACACAUAAAUUUGAAAUCUGAAUCACUUGGGCUUCAAAGAAGGCCAAAAGUCUUUGUAUUCAAGCAUUUAAUACUCUACAGAAAUUAACUAAACACAGCCACAUUGAAUACCAAACCCACUUACUUACCAUCUUAUCCAACUCUUAUUUCGUAAAUUUUUCUGGUAAAGAAGCGUAGUUUAUCCUGAGCUCUGCAAUAGAAUAAUUCAAUUCUUCUUCAUUGCUUUUCAAUAGGAUCCCUACAAUCAAACAAACAUAAUUACUCUAGUAAAUAACUUCAAUUUAAAAUGCAAAGAUAUAACAGAAAGGAAAGUGAUUAAUUAAAAAAUAAAACUGUUAAAACAACAGACUGAUACACUUAACAUGCCAAUUUAUAUACUAUAUAACAAUACUAAAUCAAUUAAUUUAUAAAGAUUAGAAAUGGAUUACAAAAAGCAGAAAUCUUAUUUGGCAUGUAUGAAAAUGAUACACACAUUCUUAGCCAAUCAGCAUGAAAAAGGUAUAGAAAACUAAUUUACUUUGUUAACUUUGGACAACUGGAGAGAUGAAAGAACUCUUAGUUUUUACUAUAAGUAUGACAACCAUGUGAUUUCAUUGUUAAUUGGGACUGAUGUGUGUCAUUAGGAUUGCCAAAAUUAGUGAUCUUAGAGUUUGGCAGCCAAUGACCGAAUUGGACUCAAGUUUAUCAACAUUUGAUUCAACUAAACUAAAUUGGAUACGCUCAUUAGCAUAGAAAUAUGUAUACCAUAUGACAAUAUUGAAUCAAGUUAUUUGCAAAGAUUUAAAAUGCAAUGUAAAAAGGAAAAAAUUUAUUUUAUAUGUAAUAAAAUGAUUAACAAAUUUUUUAUUGAGCAGUAUAAAAAAGGUAUUAAAAACUAACCUAAUUUAUUAAGUUUGGAAAAAUUGGACAGAUAAAAGAAAGCUUUUAAUCCUUACUAUAACUAAAAUAACUAUGUUAUUUCAUUAUCAAAUAGGAUUCAUACGUGUAAUCAGGGUUAAGAAAAUCACUGAUUAAAGAAUCUGCCAGAAAUCAUCAAAUUGGACUUGAACUUACCAAUUUCUGAUUCAAAUAAACUAAGAAAAGGAGUUGGAAUCAAACUAACCUCUGUUUUCUAUAUGCAGCAAACUGCAUCUUGUUUUUGCCCUUGUUAACAACAUAUCUUCGCUCUGUACACACCAAAAAACAGUAAACACCUCAUUCAUUACUAACAGCCAUUUCAAUCAAUUAAUUAUUUAGACAAAUUUUUCAACGAUUCCGAAGCUCAGACAAAAAUUGCAUGAGAAAAUUGAGAUUAUAUGCAAUUGGAUGUCAAAGAACCUGAAAAUACCAUAUAUCCAAUAUUUAGUGCAUACACCUAAAAACUAAUCUUUAUAUAUACUUUAAAAUAAUACAGAUCAAUGUAAUCUAAAACAUUGGAAAUGCAUAUCAGUGCAAGCCAAGGUCUCAAGUUCUCAGAGUGGGGAAUUACUGAUUAGAACAGUUAAUUCUCUGCUCCUUUUUGGGUAUGAACUAAUUAGCAUAGUAGCCAUAAAAAUACGAAACAAAAGCUCAAUAAUUUAUGCAAUUUGGUUAAAUUUUAUACAAUUUCUAGCAAAACCCAAAACUCAAUAAUACAAAAGGAACCCAAUAGAUGAUUAAAGCAAUUUUAUACACAACUUAUGCAAGUCCAAAGAAACGCAUUUGAUCAAACUUACUGAAUACUGAAAAAAAAAAUUACAAUCAAAGUACGGAUUAAUAACUACCUCAACAACUAACAGAGCCAAAGCCAAACCCUAGAGCUUCGAAGGGCAGAGACGAUCACAGAGACAAGAAUAGUCCUUAUUCCUUCCCACUGCUGCUGCUGCCACUUUCUCUCUCUAAAAACCAAUUGGAAAUUGUUUAUAAAGAGACAGAGAGGAGAGGGCUAUGAUGAUUGGAUGAAAGAAGCAUGAAAAACUAAAAGACAUGUAAGCUUGAAUUCGAGUCCCAAAUUGAAAAUAUAAGGGAGGAGUGUAAGGGUGGCUUACCGAGGUCAGGAGAGGUGAGUCUCAUAGGAAAAGUCGACGAACAGUGGCAGGAGCCAGUGCACAGUGAAAGGCCUCGCCUGUGUCUCCUGAACAGAACAGAGUGAGUGAUAGUGGUUCUGUGAGAUGGAGCGAGUGGUGGUGGUGCUGUAGUCAUGUUUUGCCGGAAAAUGGAGGCUUUGGUGCGCCUCGGUGUUUACAGAGAAAAGAAAGGGGAGUCCAGGGAGCUAGUGGUUGUUUGAUGGAGUUGAGGCUCGCCGGAGUGGCGAGUUGUGAUGUGGACUCAGGCCUCUCGGCCUCUGGGUUUUACGGAGAAGGGGAAGAUGGUUUAGGGUUGAGAGAGAUGGAGGGACGGCUAGGUUUUAGAAAAGAUGAAGAAGAAUGGGGGUGAGCAGCGCUGGGGCUACAUGUUGAGGGAAAUGAAGAGAGAGCAAGAAGAAGUCGAAGGCAGUGAACCCUACGGACAAAUUUACCCUUCUAAGUUAUAAUAAUUACCCUUCCAACCCAGCCCAAAUCUGAUGGGUUCCUUGUAAAUAAGGUGAAAUCAAGUGGCAAACAAUUGACUGUAGCCAUGAACAGUAAGGAACAGUGCCAAUUGAAAAGCCUUCUUUAGACUAAAGUAAUAAGGCUUUUCAAUUGCACUAUUCAAAUGAAUAGUAACUUGGAGUGGAUUUUAAGUUAUUUACAAAAUUACCAUCAUCUCUUCAUCGCAAAUUGAAAAUUUCGAUUUUUUCACAAAUUACCACCGCUUUUGCACAGUUUAACAGCGCCCACGCGUCAGUCAUCGUGGAAUGCUCUGCUUCGACUACAUUUCCGUCCGUUUCCAUCCCCAUUUCUUUCCCUCUUUUUCUCUCCCGACUCUCUCUCACUGCCCUAUUCUCUCACUCCCGCUCACCAUCUCACUCCAAGCAAUAGAUACAUGAACUCGAUGAGAAGCCACCAUCUCUUAUCUACAAAGCGAAGAAGAACUCAGCAGAUUGUAUGUUACUCCUCCCCAAUUUUUUCUGUAUGUUUUCUUCAAUUAUUUGUUUUUGGGUUUGUUUCUUUCCCGAGAAUAAGAAGAAAGAAACAGGAAAAAUUAAUAUUGGGUAGUUAAUUUAUGUUGGACUGUUAUAUUUAUUCAAGACAUCAGGGGAAUUAGGUACAUAAUUGAUUGAUUACCUGAGUGAAUUUCUUUUAUUUUGUCUGAAAGAUUUUUUUUUUUCUGGGAUUUUGAUGUUUUCUUGAAUUUUACCACUUUGGUCGUGGCUUCCACUCAAAUGUUAAUUUAAUUUACUUUGUUUGGGUAUUAUAGCAAAUUAUAUAUAUAGUUUGCCGUUAUAGUUUGGUCCUUUUUAUGCAGUAGAUUGUAGAAAAAUGAUCAAAAAUAGCUUCAAGCAAGCACAUGAGUUUGGUAAGUUUUGGUGUUCAUACGCUGAAUUUGUUUAUGCUUUGUGUAUUGUCUAUUCAAUUUAUAUCAGUUUCAGAAUUUAUAAUUGUGAUGUUUAUAAGUCCACGGAGUAAGUUGCAUAGUUGUGCGGCAUCUUUUAUAUGCAGAGAAGAGACGUGCUGAAUCUCACUCCGCCAUUCGCCCCUCUGACCUCUCAUGAUCUCUCACACCCUCUCUCUAAUUUCAGAACAAUAUUAAGCAGCUUGAGCUCUCUUUGCAUUGAAUCAAUGGCAGUCAUCUAAGGAUGAUUUUUCUUUGCCUUUUUGUUGGAUUAGUGAAUUUUUAGCUUAAUUUGGGUAGUGUAGGUUCCGUUUUGGCUUAAUUUCGAUUUUCAACUCUAAUAAAAUAUUGGUUUUAGGGAUUUCUUCUUUGUGAUCAUCUUCAUGUUUGAUUGGUGAUUUAGCGUGUGGAUUGUCUACUUCUUUGAUGAAAACUCUCACCGUUGGGACUAAUAUAGGUUUCUCAUAUUUUUUUGCACCAUUUGUGAGGGAUUUAAUUUUCCUUUGUGGGUUUUCUUAUACUCAAGGUAUGAUUUACAUUCUGGAAUUCAUGGUUCAAUUGGAAACCACGAUGACAUAUCAACGUGUGUAGGACCCUUGAUUUUGUAUUAUUUACAUUCCUGCCAUUACCAAAAAGCAUGGGCUGCAGAGAGAGAGGGAGAUAGGCGGGGGAUGGCAGGGAGGGGAAGGGAGAGGGAGGAGUGAGGUUGCUAUAAAAAGGGGUUAUGGUUGAUUUUUUUUUCUCCUCAAAUCAAGGGUUGGUGUCGGGAUUAAGGGAUGUGUCAAAAUUGCCAAUAGAAGCCUAAAUUAAUGGGUAGUUGUCGGUGAUUGAGAGAUUGAGAGGGAGAAAAUUGGGGGAGGUUGUCACUGACCCGAUGGAGUGAGGGAUUUUGUGAGGAUUAACUAACUUAUUGACUAGGAACACAAGACAAGACAUGCUUCCGGUAAACCGCCUCCGUCGCUUUCCUCCUCUCGCCUCCGUCUACCUCCUCUCCCUUUCUUCGUCUCCCCCUCCUCCUCUCUCUCUCUCUCUAUGGAAUCGAUCGAUCUUCGAAGAGGAUAAAAAGAUCUGAAAUGGUGUGCUUCUUCUACUGUGAUUCUGUGUUUUUAAUUUUUCUGGGUUUGGCUUCUUCUUUUAUUCCACUACUAAUUUACAAAAAUAAUGAAUUUUGUACAUUUUGUUUUUAUUUUACUUUUUGUUAUAUUUCAUUGUAAUAUCAAAUAGAGUUGGUAUUUUAAAAUCUCACUGCAAUGUUUUUUGUUAUAUUGUUGGUGGGUAUCUUUAAUUAUGCCCUGAUGGAGAAAGGCAAAGAGGACAGACCUGGAUUUGGGGCAUAAAAGGGAUCUUUAGAUUUCUGUGAAAGUACUUUGUGCCUUUUUGCUAUUGGUGAUGAGUGUUCAUGAAUAUUUAUGCUUUAAUAUAGCUGUUACAGGAGCAAGUUGUUUAGUUAAAAUCCUAAGAAGAUUAGGGUAAAACAUUCCGGCUCUCUCAUUAUUGAUAGUCUGAAUUUCUGCAAUCUCUGAGAUAUAUUUGGGAUAGUUUUAUAGUGAUAUACAUCAAGGUUCAAGAAAAACUUUGCUGCACUGCACUAUAGGAGUAUCUGGUUGAUGAAAUUUUUCUGAUUUAAGCAUUUAGCUCCUCGAUUGCAUUAAAUCAGUAUUUAAAGAAGUUUUUGUCUGAGAAUGCAUUGAUAGAAUUUUUUUUGCCCAAAAAUUAACUCACAGAGCUUCCUGUGAGUUAGUCUUAGCUUUUGAUUUAAUUUUUUUAGAAUUAUUAUCAUUUUUUUUAUCUCUGCUGCUGUUUUGGAUUUUUUUUAAUGAUUUUUAUGCGAUGUUCAUCUGUGUAGGCACUCAAAUUAGUGUUUUGGAGUGCAUAUGGACCAGACACCACAAAAGAGAAAACGGAAACCAAAAUCAGAGCCAUCAAAACAAACAAAUGCUGGUAUGUCCUAAAAAAGGUUGGUUUGUGCACUUUCAAAGAAUACAUGGAAGAAGAUAAUAUUGAUCAUGGUGUAGAAUGUGAUGGUAAUGUGGUUGAAAAAGAUAAAAUGUUGCACGAAAAGAUCUCAGAGCUCAUUGACGAAAAUAUGCAGCACCAGGCUGAGUUGAUAAGGAGAAACAAGGAGAAUAGUGAAACAAUUGAGUGGCUUUUAUCCCAGGUGCAUAAGCUAACGGAUGAGAACAAAAUUUUGAAGAUUAAUCUGGGAAUCCAUAAGGAUACUACUGAUCAUACAAUUGCAAUCCAUAAGGAUGCUACUGAUUAUACAAUUACAAGGCAAAACAAGCCUCAGUUUUCAAAGUCUAAGUCCAUAGGGCCAUCUUUCCCUGGAAGGCUCACUGGAUGCCUAGAACUUGGAUCUUAAUUAGCUACUUUUCAACUUUAGUAGGUAGCGUUAUAAGUUUUCAAAUGUAUCUGUUUAUAUGCUUUCAUAAUACAUGUGAAGAUUCCGAGUCAAUUAUAACAUAUUUUAAUUUUUAAUUUUAUGAGUAUAGAAAAGGAAUUGAAUGCUUCGUUAUUUUGAUCUUGCAGCUGAAGCCAAGUCUGGAUAGAGAGAAAGAUCUCAUGGUAGGAAUCAUGGACUUGAUGAAGGUGAGGUUAACAAAGUGUGCUUUAGCACCAAGAUUGGAAUCUGGGUGUUCUGAGUUUUGUUUUGUUGUGAUUUUUCUAUAAUCUAGAUGCUGAAAUACUUGGAGUUGGAAUUAAUAAGAAUUGAUUGAACAUGGAUUUUUUAUUAGAUUGGUAUGGCUGACAUAGUUAAGAAGUAGUUUAAGAUGCAGUGAUUAGGGCAUUUCUUUAACUGAACAUAUUUGUUUUCAUGAGGUAGAUAGAAUCCUCUGUAAUUUAAUUAAUUAGAUUGAAAUUUGGGGUCUGGAUUCUUAAACUACUAUGGUGGUUAAUGUAGCUUUUUUGGUGAAUUUUUCAAGUGGGGAAAAAGAGGUGGGUGUGGGAUUUAUAUUGUUAUUCUCAGUUGGUAUAUAAAUAUUUGAGUGUGCAAGAAAUGGUUACCAUACAAAAAAUACAAGAACUGAAAUUAGAAGGGAUAAUGGCAGUUUGCAGAGGGUUGGUUCAGGGAUGGUAAAAGUUGUGUACGUGGCGAGAUUAAUGGAGGUGGUUUCGUGGUGGCGUAGUUCUCCGUGAAAAAUGGCGACGGUGGUCGCCUUGCUAUUUCUGUGCAGCGAGCACAGUAUCAAGAGAGAGAGAGAGAGAGAGGUGAGGGAAAUAGGGAGAGUAGUAGAGAGGGAGUGAGACAUGAGGGUGGUGGCAAGCUGGUGCCUUGAGGGAGUGGCGAGUGAGGUGGUGAUAGUUUCUCGAACGGGAGAUUUAUGGUGUACUAGAGAACUUGACUCCUCUCUCAGUCUGGUCUCCGGAAGAGAAAACCAAACAUAGCUAUGCAUUAGCAAAGUUUGAAAUGAGGGUUUUUAAUCUUUGGCAUGCUAUUGUCUUUAUUUGAUCAUUCUUUGAAAAAAAUUAUGAUGGACAAGUGAAAUAAACUGAAUGAAAACUUGGAGAAGAAGUUCUGAUUUUUAAUAUCUUUAAUCCGGGAUUAUUGUGAUGCCCUUUGACAAUUGAAAUGUGAAUGCAUUAUGUUGCUUAGAACACAAGUCAAUAUUUUUUAAACUGUGUUAGGUAUGAUGGAUGCUAUAGAUAGAAAAAUGUUGGCUUAAGGUUGGAUUCCAGGUAAAUAUGUGCUAUCCUGGAUGAUGGAAUUGCAUAGCAUCCUAAGUUUCUUUCUAUAUUUUCCUGAACAGAUUUACUGAAAAUGUUUUUCAAGGAUAUUCAACAAUAACUUUAAUCUUCAGACUUUCUCAUUGUUGCAGUCUCUAAUGCUUUAGUUAAUCCUAUUAGCCUAUUGUUAGAUCAAUUAAAAGAGUGUUUUAGCCUUCUGUUAGUGUUUCAUCUUAUAUACUUUCUCUCAUUGUUAGAUCAGUUGUGAUUCUGUGUGGUUCAUGUUUCCGGGUGUAAAAUUGUUCAUACAAUCUCACUUUUGCAUCUAAUUAGUGAGCCAAAAAGAAAAUUUUUAACAUUUUAAAUCCUAAUUAUCUCUAUUUCAGCCAAUGCAUAUUUUUUCCACCUAAAAGUCUUUGAUGCAUGUCUUCUUUUUUUUUUUUUUAGUAUUGAAACAUACAUUGUUCGAAAUUUGUUGAGCACUUGAAACUUUACAAGUUAAGAUUUGGAAUUUUAUGAUAUAUGAUAACUGCUUUGUAUGUUUGUUGUUGAUUAAGCACGUGGGAUACAACUCGGUCUUAGACACUUAAUAAAGGUUUAUCGUUUGAAAUUAAUGGGGCACAUGUUAUUCUCAUGAUAUUGGCUGCAAAUGCUGCAGAGUGAUUACAGAAACCAACGCAGAAAAAGCUUUAUAGGUAACUUUUACAUUUAUAGCAUUUCAGAAUUCGCAUAAAUACCAGAAAACAUCUUGAAAGACUACCAUUUCAAGUGGAUCUUUUCUUUCAUGUGGAAACCAAGCUUCCUUUUUCUUAACUCAUUCUAUUAAAACUUCAAAUUAUGUUCAAUUUGUUGAUUGGCUGUUAGCACUUAAGUUGAUCUAUUUAUUUCCAAUGUACCCUUUUUUAUGCAUGAGUGCUUUUCUGUUGCAUGUUUAGAAGAUGAAUGCAUCAAUUCUUAGGUAACCUUCUUUUUGUUCUGUGACGUAGGACAGAGUAGGACAGCGGAAAUUAGAUUGUUUAGCGGAAGUGAAACGACAUAAAACUUAAAUUGAAACAUCAUAUGCUUCUGUUUUAUAGGACUGGGGGGGGGGGGGAUAAAAACAGUAUAUUUUGUUGUUGCAUGUUUCAUUUAAUUCAAACUUUCAAAUAUACACUCUCUCUCUUCAUUAUGCACAGUAUGUUGAUGUGAACUGAAUCUAAAUAAUUUGUCUUUCUGUCGAAAAUAUUCAUAGUAUGUCCUGCAUUACAGUUUCAAAACCCACAGCAGCACGUGGGCAAUUUUAUUUUCCCUCUCCCUAUAUGUAGUUUAAUAUAAUUCAACGAGUUCAAAGAGAAUGAUCAGAAUGAAGGUUUGUAUUAGAUCCGAUGUGCUUCCUCUUUCUAUGCAUUUUGGUUCAAAUUAGGGUUUUAGGUUGAAACCCGAAACGAAAAGAGAAUAAAGUUUUCAGGAUGUUCGGAUUUUGUGUUUCGAUGAGAGGAAAAAAUGAGAAAUUUGUUAAGAAAAGUUGUGGUCGGAUUUUACAUGUUUACCGUUUUCAAGGUACGGUGUUCAUCGAUCUUAACUUUAAAUUUGUUUCUCAAUUUUUUUGUAGUUUUGGAUUUGUAAAAACCCUCGAUUGAAUCGGGUGCUGGUAUGGUCCCUUACAGGAAAAAAAAGUUUCAUUUUUUUCCCCUUAAAAUUUUAGUUUUUGUUAUUUUCUUUUUUCUUCACAAAGGAACUUAGGUGGUAGCUGUAUUACUAAUUAGCUACAGAAUUUAUAUAUUCUUAUGAGUACGGUAUGGGUGCAGGUUUGCUAUGUUGCUUUUUGGGAUGAAAUUACUUUAAAUACAAAGGAAAAUUUGAUCGAUAUUAUUGGGUUGUACGCAGAAAUCUAAGUUUUACCUAUUUUGAUAAUGCUUGGUUUUUGUGUAUUGAGUUGGAUAGACAGUUCAUAGGUUUGGUUCCAUAUUUAUUCGGAGAAGAAAAACACAAAGAGGGCAACACAAUAACCCUAGGAUGAUUAUAUAUGGAAUGAAUUAAAUCUAUUAACGAAUUAUAUUUUGGGUGGUGUUAGGGAGAAACGCCUACACUCCAAAUAUUUAUGAAUUGGAUUCAUUAUAAAAUAGGUAAAUUGUAUGCAUUACUUCUUUUGGCACUAAAUCUUUUGUUAAAUUUUAUUUUGCUGACUUUUAGUUUUUGACUUUCCUUUGGCAGGACUUUUAAUUAAGCAUGCAUCUUUGGUGUAAUAUUAUCAUAUUCUUGAGGUUUGAAUUUUUUACUCUUACUUUUGUGACCAUUAUAUGUUUGCGUAUCUCUCUUUUGGGUUAUCCAUCAAUUAAAAAUUAUUAUGUGAGGAUUUUGAUUGUUGACUUAUCAUUGGUAUAUUUCAAGUGGUUUUUGAUAUUUUGAUAGGUGUUGGAAAAAAAAGAUGAAAUUGUUUUGCGCUCAACGCAUAGUUAAUCUUAAAAUAGGGUUUAUUAAAUUGGUUUGAUGAUAUAUAGGUGGUAACAAAUUAAUGAUGUCAACUCCUACAAGGAAGAGGCUGAUGAGAGAGACUUCGAGAGGCUGCAACAAGACCAGCCUGCGAGGAUUAGUGGGGCGCCUCAGGAUAACAAUAUAAUGUUGUCGGCGAGGUUAGUUAUUUUUUAGGCUUUGCUUCUACAAACGUGAACUCUUUACAUGGAAACCGAAUUUUAUGUGAAUUUUAAUAGUUAUAUAUCAAACUCCUCUGCACUGAACUCUGUGUAUUACAACAAUUAUAAUUAGAACUUGGAUGAAAUGGGCUCCAUCCAGCAAAACUCCUGCCCUAACAAUAAUAAUUAGAACCAAAUUUGAUAAUUUCUCAUAGUUUAGGCCAUUUGGCCAAGUCAGAAUGAGAAACAUAGAUGUUUUCUUUAUCUUAUGCUAUUUGUUUGGCUGUAAAUCGUAUGGAGUAAAUCUCAUGGUGUCAUUCUAAAUAAACUGGAAAUAUGUCUCAUGCAAAAUUAAUGUUGAUGUUUAUCAAUGGAAAUAAGUUUUGAAGUGAUUACCUUUCUUUAUACAAGUUCUCUUCACAAUGAAACCUAUAUUAUAGUGUCACUUUUACUUGCUUUCGCACAAAAGGGGUGUCUGGACAUGUAAUUGGCGUGUCAUUACUCACUAAAUCUUUUUUAUCCUUAUCUUCUAUAUUAAUAUCACCAUUUUUUUGGGUGCUCAUUGAGUGGUUUGGCAGGUAAUAGAUAAAGGUUUUAAUGCAUUCAUUUAAUGUUAUUACAGAUCUGCUAAAUUCUUCAAGAAGUCCGGUUUACAGAACUGAAGCUGUUUAAGCACAAGGUGUCCCAGUUUAUAGAUGAGGUAUUAUAAAAUUUAAAAAGCGUCAAUAUUAUCAUUACUGAUCCUUAACAUUUAACUAUCAAAGCUUGAGUUUAUAAUAAUUAAUUCUUCACUGAUGAUAUGUUGUGAUGGGGUUUAGUAAUUUUCAGUAUUCUUCAAUUCUUUUAAUCUGCAAAAUCAAAUAGCCCAUGGAAUUUAUGGCAUACAAUUAGUUUCCUUUCAGUUGGGUUGAAAUGAUAUUGAUUGUGUUGUUAUGAAGCUCCUUUUUAUAGUUAGGUUGAAAAUCAUAUUGAUAGAUUCUUUAUUUGGUUGGUCCUAUCUGUAACAAAUGGGAUUGUUUUGUUUGAUGUUUGAAUCAAAAUUUGAUCUUUUUUUGUGUGAAAUUAUGAUGGAAUCGCAAAUUUGUGAGGUAUAUCUUAGAUUAUUGGUUGCAUAGUCACCUUCCCACAACUAUCACAUUGUCUCUUGACUAGAUGAAUUUUUAUAAUUUCUAGGAUCUACGGUUGCAAUGCUUUUGAUGCAUGCAAUCAGGAGGAUGCUACUACUCUUAUGGAGCUUCUUUGGCAUGGUAAGUUGAAGUUGCAUAGCAUUUUUUUUUCGUUCACGAAAUUCGUUAUCUUGCUAUCCUGGCAAUUAGCAGUGUCUGACAACUGGUGAAGUAUAUGAAUAUAUGUGGAAGUUUGAAUUAUACAAAUGAAAGUGAACUUUUAACAACUCUAACUUAGAAUUUUUAUUAAUUUCUUUCAUUUGUGUUCGACUAUUUUACUUUUUUGGUAUAUAAGUACAACUAUAGAUCGAAAACCACAUAAAUUACCUAACAGCCAAGGAAUUGUUUGUGGUAGAACAUAACAUGAUGUAAAGCUCAAAUUUUGGGCACUUAAAUAUAUGUUUUUUUUUUUUCAAUUACAAUCAGUCAGCAUGAAAGUUCAAUUGGAUUUGUUCUGGUCUCCAAAAAUUUUUCUUUGUUUGGUUACCGAUUAAUUUAUGUGGUGAGAGUUUAGUUUUUGCUUUUCUGCCUAUGUAUAUAUGAUUUGAAAUGGACAAUUCAAUUUUCUAUAUAUAAAUUUGUAGUCGAAGAGUUCGAAGGAGAGGUGAAUUAGAAACAAUGGGGGGAAGAGUGAUGGAGUUGAGGAGUUGAGAGUUAAUGAGGUAUACUUGAAUUUCUGUAUGAUGUCCUUGGUAUUGGGAGAUCAUUGAGACUAACUAUCUGGUUGAUUAAUCACGAUGUCCUUGGUAUUGGGAGAUCAUUGAGACUAACUAUCUGGUUGAUUAAUCACUAAUUUGAACUAUUUGUGCUUGGAAAAUUAGCUACUUGAACAAGUACUGAACGCUUUCUAUGUUUUCUCUUAUUAACUGCUGAAAUAGGUGCCUGCCCUAUAGGACACAUAUUUUGCCUUCUUAACUACAAGGGAAAAAUAUGUGUGAAUUGCAUGUUGCUUAUGUUUCUUAUGGAAACAGAACUUUUUUUGGCAACCAUGUCUUUGUGAUCAAGAAUGUUCAGUUUCUUCCUACUAAUUGUGCAAUGUCUUUACAUGUCAACUUAGUGGAAUGUAUAUAAAAGUCAAACUACUUAUCUUAUCGAUCUCAUUCACUCAUGUGUCCCUCUGUUCAUUCAUGAUUGUGUUGAAUUUUUUCAGGUAAAAUGUGUCUUAUUCAUGCAGUUACGCCUGAAAUAGUGGUUCCCACUGCAACACGUGGGCUUAUUUUCUAGUUAUGUCUAUUUUUGUCAUUAUACAAAAUUUCCAAAAUUUUACAUUAGUAUUUACCAAACGCUUUUAUACUACUUUUCAUACUUACAGCAGUUUUAAAAAUACAGUUUACCAAACGUUCAGCUGCUUUAUUUUACAGCUGAUUAUUCUUAAAGCACAACUGUUGACCCUAAAAACUACAAAGCCUACGUGGCGCGCAGGCCGAGUAAUUAAUGAGCUAACUACGUCCUUCGGUGAAUGCGGGGCGUGCCAACUCGUCGGCCGAGCUCGGCCGAGGAGUAAAUUUGUUGAUGUUGCGUUGGGUCGCGCUACUGACUUCUGCGUCUUGCCAUUGCGGCCGAGAAAGGAACACGUCUCGGCCUCUUGGGCUCUCGAACCUGAAGACAAGGUUACUAUUCUUACGAAGUUCAAAAUCAAAUUCGGCUUUCAAUGUGCCGAAUGUAAUAACUGUAACACCUCACUUCGCCGAGAAGGCUGAUGAGAUGACCUCGACCAAUAAGGAUUUAGAAACCCUUCUCGACCGAGACUUGGAUAGGUAAUCAAUCGUUCUCGCCGCAGUGCUGUUGAUGCCAACGGAAGGUACUGCGAGACCGACUGACUCUACAGUGACAGAGCUAUCUAUGCCGACUUAAGAUAUCACCGGUUGCUUCCACAGUGCUGUUGAUGCCAACGGAAGAUGUGUCAGUGAAAAAGGAAAAAGAAAAAUCACAAGUUGUGAGAGUUUGCGCAGGGCAAUUUUGUAUUGAUUUUGUGGGUCUCGUUCCGUUGCCACUGCCUCUCUAUUUAUAGAGCUAACUUAGCAUAAAACCCGGCCGUGACCAUCAAUCACCACCACAAAUAAUAAUCGUUACGCGAGGAUGAUUAUCCAAUGAGAAUCGUAGCACUCAAAUCUCUUUGGUGCUAACGCAUUUCAGCCAAAACCACAUAACAAAUCAUGGCAUGCCAAUUCCGUCUUUUGCUAAAGAUAAGCAUUGUCGUUCAAAUCCUAGUCCCAAAGCCCUGGCAUAUCAAGCUUUAUCCAUAGGAUAUUCACUUCACCUAUUUGGCAACCUUGAAUUUGCUAAUAAUUAUCCCAUGCAUGCAUCACAUUAGCUUACGUAAUUAAUCUUUCAAGUUGGACUCCACCUUGAUCACCAACUGAUGCCACCACGUGCUAGGACUCUUCUCAUAAUGCAUGAUGCUUAAUCCCCGCGUCGAAUGAUAAGAAUCCCACAUUAAAUCGAACUGUUCUGCUUGCUUCGGUAUAGUUUGCGUCACAUUUAUCUUGUAUAAAAAGUGUCAAGAUAAUUCAUUAUUAAAAGAUCAUUAUUAUGAUUAAAAAUCAUAAUAUUAUCCCCUAACAACAAUAAAAUUAUCUUAACUUUCCUAUCCGACGGUGUGGAGCAAUGCUCACUCAACGGCCUUGAUCGCACGGGCCGAUGAUGUAAAUUGAGGUCCAAACAACAACAGAAGCAGUUUUAAAAAUAAGAACAGCAAUCCCAAACUGGCCCUUAGUCGAGGCGAGUCCUCCUUUGUCCCAUUGAACUUAGUCCUGCCAGUGAACAAACACGGAUUACACUACCUUUUAACUUAAGCUAGUCCAGUGAGAGCUAAAAAGGCAAACAAACAUCCCCUUAAUCGUUUCUGUACAGAGACUGCUAAAGAAACAGCAUGAUCAAAAUCAAAGAAUCAUGAGGCGGCCCCAGCAAGCCCCUCAGCGGCUCUACGUCCCUCCGUCGUCGCGCGACGGAAACAGCCACGACAACUACGAAGACACCGACCUCGACAACAUCGAUUACGACGACAACGAUGGUUCCAAGGACCCCGGGAGUGACGACAACAACCACGGCAACGCUGGCAGCGGUGAUGAAGAAGUCGAUCCUCUGGAUGCUUUCAUGGAGGGGAUUCAUGCGGAGGUGAGGUCAGCUCCGCCGCCGAAGCUGAAAGUGAAGGCCGAGAAGUACAGGGACGAUGAGGAGGAGGAUCAUAUGGAGAGGUUUCUGAGGGCUAAAAGGGACGUGGUGCUCACGCUGGCAUCAGAUGCUUUACACACCAGAUAUGACUCCGAUGAAGAGGUAUAUGCGACCGCCAAGGCCGUCGAUGCCGGGUUGUUGGAGUACGAUUCAGAUGAUAAUCCCAUUGUUCUGGACAAGAGGAAGAUCGAGCCGAUUUCAGCUCUCGAUCAUAGUUCAAUCGACUACGAGCCGUUUAAUAAGGAUUUUUACGAGGAGAAAGAGUCGAUUUGAGGUAAAUUCCAACCGAACUGAGAAUUUGGUUUCUUUCUUUUUUUCUUUCCAUUCACAUUUGUUUUUUAAAUUUUUGUGUGAAUUUAGUCGAAAUGCGUAGCAAAGUAUUUAAAUUUAAGUGGGAGAGAAUAUUGACCGGUAGAAGUUCUCAAGGAGAGAUUUGAAAUGGAAGACUAGAGUUAACUGGUGUUUUGGUUUCCUUGUUUAGGGAUGAGUGAGGAGGAUGUUUUUUAGUACAAGAAGAGCUUGGCCAUCCGUACGUCGGGGUUUGAUGUACCGAGGCCAGUUAAGACAUUUGAAGAUUGUGGAUUUUCUUCACAACUCAUGGCUGCCAUAAAAAAACAAGACUACCAAAAGCCGACACCAACACAAUGCGUAGCUCUACCCAUAGUUCUUUCCCGGAGAGAUAUAAUUGGUAUUGCGAAAACUGGUUCUGGAAAGACUGCCACUCUUGUCCUUCCAAUGAUUGUCCACAUUAUGGAUCAGCCAGAGCUUCAAAAAGAAGAAGGUCCAAUUGGAGUGAUAUGCGCUCCUACUAGAGAGCUGGCGCACCAAAUAUACUUAAGAGUCCAAAAAAAUUGCAAAAUCACAUGGGAUACGUAUCUCUGCUGUAUAUGGUGGAAUGUCUUAAGCUUGAUCAGUUCAAAGAACUUAAGGCAGGAUGUGAAAUAGUUUUUGCUACUCCUGGGAGAUUGAUCGACAUGCUUAAAAUGAAGGCACUGACAAUGCUUAGGGCAACUUACCUAGUACUUGAUGAGGCUGAUCAGAUGUUUGACCUUGGGUUUGAGCCUCAAAUUAGAUCUAUUGUUGGUCAGAUUCGGCCAGACCGACAGACAUUGCUCUUUUCUGCGACAAUGCUCCGUAAAGUUGAAAAAUUGGCUAGGGAGAUUCUCUCAGAUCCUAUAAGAGUUACAGUGGGUGAGGUGGGAAUGGCCAAUGAGGAUAUCACUCAGGUUGUUCAUGUAAUUCCUUCUGAUGAUGAGAAGCUGCCCUGGCUUUUUGAGAAGUUACCAGGAAUGAUUGAUGAGGGUGAUGUUUUAGUAUUUGCUUCAAAAAAAGCUGCAGUGGAUGAGAUCGAGUCACAGCUUGCUCAGAAAGGUUUUUAAGUCACAACUCUGCAUGGUGACAAGGACCAAGCAUCUCGGAUGGAUAUUUUGCAAAAAUUUAAAUCUGGCAUUUACCAUGUUCUUGUUGCAACUGAUGUUGCUGCUCGUGGUCUUGACAUCAAGUCAAUUAAGUCAGUUGUGAACUUUGAUAUUGCAAAAGACAUGGACAUGCACAUCCAUUGAAUUGGUAGAACAGGUCGGGCUGGUGAUAAGGAUGGCACUGCGUACACUCUUAUUACACAGAAAGAGGCACGUUUUGCUGGUGAGUUGGUUAAUAGCUUGGUUGCUGCUGGUCAGAUUGUCUCCACGGAGCUCAUGGACCUUGCGAUGAAGGUAAUUUUGCAUUACUAUUAACAUUUUUUUUUUGUGGUUUAUAUAGCGAGUUUAUACAUGCAUCCAACUACUUGCCUUUUUGUUUUAGAGAUGGUGGUUAUAACCUUAGUUUGUAAUCCUAUAAUGCAUUUAAGGCGAAUACAAGUUAUUAAUAUGUUCUCUGGUAAAACGUGCUCUUUUUAAUGCAAUAUGGAUUCUGGACAAUUACACCUACUGGUGUUUGUCUCACAAAUAAACUACGUUAUCUUCACUCUACUAUAUAGGUGCAUAGGUUGCUUCUGAUUUAGAGUGCGCUUUCGAGAGAGAUGGAUUUGAUGACCAUUUGGUCUUCAAGGCCUUAUUUUGGAAAGCUUUAGUAUGUCCUUGGAAUUACAGGGAUCUUGAGAUCGUUGACUUCAUAACGUCAAGAUAGUCAAUUUCAGGAAAUGUGCUUAGUUUAGGGAGAGAGUAAUUAGACAGUCUUUAGUAGUCCCAUCUUUACUUCAUACCAUGCUCUGCUUAGAAAAGGGGUUGUUGGGGGUGUAUGUUGGCUUGUUGGGUUGUGGAUUGAAGCAUAGAGAUGACUUGAAGAUGAAGCUCAGUCUGGGGACGUAAUAACUUUUGUGUAUUAUUAAGUACUCGCUUGCAUUCUGGGCUACCAAUACAUCGGUUGAGGCCAACCAAUUUGCAUUUAAGAACUAAGAGAAAAAUCGCAUUUUAAGUACUAAAUCUUAAUUACCACAUGGACCCUUAGUAAAUUGUCACUUAUUUUCCCUUGUGCCAAUAUAUCUCAUAGACAUAAAUGCACAGCUUAUCAUGAUAGGUGGCUGCACCUGCAUUAGUUUUAGAAGUUUUACACUAUGAGAGCCACUCAUGCAUCAUUUCUUCAGUCUUGUGACUUUUAAUUCUUGCCUUGCUGCUUGUAGCUUUGUAUUUUAUAUCCAUCAUAAAUACACUGGUUUCCAUCUCCUACAUGGAUGUGCAGUUAUUUUGGGUGCACCUUGUCUGUGGAACUUUUGUUGCUUUCCCUUACUAUGUUUCUUGUUUGAUAGCUUUAGAUGUUAUGUUAGAUUUCAGAUUUUACAUUCUCUAUUUUAAUGGGAUUUACCUUGUUUAUUAUCAGGAUGUUAGAUUCAUAUCAAAAUGUGAUUCAAGAAAAGGAGUUAUAAACUUUAAUCAUAUUAAAAUUUCAAUUUUCUUAAGGUUCUUUUGCAAUUUCAUAUUAAAUAAGCCUUUUUCUACAAUUCAAAUGAUGAUAUUAUAUGGAUUCUGCAGGUGGAAAGAAAGGUAGAGGGAGGGGCGGCGGUGGUCGAGGUGUGCGUGGGGUGGAUUUUGGUCUGGGUAUUGGAUAUAAUACGGAGUCCAAUAGUUCUUCAUCGAAUACUGUUCCUAGUCGAUCUGUUGCAGUAACUCCUCAGAGGACAGGAAUGAUGUCUCAGUUCAAGACUAAAUUUGUUGCCGCUUCAUCUAACUCUCCAAGUCAAGGUUCAGCUAACAGCUCUAGUGUGCCCAACAGACAGGCAUUACGAGGAUUUGUAUCCGGUGGUUCAAUAGGUGGUGAUGUAUAUAGAACUCAGGCAACCAGUACAAUUACUCCUGCUCCUGCUCCAACAUCAAUGGUAAAUAAAACUGCUACUCCGAACACUGGACAAAAUUCAAGUCAGAAACCCUCCGAAAGGUUAAUUAAACUGAUGCUUGGUUAGAAUUUUUUAUGUCUUUACUUAUUUGAUUGGUGUUGAGCAGUUUCAUUUGUGCCGAUUGCAGUUCUAGAGAUAAACCCAGAGAAAGGCGGAGGCGCUCCGUUUGGGACUGUUAACCGUACAGUUGAACUACACCACUCUCGCAUAAUGAAUUACAAGUUUUACUUUUGUUGUAGGUCAAGUCCUGAUAUUCCUAUAUUAUUGUUGAUCUUUGUCACUUUCUUUGUCGCUCUGUUUAUAAGUUAAAAGAAACAGAAGAUUUUGUAAACUCAGAUCGACUUGUUGCACAAAUAGUGGAUGAUUUAAAACAUAGACUGUUCGUAUCAUUAAAAUACGUUAUGAAGUAGAUUCUACAAAAAGUUGUGCCGUGUAAAAAAAAUUGUGAUGUUUCACAUGUGCUCCGUAUGUUAUUUAUAUUAAUCAUUCUGAAUUACAUCAUAACUCAACGACUUGGUAUAUAAUACAAUAAGGCCUUGUUGGAUGUCAAUGAUUUGAUUGGUUAUGACUGGAUUAGAUUGGCUUAGUUUGGAAAAUUCACUAGAUUCAGUGAAUGUUGAAAGAAAAUAUGGAUUGCUAUUUUGUUCAAGUGAAGAUGGAAGAGAAAAAGAAUAAGACAAGUAUAACAAAUCAAAUAUUGACGGAGCAUGCAUAGGUUUUUAAUUACAACUAUUCGUCAAUUGGUGCUUAUAAUUUUUGGUUUUAAAUGCUAUUAUCUCUUAAAUAAAAUAAUUAUGUUGCUUUAGUCUCCUCAUCGUAUUAUACGUGUCGAAUUCGUGUGAAGUCUGGUGGGACAAGAGAGAGAUAAGGAGGUUGACUUUGAUCAAUUGACCUCCUUUCCAUAGCCAUUUUUCUUUACCUUCAUCCCCUUACACAAAGUCCAUUCUUAAGAUCUCUAGUUCUCUCUCAAUGGCUGCUAAAAGUUCCCGAGAUUCUUCUUCGUCCUCUUACCAGUGUUCCUAUCAUGCCUUCUUGAGUUUCAGAGGCCAGGACACGCGCAGGGGCUUUACUGAUCACCUCUAUAGAGCUUUGGAGCUAGCAGGAAUCCACACCUUUAGAGACGAUGAUGAAAUCAAGAGAGGGGAGAAUAUUGAGUCGGAGUUAGAGAAGGCGAUAAAGGAGUCACAAGUAUCCAUAAUUGUCUUCUCCAAGGACUACGCUUCCUCAAGGUGGUGUUUGAACGAACUUCUGAAGGUCGUGGAACGUAGAAAUACUGAUCGUAGACAUGUGGUUCUGCCAGUUUUCUAUGAUGUGGAUCCAUCCGAUGUCAGGAAGCAGAGUGGUACUUUUGCUGAAGCAUUUGCCAGACACGAGGAGCGAUUCAGUACGGAGGAGAUGGACAAGGUGGAGCUGUGGAGAAGAGCUCUUAGACAUGUUGCAAGUUUGGGAGGCAUGGUUUUAGGAGAUCGGUAAUUUCUAUUCUCAUUAUGUUCUCACGCUAAUUGAAAGUGUCUUUUAAAUUAAGUAAAAUUGUAGAUGGCAGUGAAACUUGAAGUUGUUCGCCUAUAUAUACUGCAACUUUGAUUUAUAUGUUCCUAUCGAUUCAAAUGAAUUACAGGUAUGAGGGGCAGUUCAUCCAAGAUAUUGUUGGAGAGAUUAGAAAUAAAGUGGAUCACGUAGCUUUAGACGUCGCUCCCUUUGCAGUUGGAAUGGAUGCUCGUGUGAGACGCCUAAACAUGUGGUUACAAGAUGGAUCAAAUGAUGUUGGUUUAGCUGUCAUCUGUGGGAUGGGUGGAAUUGGCAAGAGCACCAUCGCGAAAGCCGCUUAUAACCGCAACUUUGAUAGAUUUCAAGGUAGCAGCUUUCUUGCAGAUAUACGAGAAUCUUCAGAACAACCCAAUGGUUUUGCUCUCUUGCAAAGAAAACUUCUUUCAGAUAUCCAAAACGGGAAAGCAAAGAAAGUAUACAAUAUGGAUGAAGGAACAAUCAGGAUCAAACAAGCCGUAGGUUAUAAAAAAGUUCUUAUUGUUCUUGAUGAUGUGAGCAACCGGGAUCAACUCAAUGCAAUUCUUGGAAUGCGAGAGUGGCUUCAUUCAGGAAGUAAAAUUAUCAUAACAACUCGACAUGAACAUUUGUUAAAUGCUCACGAUGUUUUUGAAAAGUUUAUGGUUCAAGAACUGAAUGAGUACGAAUCACUUGAGCUUUUCAGUUGGCAUGCCUUCAGACAAUCCCAUCCGGAAGAAGGUUACAAGGAGCUUUCAAGACAUGUGGUGCAGCACUGUGGAGGGCUUCCUGUAGCUCUUCAAGUUCUGGGAUCUUCUCUAUCUGGAAAAAGUGUAGAAGUAUGGCAAAGUGCAUUGCAGAAGUUAGACGUGAUCCCUAAUGACAAAAUUCAAAAAGUUCUGAGGAUAAGUUUUGAUUCUUUACAGGAUGAUCAUGACAAAAAUUUAUUCCUUCAUAUAGCCAGUUUCUUCACAGGAAAGACGAUGGAUUAUACAAGUACAAUGUUGGACAGCUUAAAGUUUUACACAAGGAUUGGGAUUGAAAAUCUAGUUGACAGAUGCCUAGUGAAAAUUCAAGGCUCGAACAGGUUGUUGGUCAUGCAUCAAUUGGUGAGAAACAUGGCAAUGGAAAUUAUUUGUGAAGAAUCACCUGAUGACCCUGGAAAACGUAGUAGAGUGUUGCAGAAAGAUGCCUCUAAUAUUUUGAGAAAAUUAAGUGUAAGAACUAUGUUUUCAUGUAUAUGUAUUUUUAGUUAUGAUUUGUUGUCCAGUACUAGUUAUAUACUUAUUCAAUGCUCUGAUUUGUUAGCAGGGUACGGAAAAUAUUAAGGGCCUCAUGCUUAACCUUGCUAGCAAAAUAACGUUUGUUGGAUGUCAUAAAAAACGAUGCCAUGAUGAAGAUUAUGAUGGAAAUUGUUCAAGACGACGUCGUCUUGGUUUCUUCUCUUGGAAGCCAGUUAGCUUUCCGUCCACAAACUCAGCUUCUGCAUCAAAUGAGAUAGAUUUCAAAUCUGAGGCGUUUAGAAGGAUGCACAAUCUUGAAAUUCUCAUGCUCAACAACGUCAACGUCAGGGGAAGCUACGAAGAAUUUCCAAAAAGUUUAAUAUGUUUAUCUUGGAGAGGAUUCCACUUAAAAUCAGUACCAGAAAAUUUUUAUUUGGAAAACCUGGUUGUUCUUGACAUGCGAAAUAGUAGCCUACAACAUGUUUGGAAUGGGAUCAGGGUACGUAACUCUCUCUCUCUCUCUCUCUCUCACUCACUCUCACACACACUUUCUCUCACACAUGUCCAUUAUAUCUUCUUAGAAAUUGAUUAAUACUUCUUAUUGAAAACAGUUCUUUCCGAGGCUGAAGAUUCUUAAUCUCAGUCAUUCGCAUGGCCUUAGGACAACCCCUGACUUCUCAGGACUCCCUAACCUUGAGAGAUUGAUUCUUAAACAUUGCAUAAAUUUGGUUGAGGUUGAUGAGUCCAUCGGAUACCUAGAGAAACUUGUUGUUUUGAAUCUAGAAGGCUGCAAAAAUCUCAUGAAGCUUCCAAAAUUGAGAUCUAUUCAGGAUCUUAUUCUUUCUGGUUGCUCAAAGCUUGUGCUUGGUGCCAAUACGACUGCCACAACUGGUCACUUACAAUCUACAGCUUGUGAAUUGAAGAAACUCAAUCUGCUAUCAGCUAAAUCAUGGUAUUCAAUCUGGUCGCGGGUGUCCCCAAGAAAAAAUAUUGAACCAAGCAGUUUCUCAUUGGCAAGUUUACCACAUUCCUUGACAAGUUUAAGUCUGGAUAGCUGCAAUCUAUCAGAGAUUCCGAGUGCCCUUACUAUGCUGUCUUCGUUAGAGUACUUGGAUCUGAAUAAGAAUCCAAUUACAAGCCUACCAGAGAGCAUGAACAAUCUUGUUAAGCUUCACACUCUUGCAGUAGAUGGUUGCAGAAACCUCACAAUGCUUCCAGAGCUCCCACAUAGUUUGAAACAAUUGAAUGGUAGAGGUUGCACAUCAUUGAAAAGAAUAACAAAUUUACCGAACUUGCACAUAUUACCGGCCACACAUCCCUUCGGCAUGCAAAAGGACAUAGAUUUAAAGUAUUACAACAUAUUAUUGGACUCAAAUUUAUGGUAUUGUGGGAAACUAGUUGAUGUUGUAAGCUUGUUUAAUACACUACCAUUGAGCAGCUUUGACAUAAAACUCCUCAAAGAUAUCGAUCUAUUCGAUUUGAAACCCAACGGUGGCGUUGAGGUCCAAAGGAACAGCGAUUGUGCAAGUUUUGGCAAGCCCAGGCGCUCCAAGGUUCUUCUCUCUCUCUCUCACUGCUAUGUACAAGUGCUUAUAAUAUGAUCUAUGGCGUAAACAAUUAGAUUGUAAUCACAUCACCAUGAAACUGCAGGGAACUUUUGAAUGCGGCAUAUUUAGCAUAUUUGUCCACGAGAGCAAGAUUCCAGAUCGGUUCAAUUACAGGAGCAUGGGUAACAGUGUGUUCUCUAUUAUUGUUCCUUCACAGCCUAAUAUCAAGAUCGUAGGUUUAAAUGCAUGUAUAUUGUAUGCCCGGCAAUCGGAUCGAAGCCCUGAGAUUGCACUUGGAAACUAUCAUUUCUAUUCGCUUGAACUUAGGAAUGAGACAAAGGGCCUUAAGUGGCGUUUACCUAUGUUCAAUGAGGUUGAAUGGAGGGUGAUGAACGAAGAUAUGUUAUGGCUAAGCCAUUGGAUUAUGGGGAACGAUGAAUUGGAAUGCGGGGAACAAGUGCGUUUUGAAAUAAUCGGAGUGCAAGACGGUUUCGUCACAAAGGAGAUUGGAGUCCAGUUUGUGUACGAGCAGCAAAAUAAGGAUAAGGAGGAUGUCCCAUCAAGUAGUGAAGAUCCAAUGAUCCUACCUGACAGAUCGUUUCGGGUCUGGAGCAAAGUAUCGCCUUGGCACUGGAGCGUAGGUUUCGCUGGAAGGGGUGGCCCUAUUGGGAGAGAGACCGGGGUGGAAUACAUCCAUAACAAUGAGAAGAAAGUUAUUUCAACUGUCAUGUGCGCGGCUCAAUACAUUCUCUGUAACCAUGAAGUGAUCGAUCUUGAGAAUGAAUCCCGCAUGACCCCGUAGUAACAACGAGUGCUCUAAACUAUUACCCAGUUUAAUUCAAAUUGAUGGUGAUGAUGCACAAAUCACUAAAUUCAAAUGUGUAUUGGUUGUUAUGCUUCGUUUCUAUCUAUUUUCAAUUUUUCCCUAAAAAAUUGUUUUCAAUAAUUUAAUAUACAAAAUUUCAUACCAAACAAAUUCUUGCCUGUAUAAAGUAUGAAUUUAAAACCUGUUUUUAAGAAAAAUAAAGUUUCAGACCCCAACUAGAAAAUAAGCCCACGAGUUGUGGCGGGAACUAACUGUUUCAGGCGUAACUGCGUGAAUAAGACACAUUUCACAUGUAACUGAAUAAAUAAGACACAAAGUGCAGGAAGUAAAGCUCAUAUUUAGCAGUGUUAUUUUAACAACAAUUGUUCAAGUGGUGGAUUGCCCCCGGUGGGUUGGGCAUUUCUCUUAGUCCUACUGCAUUCCGGGUUCAAAGUUCCAACCAUCCCCCGUACCAGUUUAAGCACACCAAAGACCAAAUUUAGCAUGUUCUUUCGUCAUCCACCCAACCCCAGCAGAUAUACAAAAUUCAAAUAGAACUUGGCAAAUUCAUCCUCUUAAAAUACAAAACGAAAAUAAUUUAUGAUCACUGACCUCUGAGAAUCGAAUGAUAUUCGGAUUCUUCAAUGAUCUGUGGUUCUUGAUUUCCCCUUGAACAUGUUCAUCCAUCUGCAUCACCAAAAAAAAAAGUAUAUUUAAAAAAAAAUACAAAAUGAAAAUAGUUUAUGAUCACUAACCUCUUUGGAUCGAAUGAUAUUCGGAUGGUCCAGUGAUCUAUAGUUCAUGAUUUCCCUUUGAACAUGUUCAUCUAUCUGCAUCACCAAAAAAAUAAUAAAUAUUUAAAAAAAAAUACAAAAUUUAAAGGAUAAGAAUUGCGAAGAUUCUUAGGUCUUAGUUCGAAAUGUAAUAGCUCAUCUCACCUCCAUAUAUUACCAAAUCUUAGUCUAUAUGAUUUUGCCAGAGCCACCGAAUGUUGAAUAUAUAUCUGUUGAAUGUUCUACUACCAUCAACAUUAUAAAGGUUUCUAAUCGAAUCAUAUAUUUAAAAUCCAAGCAUGAAAGUUUUACAAAGAUAAAUAAACAAAUGUAAAUAACUAAUUAGGCAAUACACAGCAGAGAGGGGAGAGAGAGAGAGAGAGAGAGAGCAAUUGAAGGGAAUGCAUAGUUAUCUCUAUCUUCGGAAAAAAGAAAAGAAAAAAAGAGAGCAGUUGAAGGAGUGAGAAGCAAAGCAGCAUACCAAGUGGAGGGUAAGCAAUUAAGCAUAGUCAUCUCACGUACGGAUUGCCUGAGAACUGAUCUUUGCUUCUCUUCCUUAUGAUCCUCUUAAAUGCAAUUCUACACAUUUCUAAACCAAAAUUGCAAAGCAGAAUUCAAAGAAAUUUAAAGAAAUCUAGUAAAGAUUCAAACUUUUUUAUUAUCCAAAAGAUGUACAUAACCCCAUGUAACAAAAACAAAUUUAUGACACAAAAGAAAUUAUCUUUAGCCAACAAAAGCAAAAAAGAGAAAGAGAGAGAUUUUGCUUUUUGCACUAUGCAGAAUGUGCAGAGAAUCAAAAUAUCAUAACCCAUUUAACAACAUGAUAUUUUAGGCAAAAAGGCAUCACCUUUAGACCCCAAAUGAAAGAAUUUGAGAGAGAGCGCAUACGUGGUUGCCAAGAAGAGGAAGAGAGCAAUUCUAUUUCCUGUAAAAAUGAAGAAACAGAGCAUUAACAAACACACAUGCACAAAUCUCAAAAGGAAAUUGGUAAGAAAUAAUCGUAAUUGAGAAAAUAAUCAAAAAACUAGAGAGCACACAACUGGAGUCUAAUUCUACAGAACCCACGAGUCGACAAACAAAUAUCCAAAAUUAACAGAUUACAGUAACAACAUUCCAACAAAAGUAAGAAGACCAGAAAAAUUAUCUAUUCUAAAGUACAUUAGUUCCAUCAUGCAUAAAUCAAGGGAGUCACGGAAGGCCAGUAUCUUAAGGUAAUCCAACAUGUUAAAGCAUCCAAACAGAGACUCAGAAUUACAAAACGCAUGAAAAUUCACAUUCCAACGUGUUAUGGAAUCACCAAUUUCAGAUCAACCAAAAUCAAAUAAAUUUAUAUCAGUACGCAUCAAACCCACCAAACCCAAAAUCAAAAGAAGGUGAUCAAAUGUUUGAUUUUGCUAAAUAUUACAAAAUAAAAUAAAUAAGAAUAUGUACAAAUCAACAUGCAUACCUUGUAGCGGUGCAGGGAACAGUAGCGUGAGCUGCAUCGAGGGCAUGUGUACUGGGAAAAUUGCUACUGGCAGCUGCAACUAACAAAAACAAAAACAAAACAAAAUUGAAUAAAAUCAAAAUCGGAAAAAUUUCCAGAAAAUAAAUAAAACAAAUUAUCAAGCUUUGUUGAUGAAAGAGAGGUGGGGUUGGUGAAGAACAUACACGCGGCUAUGAGCAGUAGACAAAAGAUUUCAAAAUGAUUUCUUCACUUUUCAAUCAGGACAUGCACGAAUAUAAAAAUGGCAGAGAGGAUUAAAACCAUACCAAACACUAGAAAAUCAAGUAUAAAAAUCGUACUUACCUUGUGAAUGAGGACAUGCAGACACAUGAUGGAUGAAGGACAGCAAAUCCCGCAUACACGAACCUAACUUGCCACUGUUCGCCACCCCCACCCCUCCCUAUCUCUCUCUCCCUGCAAUCGCGACGAUUUCUGUCACUGUCACCCUCCCACUCCCGAAUCGAAUAUCCGCACGAAAUCUCUCUCUCUCUCUCUCUCUCUCUCUCUCUCUCUCUCUCUCUCUCUCUCUCUCGCUCGGUUUCUCUCACUGUCACCCUCCCACUCCCGAAUCGAAGAUCCGCACGAAAUCUCUCUCCCUCUACAAGCGGCAUGGCCGCUGUCCCUCUCUGUCUGCCCUCACCAUCAAUCCCAAUCCCAAAAUUAAGAUGACAAAAGUGCCCUGCAACCCUUUAAUUCUAGCCGCGUGAUCCUAACCCUAGAUGAAUAUUUCUGGAAUUUGAACACCCAAAGUAUCUCAUCAAAUGUGGAUGUACCCACAGUAUGAAUCUGAGAAUUUCUCAAUUCAACUCUCGAAAUUACUGUGACAGUAUUAAUAUAUCAUGUGGAAUGAGGUGGUAUUAUGGUAAAAGAUAGAACUUUAGCUGAUGGUAAACAACAUUUGGGAAUUUGAUGUAAGCCGGCUGGGAAUCCCAAAUGUUGUUUACCAUAAGCUAAAAUUUAAUCUCUGAUUAAAAAAAUAAUAAUAAAAAGCACACCUCAAACUGACAAGGACCAUAAUUUUCAAGUGACACUGCUUUUCAAUGGUUACCAUAAAAAAAAUAAUAAUAAAAGAACUGAUCAUUUGAAUUAUUCAUGACAGAACCAAUUUUGAUUUGAAAUAUGAUGGCCAAGAACAAAUCACACUGCUUUUCAAUGGUUACCAUAAAUUUUCAGAAGUUACAGAAGAUUUUUUUAUCAAAUGAAAAGACAAUGGUCACAUAUAUCUACAAUUAACCACCAGUAAGCGUGAAAUAUUACAUCACAAUGCAAUAGCAGCUAUACAGGAUGCCAUGCCAUUCAUACUAUGACAAAUCACAAAAGUGACAAUUAAAGGGCACCUAACAGACACCCCCAUCUCUCUCUCUGCAAUAGCAGAAAUCCCUCGGGUUUCAGAAAGCAAAUGGAAAACAAAAUGCUUUUACAUCCCCUACCCAUACCCAUACCUCCCUUUACCCGUUCCCUUUACCCUCGCAGAAAAUCCUCCCAUCUCUCUCUCACCCUUGUCCCAUCUCUCUGUCUGCAAAUCGCAGAAAAGAAACCCUGAACAAAUCACUUAAAUCCCUCGCCUAAAUCCUCCCACAUUUCUCUCAGACACCCCCUAUCUCUCUCUCUUUGCAAACCCUAAACCAAAUCUCCUAAAUCCUAUCUCGGACACCCCACACAAAGCCAAGAAGCCAAGAUAUUAAAGCAAUCUCUACAUAAUACUAUGGAACAAUGAAGCAAAAUGGUACUUACUUGUUCCUUGUCCAAAACCGUUGGUGCCACCGCACAUUGUUAUCAAUUGUGGGUUGAUCAAAUCCUUCAUGGCUUAGACUGCAUGAAGAAUUAGAAACUAAAAGAUGAAUAUAUGCUGUAAAUCAUCAUAUAAAUGUAAUUGCAUUUAAAAAAAGAAGGGAAUGAAAAAAUUGAAUUCUAUUUCAUCAGUAUGUAACUGCAUGAAAAGUUACAUUGAAUGCAAACUCAAUCAAUUUCCCCAAAGUCAUUGUUAACUGAAAAUCAAUACCAAACCCAUAUAUACCACCAUUGAAUUUGCGAAACCCAAAAACAAAAUACAAAAAUUUACUCAUAUAAUCACAGAAAAACAUGAAAUUUGAGCACACAUUUGGCAAAGUUAAAGGAUAAAGGCACUCACAUCAUCGUAGUACUCUUUGGGAAGAUCUUCUAAUACUGGUUCUUCCUUUUUCUUGCUCUUCCUCAGAGCUGCCAUAAAAAAACCCAGAGAAGCACACAAAUUCAGAAAAGAAGAGGUCCAAAACUGCCAUAAAAAAUCCAGACAGCAUACAAAUUUAUCAGAACAAAAACCAAAUGAUGUGAGUGAUAGUGAGAGAGGUUGUGUUAGGCACCUGAAACACGUUUUGGUUUCAAUUGAAACGGCCAGAGCGUUGCAUGUGAGGAAGAUGACGAUAGGAUAUCCACAUUCUUUUUUCUUGGGUGAACUAACCAAACCAUAUUAUAUACUAAAACGACAUAAAAAAUCAUUAACAAAAUCACAACAAAAUAGAACAAAAACAUUCACAAAAGAAUUCCCCAAGUUUUCAAAUGGAAAUUAAACAUUUACAUAGCUUAUAUAAAAAGCCAAAAUAUAAAAAAUUAAUCAAAAGGUUGAGAUAACUCACAUCCCAGUAAUGCUUAUUGCUGAUAUUAACACCCACUGACAGCAGCCCUCGGUUUGUGGAAUUCCCACGCCCAACUCCAUGACCUCUCUCUCUGCCAUCCCUCUCUCCCUCACAACCAUACCCACUUUCGACCCACCCCUCAAUCCCGACACCAACCCUUGAUUUAAGGAGGAAAAAUCAAUACAACCACCCUUUUCGCAAGCCUCACUCCUCCCGCUCCCUUCCCCUCCCUGCCAAUCCCAUGCCCAUCUCCCUUGUUGUAGCUCUGCAACCCACGUUUUUUGGCACCAAACACUAUGUCCUAGGAUGAUGUGACAAUUUAUCAAAGUCAGAAAAUGCAUUAUCUCAGUUUAGGUUGGUAGCAUAUAUGAUCCCCGUGCAGCAACAUAGAAUACUUAGUAAAAGUUGCAUUUCUGAGAACAAAUAACCAAGAUGCUUGACCGAAAAAACAAUGCAGAUGCUUUAGUAAUACAGAAUUACAGUUUUAUUCAAGCUUCUCAGUCACAAACUAACCUUCCUUUGUCGAGCAGCAAGGAAGAGGGGGCGAAAAUUGAUUCCUGGAUGAGCUUUUUCGUUCAAAACUAAGUCGAGCUGCAAGGACGAAGGGUCGAGGAUUGUUCGUGAGCUGGUGUUGCGGAUAUAAACAUAUAGAAAGCUCCACUGUGUCAUAACAAACACAAAUCAAAUAUGAUCACCAUGUCACAUUAAUUACCUAAAAUUCAAAAUGUUAUAUACAUUAGUAUGUUGAACAAAACUCCGCCUAUGUAAGUUUAUCUUACAUUGCCGGUCCCAAGCCCGGAUAAAGGAGGAGGGGGAGGGCGUCAGGUAGUCGACAGCCGGCACUCCAUGAUCACGUCGAAUCCUUAUGAAAAUGAAUCCAGAACGAAAUCGCGCUAAAGCUAGGGCGUCACCCGUAAGUGGCGCGCUGUGUAGCCCGAGCACAGUGAUAAGUGAGCAAGGGUCGCUGUAUCUCCAUCGGCACCCGGAUACAGUGUUAAAUGAGCAAGGGGGCCAUAGAAACUUCUUUUCGAACGACUCCACUCAAAGUUGUUUGGGAGCAUAUGCUCCUAUCAACUUUACACGGGACACACAAAAGAAGUACUUUGAUCCUAUUAGACGGGAGAGGGUGAAGAAGCUAGGACAGAAGGGUAGAGUUCAAGAGAGCAAAAUGCGUUUAGGAACGUGGAAUAUAGGAACCUUGACGGGAAAAUCUAUGGAAGUAGUGGAAGUUAUGGUGAGGAGAAGGAUAAAUAUUAUGUGCCUACAAGAAACUAAGUGGGUUGGUCGUAAGGCAAAGGAUCUAGAAAACUCAGGGUUUAAACUAUGGUAUUCGGGCACAAAUAGAACGAGAAACGGUGUUGGCAUCAUCGUGGACAAGACCUUGACACAAGAUGUUGUAGAUGUCAAGAGGGUAGGAGAUAGAAUCAUGGCAAUCAAGAUUGUAAUAGGACAAGAACUUAUCAAUGUGAUUAGUGCGUACGAACCUCAAGUAGGGUUGGAUACGAGUUCGAAGGAGAAAUUUUGGGAAGACCUUGGAGACUUGGUGCGAGGAAUUGCUCAGACGGAGAAGUUAUUUAUAGGAGGAGAUUUAAAUGGACACGUGGGCAGGGAGACAGGCAACUAUGGAGGUUUUCAUGGUGGCCAUGGUUUUGAGGAGAGAAACGAGGAUGGGGAAGCUAUCUUGGAUUUUGCAAUGGCAUAGAGGAGGGGGAGGGCGUCAGGUAGUCGACAGCCGGCACUCCAUGAUCACGUCGAAUCCUUAUGAAAAUGAAUCCAGAACAAAAUCGCGCUAAAGCUAGGGCGUCACCCGUAAGUGGCGCGCUGUGUGGCCUGAGCACAGUGAUAAGUGAGCAAGGGUCGCUGUAUCUCCAUCGGCACCCGGAUGCAGUGUUAAAUGAGCAAGGGGGCCAUAGAAACUUCUUUUCGAACGACUCCACUCAAAGUUGUUUGGGAGCAUAUGCUCCUAUCAACUUUACCCGGGACACACAAAAGAAGUACUUUGAUCCUAUUAGACGGGGGAGGGUGAAGAAGCUAGGACAGAAGGGUAGAGUUCAAGAGAGCAAAAUGCGUUUAGGAACGUGGAAUAUAGGAACCUUAACGGGAAAAUCUAUGGAAGUAGUGGAAGUUAUGGUGAGGAGAAGGAUAAAUAUUAUGUGCCUACAAGAAACUAAGUGGGUUGGUAGUAAGGCAAAGGAUCUAGAAAACUCAGGGUUUAAACUUUGGUAUUCGGGCACAAAUAGAACGAGAAACGGUGUUGGCAUCAUCGUGGACAAGACCUUGGUACAAGAUGUUGUAGAUGUCAAGAGGGUAGGAGAUAGAAUCAUGACAAUCAAGAUUGUAAUAGGACAAGAACUUAUCAAUGUGAUUAGUGCGUACGCACCUCAAGUAGGGUUGGAUACGAGUUCGAAGGAGAAAUUUUGGGAAGAUCUUGGAGACUUGGUGCAAGGAAUUGCUCAGACGGAGAAGUUAUUUAUAGGAGGAGAUUUAAAUGGACACGUGGGCAGGGAGACAGGCAACUAUGGAGGUUUUCAUGGUGGCCAUGGUUUUGGGGAGAGAAACGAGGAUGGGGAAGCUAUCUUGGAUUUUGCAAUGGCAUAUGAUCUCUUCUUAGCCAACACCUUCUUUAAGAAGAGAGAAGAACAUGUGAUCACCUACAAGAGUGGGUCGUCAAAAACACAAAUAGAUUUUCUUCUAAUGAGGAAAGGGGAUCGUAUAACUUGUAAGGAUUGCAAAGUUAUACCAGGAGAGAGCGUGGCUAAUCAACAUCGCUUGUUGGUGAUGGAUGUACAUAUCAAAAGAGUAAGACAAAAGAACAAGACUUGGAAGUGCCCAAGGACUAGAUGGUGGAAUCUAAAAGAAGAAAAAACAAGCCAUUUUCAAAAGAGAAGGUAAUCACCCAAUGUGUGUGGGAUAGAGAGGGGGAAGCUAGCCAAAUGUGGAAUUCCAUGGCUAGUUGUAUCCGAAAAGUAGCAAAAGAGGUAUUAGGAGAGUCCAAGGGCUUUGCCCCACACCAAAAGGAAUCUUGGUGGUGGAAUGAGGAGGUACAAACAAAGGUGAAGGCUAAGAAGGAAUGUUGUAAAGCCUUAUACAAGGAUAGGACCGAUGAAAAUGGUGAAAGGUAUAGAAAAGCGAAGCAAGAGGCGAAGAAAGCUGUCAGAGAAGCUAAGUUAGCGGCUUACGACGAUAUGUAUAAACGACUAGAUACCAAAGAAGGAGAGUUGGAUAUCUAUAAACUAUCUAGAGCAAGGGAAAAGAAGACAAGGGACCUAAACCAAGUGAGGUGCAUCAAGGAUGAGGAUGGAAAGGUUCUUGCUACAGAGAACGCGGUUAAAGACAGAUGGAGAGGUUAUUUUCAUAAUCUUUUCAAUGAAGGACAUGAAAUGAGUGCUUCUUUAGGGGAGUUGAGUAACUCAGAAGAGUGUAGAAACUACUCUUUUUAUCGUAGAAUCCGGAAGGAAGAAAUGGUUGUAGCUUUGAAGAAGAUGAAGCAUAGAAAAGCAGUAGGCCCAGACGAUAUACCAAUCGAAGUGUGGAAAGUUUUGGGAGAGACAGGUAUAACAUGGCUCACUGACCUUUUCAAUAGGAUUUUGAAAACGAAGAAGAUGCCAAAUGAGUGGCGAACGAGCACUUUGGUGCCUAUCUACAAGAAUAAGGGCGACGUACAAAAUUGCAUGAACUAUAGGGGUAUUAAGCUAAUGAGUCAUACAAUGAAGCUCUGGGAGAGAGUCAUUGAGCAUAAAUUGAGGCAAGAGACACGGGUUUCGGAUAACCAAUUCGAGUUCAUGCCAGGGCGCUCAACCAUGGAGGCAAUCUAUCUCUUACGAAGAUUGAUGGAAAGAUAUAGAGAUGGGAAAAAGGAUUUACACAUAGUCUUUAUAGAUUUGGAAAAAGGAUUUUAGAGAAAGGAGUACGAGUAGCAUAUAUCCAAGCUAUAAAGGAUAUGCAUGAAGGAGCAAAGACUGCCGUAAGAACUCAUGAAGGACAAACCGAAAGCUUUCCCAUAACUGUAGGAUUACAUCAAGGCUCAUCCUUAAGUCCUUACCUUUUUGCGUUGGUAAUGGAUGAGUUAACAGGACAUAUUCAAGAUGAUAUUCUUUGGUGUAUGCUUUUCGCAGACGAUAUAAUGUUGAUAGAUGAAACUCGGGAAGGGGUAAAUGCAAAGCUUAACCUUUGGAGAGAAGUGUUGGAAUCUAAAGGUCUUCGCCUAAGCCGAGCAAAGACAAAAUAUAUGGAGUGCAAGUUCAAUGCAAAUGGAGGCCAAAACGAGUUAGGGGUGAGGAUCGGAGAUCAAAAAAUACCAAAGAGCGACCGUUUUCGUUACCUAGGAUCUAUCUUGCAAAAGAACGGAGAAUUAGAUGGAGAUCUCAACCAUAGAAUACAAGCUGGAUGGAUGAAGUGGAAGAGUGCAUCCGGCGUGUUGUGUGACCGCCGUAUGCCACUGAAGCUCAAGGGAAAAUUUUAUAGGACGACAAUAAGGCCGGCGAUGCUGUAUGGCACAGAAUGUUGGGCGGUGAAGCAUUAACACGUACACAAAAUGGGUGUAGCGGAGAUGAGGAUGCUUCGUUGGAUCUGUGGGCACACGAGAAAUGAUAAGAUUAGGAAUGAGGAUAUCCGGGGUAAAGUAGGAGUAGCCGAAAUUGAAGGAAAGAUGAGAGAAAAUCGGUUACGAUGGUUUGGACAUGUGCAAAGAAGGCCUACUGACGCUCCGAUUAGAAGAUGCGACUAUGGGACAGAGGUUCAGGGCCGAAGGGGUAGAGGAAGACCUAGGAAAACUUUGGAAGAGACCCUAAGAAAAGACUUAGAGUACUUGGAUCUAACGGAGGACAUGACACAGGACAGAACACAAUGGCGUUCUAAGAUUCAUAUAGUCGAUCCCACUCAGUGACUUGGAUUUUCCAAGUCUCCAACCGAGAAGUUUUCCUCACUCGGGAAAUUAAGGGAACACUACCUCAACCUACAUGCUCCACUCACAAAGCUUCAACAUACAAGCUUCAACAAAAGAAAAUUCAAAUAACUUAGCGAAGAAGGCUUUGGUGUAUUUAACACAAUACGUUGAAAUGAAGGAAAACUUAUUUAUUGAUAGCCCUGAUAAGUUACAAAUAUGUACAUAUACAUGAGUCAAAAUAAACAAACAAGAGGGAGCCUUCACAAAGGUCGCUUAGGAGAAGUCUCAGCAGUCGGUAGAGCCCCAGAAAGAAAAGGCACCGGAGGGGGAUCAUUCGGAGCCUCAGUACUGGACAGAACCCUAGAAGGAGGAGGCAUCAGAGGUUGAUCACUUGGAGCUUCAUUACGCGGUACAGCCCCAGAAGACGAAGGCAAUAAAUGCCUUUGGAACAAACCCACAAAUCUCUGAUGAUCAAGUAAAACCUGACCAUCAGAUUCUUUCAUCUGGUCAAGCUUCCUCUUCAUGUUUGUAGCAUAGUCAUGUGCGAGCCGGUGCAACUAUUUAUUCUCAUGCUUGAGCCCUCUAAUCUCCUGUUUGAGACUCAUCACUUCAGCCGCCAAUGAUUCAACUUGGCGGGUUCGAGCAAAUAGGCGUUGGGCCAUAUUAGACACAGAACCUGCACACUGAACACUGAGAGCCAGAGAAUCCUUAACAGCCAACUCAUCAAACCGUUUGGAAAGUAGUCUGUUAUCUUUGGGAGUGAGAACGUUCCUGGCCACUAUCGCAGCGGCCAUAUCAUUCUUCAUCACGGAAUCCCCAACGGUAAGAGGACCAGUAGGGGAGAUGAAGGAUGGGCGCCAUAUGUUGUUUGGAGAAGGCGGGGCUGCCUCUUCAACAAGGUUCAAGUCAAAACGACGGUCGGAGGGGCCAGACAUUUUCAAAGGUGUUGAAGAGAGAAGAGGUCGGACAAAUCAAGAUCUUAGAAGUGCAAGAAUGAAGCUUCUACUGGUGAAGAUUCAAGUGUGCUUUGGAACUUAAUGCUAGCCUCUAUAAAAAUCUGCACUAGACGAAGCUUCAGAAAUCGAAGAGGUGCCUGCUCAGAAAUCGAAGAGGCAUUUGCUUUCUCAAAAGCUGGGCUGCUCAGAGACCACGAGGGUCGACCUCAGAAAUCGAAGAGACGUUUGCUUUCUCAAAAGCUGGGCUGCUCAAAGACCACGAAGGCCGAUCUCAGAAAUCGAAGAGGCUUGCUUUCUCAAAAGCUGGGCUGCUCAGAGACUACGAGGGCCGAUCUCAGAAAUCGAAGAGGCACAUACUUUUCCAGCCUUGUCAACACCUGUCACACGCACACUCAGCUUUGCGGAAAUUAUUGGCAUUCUGUCGAAGAUUUCUGAUGAAGUAGAAAGCACAUGAAUCGUACUGUUCAAUCACCCACUUCCCACACGCAACAGUAGCUCGAGGGUACCACAGAUAACUUUGCCAAAGUUAUCUGACAAAGUUGAGACACGUGAAGCUUACAGCUCCCACUACAUCGCUCUGGCCAAGAAGGGUAAAAGAAUAACAAAGAAACAACACUAACAAAGUUUAGACACAUAAAUUUUGAAGGUCUAGCUACCAUAUUAUUACCCACAAGGGUAAAGGAACAGUACCAUUGCUAGAUAAUUGGAAGGUCCCGGUGUGUCAACCUCUGUACUUCGUGGCACGAUAGACUAGCAAACAUGCAUAACCUUUACUCACAUUCGAGAAAACACUUCCAACAAGAUUGCUUGCUCCAAUAUCGAAGAGGCACCGCCUUCCGAAUCUCGAGAGCCAGACUCCCAACAUGAUUACUUUCUCAAAAAUCGAAGAGAGGGUAAAGGAACAGUACCACUGCUGGAUAAUUGGAAAGUCCCUGUGUAUCAACCUCUGUGCUUCGUGGCAAUGUAGACUAGCAAACAUGCCCAACCUUUACUCACAUUCGAGAAAACGCUCCCAACAAGAUUGCUUGCUCCAAAAUCGAAGAGGCACCGCCCUCCGAAUCUCGAGAGCCAGACUCCCAACAUGAUUACUUUCUCAAAAAUCGAAGAGACACCGCUAUCCGAAUCUCGAGAGCCAGACCCCCAGCAGGAUUGCUUUCUCAAAAAUCGAAGAGGCAUCAUUCUCCGAAUCUUGAGAGCCAGAUCCCUGACAGGAUUGCUUGUUCGAAAACCGAAGAAGCACCACUUUCCCAACUUCAAGAGCUGGAUCUCCUUAGAUAAAGCUUGUCUGUAAUCUUCACACGCAACAUCAGCUUUCCAGAUACCACAGACCACUUUUUCAAAGUGCUCUGACAGAGUUAAAACAUGUGAAGCUGGCAGCUCCCACUACCGUGCUAUGACCAAGCAGGGUAAAGGAAUAGCAUUAUUACUUGAUGUUAGGGAGACUCAUAUAUAUGUCGACCUCCAUCCCCAAUGGACAGGCAGACCUGCAAAAAUGCUCAACCCUUCCUCUUAUCUGAGAGGGCACUCCCAACAAAGCCUUUCGAAAUAUUCAGCUUUCUUUCUUCCCGAUAAUACCUCUGCAAACAAGCUAUACUAGAGCAAGAAUAUCUCAUAUCAUCAGGGUUAAAAGCAAGAGUAUCCCAUAUCAUGCUUUUUCCCUGUCUUUUCCUUUGACCUUGUUCUUACCUGCAAAACAAGGAGAAAGAGAGCAAUCAGUCAGCACUUGGAAUCAAGCUUCCAGCCAGGAACUGACUGCCUGGAACCCCUUACCUGAGUACUUACCUGGCAUUGCUCUCGAGUACUCAUCUUCAACAUCUUAUGCUUCCAGGGAAGAUACCGCAUCUGCUUGAGGAACAGAUAGGGCAAGUGAGAAGGAUACAAAGAAGCAUGUGGAGACAAGCGUAACAGCACACGUGCCAAUACAUCCACUACUCUGUCAAAAGCAAAAGUAUCCCAUAUCAGCAGGGUCGAACGUACUCUAGAUUUGAUGGACUUGUUUUGACCCUCAAAUUCUUCAGUCGGCCUUAUACUUUGGAGGAAACCAAAAAACCCUCCAGCCCAGUUCAAGAAUAAGCCUGUGGAAAGUUACUUCUUCAAAAGCAAAAGUAUCCCAUAUCAUCUCUUCUCAUUUUUCUUCUCUUUAUCCUUCAUGCUGCCUGCAAGAUAGGGAGAAUGUGAACAAUCAGCCGGAGCUCUGAUUGCUUACCUUGUCUGUCACCUCUUUCAGCAGAUCCCCUAGCUCGGCGACUUGGGGGACUCCUACUACAUGGUUUGUAUCGCGCUUGACCAAGCCUGAAAUUACAAGUAAGCUUCAAGUGAAAUUGAUACAUUACCUUGUGCAUCUCCACCAGUUAAAGAUACCACCCCUGGAUGGAGGAAGAGUACUUCCAGAGAAGAUGCCACAUCUACCUAUGAGACAGAUAAGGCAAGUCAAGACGAUACCACACUCCGGUACUUAGAAGUUUCGUGAUUACGAGAUCAUUCUCCCACAAUAUUUCCUAAUGUCAUUUGUACUAAAUCAUUCACUUGUACUCACUAAAGGAGAGUUUGAACCUAUGUACUUGUGUAAACCCUUCACAAUUAAUGAGAACUCAUCUAUUCAGUGGACGUAGCCAAUCUGGGUGAACCACGUACAUCUUGUGUUUGCUUUCCUAUCUCUAUCCAUUUAUAUACUUAUCCACACUAAUGACCGGAGCAAUCUAGCGAAGAUCACAAAAAGCGAUCGUUUUCGCUACCUAGGAUCUAUCUUGCAAGAGAACGGAGAAUUAGAUGGAGAUCUCAACCAUAGAAUACAAGCUGGAUGGAUGAAGUGUAAGAGUGCAUCCGGCGUGUUGUGUGACAGUCGUAGGCCACUGAAGUUCAAGUGAAAAUUUUAUAGGACGGCAAUAAGGCCAGCGAUGUUGUAUGGCACAGAAUGUUGGGCGGUGAAGCAUCAACACGUACACAAAAUGUGUAGCGGAGAUGAGGAUGCUUUGUGGGAUGUGUGGGCACACGAGAAAGGAUAAGAUUGGGAAUAAGGAUAUCCGAGGUAAAGUAGGAGUAGUCGAAAUUGAAGGAAAUAUGAGAGAAAAUCGGUUCCGGUGGUUUGGACAUGUGCAAAGAAGGCCUACUGACGCUCCGGUUCGAAAAUGUGACUACGGGACAGAGGUUCAGGGCCGAAGGGGUAGAGGAAGACCUAGGAAAACUUUGGAAGAGACCCUAAGAAAAGACUUGAGUACUUGGAUCUAACGGAGGACAUGACACAAAACCGAGCGCAAUGGCGUUCUAGGAUUCAUAUAGCCGACCCCACUUAGUGGGAAAAUGUUUUGUUGUUGUUGUUGUUGUUGUUGUAUUAGUAUGUUGAACAAAUUAGUUACAUUUCAUUAUACUAAAAAAUUUACAGAAUAUGAGAAAUAAAGAAUUUGUAUUGUUUAUAUAAAAAUAGAAUAACAAAGAACAUCAUUGACUACCAUUUUAUUCGGUAGUUUCCUCCAACUGCAAUUGUUGAGAUUGUAGGAGAUCUUCGAAUAAAGCCUUCAAUUCAACCAUCCGUACACAAACAUAAUAGACAAUGUUUUUUAGCGAAUUAUGGACAAAGCUUAAUAUUCAAAUGCAAUGAAAUGGAAAACACAAUCCAAUUCUAGGACGAAUUGAAUCCUUAUUAAUCCUUCCUGGUCUAGUACCUAAGAACCAAUGAAGUGGCAAUAUAUGGAUAUGCAUGCUAUAGGAAACCAUUCAUUUGUAGAUGGUAUUGUGUCACCAAUAUUGUAUUUAAAAAUCUACCCAAGAUAAAGAUGCAAUAUAUAGUUUGGUAAAAAAUCAAAACGAAGAGUUAACAAAGGAAAAGGAUUAAGACGUUGAAAAUACAAAACUGGAUUCUUUUAUUUGGUAAAGACGGUUCCCCCACUGGCUGUCCGAAAUCACAAACACUUUUUUACAUAGAAACUUUAUAAACUAAUAGAUUAAAAUAAGGGAGUUUUGACAAAACACUCCCGGUACUGUUCAUUUUUAACGAAAAACCACUUUUUUACCUUUAACUGGUACUAUUCACUAUACCUUCAUAAAGGGUUUUUCGUUAAAAGAGAAGUUUUUUUGGACUUUUUGUUAGUUUUCCUUUAAAUCUAAGUGUUAUAAAUGAAAAAUCCUGGGAUUGAUAGCAAUGGCAUCAACAGUGCCACCACAUCCCAAAUAAAUGAAUGAAAAUAUAGUGAUUAAUGUCCAACAAAGAAGCUCAAGCUUGAAAUAAACCAAGGCAUAAAAGCUUACCAAACUUUUCAAAUGGCUAAAUUGUUCAUUUAACUUAAUAACUUCUUCCUACAAUCCAUAAGUAAGACCAUUAGAUGCGGUAAAUAAAACAUCAUACUUCAUAUAUGGCAAUCUAGCAGAGAAACCAAUUGCAUUCAGAUGGAGCCUAAUUUGUGGAACUACAUUUAUAUGCACUGAAAUGCAUUAUCAUGUUGUCAUAUUUAAAACUGAGGUUAUGCAGUAUGCUAUCUUUAGCAUACACAAAAUUUUUGCACCUCAUUUUUGAAGUUCUGCACUUCAUAAUUUAUAUACUUUCAGUUUCCCUUCUAAUGAAGGUAUGGCUGCUUUCCAUUUGGAAUUUUCGCAAGACAACGUUAUGAUAUUCCUAAUUUAGAAUGCGUUUCCAUUCUAAUGAAUGCAAGCCCUAAAUCAUAAAUAUUGUAUAAUUAGAUCUCAAUUACUCUGAUGUGUUUGAGCACGUGGCAGGGCAUGAGAAUCAGAACCACUCCUUGUUGUUCUCUGCUUCGUGAUUUGGUCAUCAAACAAUACUUCAUUCCCUCCAUCCUUUAUCACGUCUUCUUGGUGAUCAUUUGUUCAUCUCCAAACUGUAUCCACAAAAAACUACAAAUUAAUCCCAAAAACAAUCAUACAAAAAAAUUGCGGAUUAGAUUUGAUUACGUACCAUUUUUCACCUUAAACAUAGACAUUUUAAACCAGAAACCAAAAUCAAACAAACAUAAAGAAAUACGACUGACAGAAUCACACUGUAAGACACCACCCCCUCGCUUCCACGGUUCCACCCACAACACCAAAAACAACAAUAACAAUAAUAACAAUGUACACUCAGACAAAACAAAAAUGCACCACAGCCCUCCAGUGCUAUAACAGCACUUCUAGGACAACUUUGAUAUCUAUGGACUGUUCCCUUCUCCAUGUUACAACGAUAGUAUUAGAGCUCUUACAACAUCACAGAUGCAUGACCAAGAGUGUAUUCGACAACCUUUUCUCUGAUCCUUUUCAUCAGUUGGUCCUAAAGAUUCUAUUCUUCUAAAUUCAUCUUCUUUUUGGGUAUCCACAGACAUUUAUCACUUCAUAUGUCGAACACAAAACACCUAACAUUUUGGGUGACAAAUUAGAAGCAACUAAUCGGAAUCUGGGUACUGAGAAUUAAAUUACUCUUUGUUCUUAUAGUCCUGAUGGAAAUUACUCAUUGAUUCAAAAUUAAUCAAACUAAAAUGCAAGAAAAGCAAAAUCAACAACGCAUAUCAGAAUAAUAUGAAAAGAUCCCAACAAACCAACCAAACAAUUAACAUUAAAAAAAAAUUGCAAACUUGGAGGGAAAGAAGCACCAGAAAAAAUAUACACAUCCAAUGCUUUUAAUCCAAAGCUAGAAGUAUGAAUAACUGAGUAAGUUAAUGAAGGCAAAGCAGAGGGUAGGAAGCAGAACAUACCAAGAGACCAAUAGGGCAUCCGAGCCGGUCUGCCGAUGAACGCCGUGUCCUGGUCGACAACGCCCAACGGCGUCGGCCUGGCAAUGAAGUAAAAGUCGAAAACACCCCCAAUGACCUUGUAGGUGAGAGAAGUCCCUCUGUAGAACACAUCCAUGCCAUUACUGUUGAGCAGCAGAAAAGAGUGCGCGUAAGCCUCGUUGCCCACAUUCUGAAGAUCCAUGUAAACCCGGGUGGGACCCGUACAAAUCAGUGUUGAGAUUGAUCGCCGAGACUUCAGUAGUGACGAGGGUGUAUGGAUCGUUCGGGUAGAGCUUGAUCCCGUGUGGCUGAGUGUUCUCUCCGAGGCCGUACAGGGAGGCGUCUUUCGGCGGUCGGGUGGAUAUCUCGAGGUACUGGUCCUUAAACACCAGUUCGCCAUAUGGGUCUUUGGAUUCGGAGCUCGAAUUGAAGAGGACCUGCCCGUCGGACUUCCUCUUGAAGGUGACCCAAAUGAGUCGGAGAUGUGGCUAAGAAUGAGCUUAGAGCCGGAGUACACUGAGACUUCGAUGGGGUUCUUCGUCUUCGCCUGAAACACGUUUUGGUUUCAAUUGAAAAUGCCAGAGCCUUGCAUGCGAGGAAGAUGACGAUAGGAUUCCAGAGAUAGAGAAAAAAGGAGUAAGACGACGGAGGCGAGAGAAGGGAGACGGCGGCAAGAGGAGGAUAGGACGGAGGCGAGACCGUCUGUAUCGUGGGUCUGUGAGACGUACAAGGCAAGGAGGGUUUGAGAAGGAAACGGAAAAGGCCUGCUUUACCAUUGUUAUUCCCUUCCCGCGAUCAUCAACGCGUGCGCAACAAGAUCAGCGGCAGAGAGAGCAUGUGGCAAAUUUGUAAAUAAAUUGAAAUUCAUCCCAAAACACUGUUUAUUUGAUUUAUUUGAAUAGUGCAAUUGGAAUCCCUUCUUUAGACUAAAGUAAUUUUUAAGUAGAAUUCCAACCGAGCCGUUAGAUUUUAUGCAAGCCAAAACCUUACCAUUAUUCAUACUUGUCAGAAGGCCUCAGAAGUCUCCACUAAAAUGCUUCCCUAAGCACGAGUACAUAAUGAUGCCACUGACAACUAGCUCGUCGAUCACCUCAGCGCUGCGGUUAAUUGCUUCUGCACAAGGCCUUGAUCACGAAUCAAAGAAUCAUGAGACGGGUAGUGUAGCAUAUCGAUCAAGGCCUUGUGGUACUGUCUGGUAGAUAUUAAUAACUUUGAGUAUAUGUUCACAUAGGUUGCCCAUUUCUGCCCAAUGGCAGUUGCAAAUACCAAACUCGUCAAUAACUUUUGCACAUGUACCGUCUAUGACAAUAUUGCAGUUAAGAAUCUUCAAAGCUUUACGCCAAGAUGUUAAACCACUCGCCCACUCAUCUUUCCAAUAUUGUGCAAAAUCAUCCUUCUCAGAAUAUUCAUCAAGCCAGAAGAAGGAAUGUACUUUUGUACCCAGCUUAUCAACCAACCAAUCAACUCGUUUGUACACUCUAGGUUUCUUCUCGUUCAAUAACCUAAGCUUUAGUGGCUGUGCUAGAACUCCAUUGCCGCAGAGGUUUCCUGGCUAGCAAGAGGAAGAGUUUGUAGUGCAGAUACCCACAUCCCUGAGUCAAAAGACAUUUUUCUUGUACGAGUUAUUCAAGAAUAAGGAUCCUGUUUAAAGAGAAGGGGGUGAAGGAAUUAAACGACACACUUAUUACUUCGUAUCAUAAGGCAAAAUAUACCUCUACUAAAGAUGAUAGUAAUCCAUAAAAUCUUAUUCAUCAAGAAAAUCUUCUAUGAAGUCCUCAGACAAACGCUCGGCUCCUCGUUGUUGACAGAUGUUAUCCACUGCCUAACGAAGCCUUCUUGACAUUGUAGUUCGCAUCUUAUUGUCCACACAUUUCUUUACUAAGUUUUUAUGCCAUGCAUGAGGAACCCGCCAAAAGCUUAUCAACACUGAACACUGAAAUACAUCCUUGAGUAUAACGACAUAAAACUGUCAGUAUCAAGUUUGGGCGAGGACUGAGCAACCAACCGGAUGGUGAGCACAUCAGCUAGAGGAUCAUCCACUAUGAAACCACCCAACUUCCAAAUAGGAUUUUUCGUUUGAACUCUAUUGUAAAGAGCUCUCAUCCAUUUAUGGGCAUUGGAACUUCCAAACUUUGGAGCCACUAUCCACGCCACCGGGAUAGUAAUAAUGUUGCAACAUGAACAUAUUCGGUUUCUCAUUAUUAUUAACAAUUGUAGUUAUAAUAAAAGGUUAAACAAACUAAACGGACCUUCAAUUUGGUUGUUUCGAACCUUGAAUCAGAAAGCUAUAAGGUUGUGAUUGUUGAAGCAAAUCAUCUGUUGCAACUGCCACUCUGUUUGAAUGCCCAAAGUGAAAGGGUCCACAUCAGAGAAAUCCUAAUAGAAGAAAACAUGACUCUGAUGGUUUUCUAGCCACAUGCUAAUGCUAACCGCAUCAUCAGCAUCCAAUUCAUAUAUAGAGCGUCGAAUGACCCUGCCUCCGAACAUACCUAUGGGUUAAAAGGUCAUCACGAUUAGAUGGACCACCCUGUUUCUCUACAGAUUCAUUGUGUCUCUGCAUUAUAGUCUUCACAAAGACCCCUGCAUAUAACAAAGAUUGCACAUGAAGAAGCAGAUCUUCAGAGAUACAAGGGGCAAAUAUAGCACGUGUUCCAGCAGCCAUCUUAUCUUGUGGACCAUGGCAUGGCGCUCCUUUCCUAUCUACAUGCUUAUCCUGAUUAUAUAUGAUAAGCGCCACUGAAGAAUACCAAGUAUACCAUCAACCUUUGGUUUGUUAGGCGUCUAUGGCUGCCGCCGUCGCCUCGCUUCAACAUGAAAUCUUGUUGGACAUUCUUUAUUAGAGCAUUCACCCCUUAGAAAAUCGUCAACUCUAGGAAACGAAAUUAUAGCAACUUCAUCUUUCUUGUCCCGCCAACCUUCCACCUUUGACCACACAAGAUCAGAAGAAGAAAACUCCAAUGCAGGUGGAUUUUCUUUGCAACUGGCUUCGUAAAGUCACAUGUUAAUAACAGUAACAGAGGUCCUUUUUACUCUACGCAAUACAAAAGAAAGUCAAAAACUUCAUAUCUGAUAACAAGAAAACAAACAAACAAAAAAGAAGAAACAAUAUAAUUCUUGCAAUACAUUUCCUUCCCAACAAGAGAAGUUCAAAACUUUAGUAAACAAUUAAACUGAUUUCGUCUAUUUUCAUAAAUUCUCAGAAAUUAACAGUCGAAAAACACAAAUUAAAGGGAAAAAAAGUGAAAUUCUUUGGGUUUUCAAAUAGAGAAAUUAUAUUCACACACCUAAAAUUACUUCUCACACACAUUUUUAUUUUAUUUUUUAUUUUCUACACACUACUAACACUUGAUAGAAAAAGAUUAAAAAAUUAAAAGGAUGUGAGAGAAGUAAUUUAGGAUGUGUGAAUAUUAUCUCCCUUUCAGAUAAGUGAAGUCACUAGCUUCAGAGUCACAGAUUGAGCUAUAUCGAUAUGUAUAGUAUCAGGCCAUUUAUGCAAAAAGAUCCCCAUUUUUUCAAAAAAAUGGGGAUUAGGUGUGGGUUCACUCCACAUCGAACUUUAAUGAUCUGAAUUGUCUAUUUUGUAUAGAACCGGAUCCCCUGCAGAUCCCUAAAAACUAAGCCUCCUGAGCAAAGAAUUAGGACCGUUGAAAUUUGAUCAAACUACUACAAACAGGGCCCCUCUAAAAGUUAUAAUAAUUGUAGCCAUUGGAUUAAAUUUCAACGGUCCAAAUUCAUUGCUCAGGGGGCUCAGUUUUUGGGGAUCGGAUUCCAAUUUGUAAGUCUCAUUUCAUAGAUUAUUCUUACAAAAAUUCAAUUUAAUCCAAAAUCAUUUACCUAUUUUGUAAGUCUCAUUCCAUAAAUGUCAUUAUAUACAUCAUUUCAUGUGCUACCACAUUAUUUGGUUCAGUAGCCACUUUACCCUUGGUUCUCUCAGCAGCUACAUCUCCAUUCCCACAGUUAUUCACAUUUGAAGAUAAUACUUCCUCAUUUCCUAAUUCUUGAUCUCGAUUGGUAAAAGAUGCACAUCCAUUGUGGUAUCGUUACUUUCCAAAUUAGCUGGUCCACUUAAGGAUGCGUUUGUUGCACCGAAAUGUCUCAAACUGGACUAAUUUCAAGAACUAAGCUGAUCUGAUUUAGACUAAACUAAACUAGAUUAAAGCAUUUGGUGCAGUAUCAGACUAAGAAGCAGGAUAAAAAUUAAUUUUCCUUUUUUUUUUCCAAAAACAAAGAACUCUAUCUGUUUCUCCAUUUUCUUUGGUCAAACUAUCUCUUCUCAUUUUUCUCCAUCUCUUCCAUUUUCCUUUCCUGUCCAACUCGUUUUUCCUUUUCUUCUCGAUCACAAAUAUACACAGUUCACAUGCAAACCAAUUUUCCAUCAGACCAAACAAAACCCAUCACCUGCCUCAUCAAUCCAACAAAAUUCCCAAACUUUCCCACCCUAAAAUUUGACAAUUCCAUUCAGAUUAAACAAAAGUUAGAGCUGAAAAACUAAGGAAAGAAAAAAAAAAGAGAAAGGGGAGGGAGAGUAAACAUAUCACCAAUAGUAGGAGGCGGCUACGCCGUAUAGCUUGAGGACGAGCAGUAGCGUAAAGGAGAAGAGGAGGCUGUGGGCCGCCAAGGCCUGCACGGACUUCAACACUCUCCGCUAGUUCAUCAUCACAGUAAAACAAUGUCGUCCGCUGCGAAAGUCGAGACUUCAGAUUGUGAGAAAUCUCAGGAGGAGGUUGCUGUUUCAGUAUGUGCCAUUGAAACGAAAGAGGCAAGAAAUAUUCUUUCUCUCCUUCUUCUUUUUCGUCGUUCGGGUUGACCCAGAUGGCAAAAAAUCCCAAAUCACCGACCUAGAUGCCAAAAGGGCACUGGGUUUGCAGGACGAUGGAGAUCGGCGACAACCGUUUCUGGUUUGGUCAUUGGAGAAAGGGGGUUGAUGCUGCUCAUGUAGGUUUGUAGGACGCUGCUCGCAUACGAGGGAGACGGGACUAGCAAUUCCGUUGUUUUUGGGGGCUUGCUAAGACCUCCAAGUGAGGGAUUUAGUCGAGGCGAGUCCUUCUUUGUCUCAUUUAACUUAGUCCCGCCGGUGAACAAACACAGAUUGCACUAACUUUUAACUUAAGCCAGUCCAGUGAGAGCUAAAGAAGGGAAACAAGCACCCUCUAAUUGUUUCUAUACAGAGACUGCUAAAGAAACAGCAUGAUCAAAAUCAAAGAAUCAUGAGGCGGCCCCAGCAAGCCCCUCAGCGGCUCUACAUCCCUCCGUCCCUCCAUCGUCGCACGGCGGAAACAGCCACGACAACUACGAAGACACCGACCUCGACAACAUCGAUUACGACGACAACGAUGGUUCCAAGGACCCCGGGAGUGACGACAACAACCACGGCAACGCUGGCAGCAGUGAUGAGGAAGUCGAUCCUCUGGAUGAUUUCAUAGAGGGGAUUCAUGCGGAGGUGACGUCAGCUAGGCCGCCGAGCUGAAAGUGAAGGCCGAGAAGUACAGGGAUGAUGAGGAGGAGGAUCAUAUGGAUAGGUUUUUUAGGGCUAAAAAGGAUGUGGUGCUCACACUGGCAUCGGGUGCUUUACACGCCGGAUAUGACUCCGAUGAGGAGGUAUAUGCGACCGCCAAGGCCGUCGAUGCCGGGUUGUUGGAGUACGAUUCAGAUGAUAAUCCCAUUGUUCUGGACAAGAGGAAGAUCGAACCGAUUCCAGCUCUCGAUCAUAGUUCAAUCGACUACGAGCCGUUUAAUAAGGAUUUUUACGAGGAGAAAUAGUCGAUUUCAGGUAAAUUCCAACCGAAUUGAGAAUUUUGUUCCUUUCUUUUUUGUUUUCCAUUCACAUUUAAUUUUUUUUUUAUGAAUUUAGUCGAAAUGCGUAGCAAAGUAUAUAAAUUUGAGUGAGAGAGAAUAUUGACCGGCAGAAGUUCUCAAGAAGACAAUGGAAGACUAGAGUUAACUGGUGUUUUGGUUUCCUUGUUUAGGGAUAAGUGAGGAGGAUGUUUUUUAGUACAAGAAGAGCUUGGCCAUCCGUACGUCGGGUUUUGAUAUACCGAGGCCAGUUAAGACAUUUGAAGAUUGUGGAUUUUCUUCACAACUCAUGGCUGCCAUAAAAAAACAAGACUACCAAAAGCCGACACCAAUACAAUGCGCAGCUCUACCCAUAGUUCUUUCCGGGAGAGAUAUAAUUGGUAUUGCGAAAACUGGUUCUGGAAAGACUGCCACUUUUGUCAUUCCAAUGAUUGUCCACAUUAUGGAUCAGCCAGACCUUCAAAAAGAAAAAGGUCCAAUUGGAGCGAUAUGUGCUUCUACUAGAGAGCUGGUGCACCAAAUAUACUUAAGAGUCCAAAAAAUUUGUGAAAUCACAUGGGAUACGUGUCUCUGCUGUAUAUGGUGGAAUGUCUAAGCUUGAUCAGUUCAAAGAACUUAAGGUAGGAUGUGAAAUAGUUGUUGCUACUCCUGGGAAAUUAAUCGACAUGCUUAAAAUGAAGGCACUGACAAUGCUUAGGGCAACUUACCUAGUACUUGAUGAGGCUGAUCGGAUGUUUGACCUUGGGUUUGAGCCUCAAAUUAGAUCUAUUGUUGGUCAGAUUCGGCCAGACCAACAGACAUUGCUCUUUUCUGCAACAAUGCCCCGUAAAGUUGAAAAAUUGGCUAGGGAGAUUCUCUCAGAUCCUAUAAGAGUUACAGUGGGUGAGGUGGGAAUGGCCAAUGAGGAUAUCACUCAGGUUGUUCAUGUAAUUCCUUCUGAUGAUGAGAAGCUGCCCUGGCUUAUUGAGAAGUUACCUCGAAUGAUUGAUGAGGGUGAUGUUUUAGUAUUUGUUUCAAAAAAAGGCUGCAGUGGAUGAGAUCGAGUCACAGCUUGCUCAGAAAGGUUUUAAAGUCACAGCUCUGCAUGGUGACAAGGACCAGGCAUCUCGGAUGGAUAUUUUGCAAAAAUUUAAAUCUGGCAUUUACCAUGUUCUUGUUGCAACUGAUGUUGCUGCUCGUGGUCUUGACAUCAAGUCAAUUAAGUCGAUUGUGAACUUUGAUAUUGCAAAAGACAUGGACAUGCACGUCCAUCGAAUUGGUAGAACAGGUCGGGCUGGUGAUAAGGAUGGCAUUGCAUACACUCUUAUUACACAGAAAGAGGCACGUUUUGCUGGUGAGUUGGUUAAUAGCUUGGUUGUUGCUGGUCAGAUUGUCUCCACGGAGCUCAUGGACCUUGCGAUGAAGGUAAUUUUGCAGUACUAUUAACAAUUUUUUUUUUUUGUGGUUUAUAUAGCGAGUUUAUACAUGCAUCCAACUACCUGCCUUUUUGUUUUAGAGAUGGUGGUUAUAACCAUAGUUUGUAAUCCUAUAAUGCAUUUAAGCGAAUACAAGUUAUUAAUAUGUUCUCUGGUAAAACGUGCUCUUUUAAUGCAAUCUGGAUUCUGGACAAUUACACCUACUGGUUUUUGUCUCACAAAUUAACUACACUCUACUAUAUAGGUGCAUAGGUUGCUUCUGAUUUAGAGUGCGCUUUCGAGAGAGAUGGAUUUGAUGACCAUUUGGUUUUCAAGGCCUUAUUUUGGAAAGCUUCAGUAUGUCCUUGCAAUUACAGGGAUCUUGAGAUCGUUGACUUCAUAACGUCAAGAUAGUAAAUUUCAGGAAACGUGCUUAGUUUAGAGAGAGAGUAAUUAGACAGUAUUUAGUAGUCCCAUCUUUACUUCAUACCAUGCUCUGCAUAGAGAAGGGGUUGUUGGGGGUGUAUGUUGGCUUGUGGGGCUGUGGAUUGAAGCAUAGGGAUGAAUUGAAGAUAAAGCUCAGUCUGGGCCCUCUGGGGACUUAUUAACUUUUGUGUAUUAUUAAGUACUUGCUUGCAUUAUACCAAUACAUCGGUUGAGGCCAACCAACAUUUAAGAACUAAGAGAAAAAUCGCAUUUUAAGUACUAAAUCUUAAUUACCACAUGGACCCUUAGUAAAUUGUCACUUAUUUUUCCUUGUGCCAAUAUAUCUCAUAGACAUAAAUGCACAACUUAUCAUGAUAGGUGGCUGCACCUGCAUUAGUUUUAGAAGUUUUACACUAUGAGAGCCACUCAUGCAUCAUUUAUUCAGUCUUGUGACUUUUAAUUCUUGCCUUGCUGCUUGUAGCUUUAUAUUUUAUAUCCAUCAUUACACUGGUUUCCAUCUCCUACAUGGAUGUGCAGUUAUUUUGGGUGCACCUCGUCUGUGGAACUUUUGUUGCUUUCCCUAACUAUGUUUCUUGUUUGAUAGCUUUAGAUGUUAGCGUGAGACGUUAGAUUUCAGAUCUUACAUUCUCUAUUUUAAUGGGAUUUACCUUGUUUAUUAUCAGGAUGGUAGAUUUAGGUCAAAACGCGAUUCAAGAAAAGGAGGUAUAAACUUUAAUCAUAUUAAAAUUUCAAUUUUCUUAAGAUUCUUUUGCAAUUUCAUAUUAAAUUAGCCUUUUUCUAUAAUUCAAAUGAUGAUAUUAUAUGGAUUUUGCAGGUGGAAAGAAAGGUAGAGGGAGGGGCGGCGGUGGUCGAGGUGUGCGUGGGGUGGAUUUUGGUCUGGGUAUUGGAUAUAAUACGGAGUCCAAUAGUUCUUCAUCGAAUACUAUUCCUAGUCGAUCUGCUGCAGUAACUCCUCAGAGGACAGGAAUGAUGUCUCAGUUCAAGACUAAAUUUGUUGCCGCUUCAUCUAACUCUCCAAGUCAAGGUUUAGCUAACAACUUUAGUGUGCCCAACAGACCGGCAUUACGAGGAUUUGUAUCCGGUGGUUCAAUAGGUGGUGAUGUAUAUAUAACUCAGGCAACCAGUACAAUUACUCCUACUCCUGCUCCAACAUCAAUGGUAAAUAAAACUGCUACUCCGAACACUGGAGAAAAUUCAAGUCAGAAACCCUCCGAAAGGUUAAUUAAAAUGAUGCUUGGUUAGAAUUUUUGAUGUCUUUACAUAUUUGAUUGGUGUUGAGCAGUUUCAUUUGUGUCGAUUGCAGUUCUAGAGAUAAACCCAGAGAAAGGCGGAGGCGCUCCGGUUGGGACUGUUAACCGUACAGUUGAACUACACCACUUUCGCAUCAUGAAUGACAAGUUUUACCUUUGUUGUAGGUCAAGUCCUGAUAUGCCUGUAUUAUUGUUGAUCUUUCUCACUUUCUUUGUCGCUCUGUUUAUAAGUUAAAAAGAAACAGAAGAUUUUGUAAACUCAGAUCGACUUGUUGCACAAAUAGCGGAUGAUUUAAAAGAUAGACUGUUCAGAUCAUUAAAAUACAUUAUGAAGUAGAUUCUACAAAAAGUUGUGCCAUGUAAAAAAAAUGUGGUGUUUCACAUGUGCUCCGUAUGUUAUUUAUAUUAAUCAUUCUGAAUAACAUCAUAACUCAACGAUUGGUAUAUAAUACAAUAAGGCCUCGUUUGAUGUCAAUGAUUUGAUUGGUUUUGAUUAGAUUAGAUUGGCUUAGUCUGGAGAAUUCACUAGAUUCAGUGAAUGUUGAAUGAAAAUAUGGAUUGCAUAUUUUGUUCAAGUGAAGAUGGAAGAGAAAAAGAAUAAGACUAGUAUAACAAAUCAAAUAUUUACGGAGCAUGCAUAGGUUUUUAAUUACAACUAUUCGUCAAUUGAUACUUCUAAUUUUUGGUUUUAAAUGCUAUUAUCUCUUAAAUAAAAUAAUUAUGUUGUUUUAGUCUCCUCAUCGUAUUGUACGUGUCGAAUUCGUGUGAAGUCUGGUGGGACAAGAGAGAGAUAAGGAGGUUGACUUUGAUCAAUUGAUCUCCUUUCCAUAACCAUUUUUCUUUACCUUCAUCCCCUUACACAAAGUCCGUUCUUAAGAUCUCGAGUUCUCUCUCAAUGGCUGCUAAAAGUUCCCGAGAUUCUUCUUCGUCCUCUUACCGGUGUUCCUAUCAUGCCUUCCUGAGUUUCAGGGGCCAGGACACGCGCAGGGGCUUACUGAUCACCUCUAUAGAGCUUUGGAGAUAGCAGGAAUCCACACGUUUAGAGACGAUGAUGAAAUCAAGAGAGGGGAGAAUAUUGAGUCGGAGUUAGAGAAGGCGAUACAGGAGUCACAAGUAUCGAUGUCUUCUCCAAGGACUACGCUUCCUCAAGGUGGUGUUUGAACGAACUUCUGAAGAUCGUGGAACGUAGAAAUACUGAUCAUAGACAUGUGGUUCUGCCAGUUUUCUAUGAGGUGGAUCCAUCCGAUGUCAGGAAGCAGAGUGGUCCUUUUGCUGAAGCAUUUGCCAGACAUGAGGAACGAUUCAGUACGGAGAUGGACAAGGUGGAGCAGUGGAGAAGAGCUCUUGGAGAUGUUGCAUCUUUGGGAGGAAUGGUUUUAGGAGAUCGGUAAUUUCUAUUCUCAAUAUAUUCUUGAGCUUAUUGAAAGUGUUUUAAAUUAAGUAAAAUUGUAGAUAUGUUCCUAUGUAUACAGCAAUUUGUACGAUGAGCAAUCAUCUCCGUACGACAUAUCAUUUACUACAACUUCAUGUAAAAGAAAAUAACUUAUUUCUGCUUCAUGUAUUUUGAUUCAAAUGAAUUACAGGUAUGAGGGGCAGUUCAUCCAAGAAAUUGUUGAAGAGAUUAGAAAUAAAGUGGGUCACGCAGCUUUAGACGUCGCUCCCUUUGCAGUUGGAAUGGAUAAUCGUGUGCAAGACCUAAACAUGUGGCUACAAGAUGGAUCCAAUGAUGUUGGUGUAGCUGUCAUCUGUGGGAUGGGUGGAAUUGGCAAGAGCACCAUCGCGAAAGCCGCGUAUAACCGCAACUUUGAUAGAUUUCAAGGUAGCAGCUUUCUUGCAGAUAUACGAGAAUCUGCAGAACAACCCAAUGGUUUUGCUUGCUUGCAAAGAAAACUUCUUUCAGAUAUCCAAAAGGGGAAAGCAAAGAAAGUAUACAAUAUGGAUGAAGGAACAAUCAGGAUCAAACAAGCCGUUGGCAAUAAAAAAGUUCUUAUUGUUCUUGAUGAUGUGAGCAACCGGGAUCAACUCAAUGCAAUUCUUGGAAUGCGAGAGUGGCUUCAUCCAGGAAGUAAAAUUAUCAUAACAACUAGACAUGAGCAUUUGUUAAAUGCUCAUAAAGUUUUUGAAAAGUUUAUGGUUCAAGGACUGGAUGAGGAUGAAUCACUAGAGCUUUUCUGUUGGCAUGCCUUCAGACAAUCCCAUCCAGAAGAAGGUUACAUGAAGCUUUCAAGACAUGUGGUCCAGCACUGUGGAGGGCUUCCAUUAGCUCUUCAAGUUCUGGGAUCUUCUCUAUCCGGAAAAUGUGUAGAAGUGUGGCAAAGUGCAUUGCAGAAGUUAGACGUGAUCCCUAAUGACAAAAUUCAAAAAGUUCUGAGGAUAAGUUUUGAUUCUUUACAAGAUGAUCAUGACAAAAAUUUAUUCCUUCACAUAGCCAGUUUCUUCACAGGAAAGAGGAUGGAUUAUACAAGUAGAAUAUUGGACAGCUUAGAGUUUUACACAAGGAUUGGGAUUGAAAAUCUAGUUGACAGAUGCCUAGUGAAAAUUCAAUGGAACAGGUUGGUCAUGCAUCAAUUGGUGAGAAAAAUGGCAAUGGAAAUUAUUCGUGAAGAAUCACCUGAUGACCCUGGAAAACGUAGUAGAGUGUUGCAGAAAGAUGCCUCUAAUAUUUUGAGAAAAUUAAGUGUAAGAACUAUGUUUUUCAUAUGUAUGUAUUUUUCGUUAUGAUUUGUAUGUGCAGUACUAGUAAUAUACUUACCCAAUUCUCUGAUUUGUUAGCAGGGUACGGAAAAUAUUAAGGGCCUCAUGCUCAACCUUGCUAGCAAAAGAACGUUUGUUCGAAGUGAUAAAAAACGAUGCCAUGUUGAAGAUUAUGAUGGAAAUUGUUCAAGACGACGUCGGCUUGGUUUCUUCUCUUGGAAGCCAAUUAGCUUUUCCUCCACAAACUCAGCUUCUGCAUCAAAUGAGAUAGAUUUCAAAUCUGAGGCAUUUAGAAGGAUGCAGAAUCUUGAAAUUCUCAUUCUCAACAACGUCAACAUCAGGGGAAGCUACGAAGAAUUUUCAAAAAAUUUAGUAUGUUUAUCUUGGCGGGGAUUCCACUUAAAAUCAAUACCAGAAAAUUUUUGUUUGGAAAACCUGGUUGUUCUAGACAUGCGAAAUAGUAGCCUACAACAUGUUUGGAAUGGGACCAGGGUAUGUAACUCUCUCUCUCUCUCUCUCACAAACACACACAAAUUAAUAGGGGCCAUUAUAUCGUCUUAGAAGCUAAUUCAUUUGUAUUAUUAUUGACACAGGUUAUUCCGAGGCUGAAGAUUCUUAAUUUCAGUCAUUCGCAUGGCCUUAGGACAAUCCCCGACUUCUCAGGACUCUAUAACCUUGAGAGGUUGAUUCUUAAACAUUGCUUAAAUUUGGUUGAGGUUCAUGAGUCCAUCGGACACCUAGAAAAACUUCUUGUUUUGAAUCUAAAAGGCUGCAAAAAUCUCAUGAAGCUUCCAAUAUUGAGAUCUAUUCAGGAUCUUAUUCUUUCUGGUUGCUCAAAGCUUGAAAUGAAGAAACUCAAUCUGGUAUCAUCUAAAUCAUGGUAUUCAGUCUGGUCGUGGGUGUCGCCAAGAAAAAAUACUAAAUUAAGCAGUUUCUCAUUGGCAAGUUUACCACGUUCUCUGACAAGUUUAAGUCUGGAUUGCUGCAAUAUAUCAGAGAUUCCAAGUGCCCUAACUAUGCUGUCCUCGUUAGAGUACUUGAAUCUGGAUGGUAAUCCGAUUACAAGCCUACCAGAAAGCAUGAACUAUCUUGUUAAGCUCCGGACUCUUAAAGGAUCUGAAUGCAGAAACCUCACAACACUUCCAGAGCUCCCACGUUCUUUGACGAGUUUAACGCUGGUUCGCUGCAAUAUAUCAGAGAUUCCAAGUUCCCUAACUAUGCUGUCCGCGUUAAAGUACUUGAAUCUGCAUGGUAGUCCGAUUACAAGCCUACCAGAAAGCAUGAACAAUCUUGUUAAGCUCCAGACUCUUAGAGUAUCUGGUUGCAGAAACCUCACAAUGCUUCCAGAGCUCCCACGUUCUUUGACAAGUUUAAAUCUGGCUUGCUGCAAUAUAUCAGAGAUUCCAAGUGCCCUAACUAUGCUGUCCUCAUUAAAGUACUUGGAUCUUGAUGGUAAUCCGAUUACAAGCCUACCAGAAAGCAUGAACAAUCUUGUUAACCUCCAGACUCUUGAUGUAACUGGUUGCAGAAACCUCACAAUGCUUCCAGAGCUCCCACGUAGUUUGGAACAAUUGCAUGAUAGAGGUUGCGCAUCAUUGAAAAGAAUAACAAAUUAACCGAAGUUGGCCAUGUCACCGGACUUAGAUUACUGGUUUUCUUGCAUAGUAAUGGACCCAAGGCUAUGGUAUUGUGGGAAACUUGUUGAUUUUAGAAGCUUGUUGGAUACACUAGCAUUGGUCUCAUAUCUCUCAGAUCUAUUCGAUUUGGAACCCAAAGGUGGCAUUGAGGUCCAAGGGAACUAUUGUGAGAGUUUGGGCGUCAAGGUUCUCUCUCUCUCUCUCUCUCUCUCUCUUAUGUACAGGUGCUUAUAAUAUGGUGAAUAAGAUCUCUAUGGCGUAAACGAUUAGAUUGUAAUGACAACAUCACCAUGGAACUGCAGGGAACUUUUGACUGCUGCAUAUUGAGCAUAUUUGUUCAGGGGAGCAAGAUUCCAGAUCGGUUCAAUUACAGGAGCAUGGGUAACACUGUGUUCUCUAUUAUUGUUCCUUCACAUCUUAAUCUCAAGAUCGUAGGUUUAAACGCAUGUAUAUUAUAUGCACAGCAGUCGGAUCGGAGCCUUGAGGUUGCACGUGGCCAUGAUCACCGUUCGCUUGAACUUAGGAAUGAGACAAAGGGCCGUAAGUGGAACUUAAGAAUGCGGAAUGAGGUUGAAUGGAACUUAAGAAUGCCGUUGGAUCAUGGGGAACAAUGAGUUGGAAUGCGGGGAAAGAGUGUGUCUUGCAAUCAAAGAGGACAAUGGUUUCCUCACAAAGGAGAUUGGAGUCCAGUUUGUGUACAAGCGGCAAAAUAAGGAUAGGGAGGAUGUGCCAUCAAGUAGUGAAGAUACAACGAUCCAACGAGAAAGAUCUCCUUGGGAGUAGACCCAAAGUUUCCUUGAAACCACAAGACCCCGUGUUCCGGGGGGUGUAGAGACGGGGAUUCAAUGCAUCCAUAGCUGCGAUAAGAAAGUAAUUUCAACUGUCAUGUGUGCGGCUGAAUACUAUUUCUGUAACAGUGACAGGAUCGAGAGGCUCUACCGCAGUGGGUCGUAGGCUUUCGGACUUUUAGCCAAAAUAACCCAGUUUAAUUGAUGUUGGUGAUGCCCAAAUCACUAGAUUCAGAUGUGUAUUGGUUGUUAAGCUUUCGUUUCUAUCUAUUUUCUGUUUCCUCCUAAAAAAUUGUUUUCAAGAAUUUAAUAAAAUUCCAUACCAAACAAGUUCUUGCCUAGAUAAGAGUAUGAACUAGCAAAAAUGCCCGUGCUGCGCUGCGUGGUUGUGUGACACGCAUUUGGUAAGCUUCGGGGGAGAUAAGAGUAAUGGUAGAACUUAAUGAAACUUGGUUGAUUAGAUUUUUUUUUUUUUUUUUUUUUUGUUCAUAGUAACGGGCAUUGUGCAGGUAAGUCAUUUUCUUCAGAGAAUUGGGGAACAGGUUCAUGGUCUUCUUUACACAAAUCUAUGUUUAGUUUACCACAUAGAUUAGUGGCAACGAUCACACGACCAUCGCCAACUACCGCUACUUCGAAAUCAAAAAACCGCAAACUAAGGUUAAGUGUUGGUAAAGAUGAAAGGUUAUAUGUAUUAUGUGACUAAUGACUGAUGUUGCCGAGACACGAAAAACAUGAAGCUUCCUGGAACUAUUUGGUUUAGUGAAAAGUAAAUUUCGAACAUUGUUUCGUGGUGUUACGCAUGCCAACCACAUACUCUGCGGGUGCUCACAAGGAUUCGACAUCUUCUUCCUGAUGCUCCAGAACAAUGGUGGCAAGAGCAAGUCUAUAAGCUGAAGAUCUCAAAUUCCUGACUAGAACAUAUAUUUCCUUUCGUCUUCGCUUAGCUGGCACCAAAUCCCAUUGUUCCUCUCUGAGACGAGCGAGUACAACUGCCUCGCAAAAAGCUUCUGCUACUGGCUUCUUGCUGCAUAUAAAAUAAAAUGCAAUUUAGCACAUGGAAAAUGAUGAACGCAUAGCAAAAUAGAAAGAAAAGAUGGUCGUUGUAAAGUGGCAAGAGGCUGUGAACUAACAUCCCUCUAACAAAACCAGUGGUGACGAAGCCCAUUGGCGAACGAUAAGUUUCUCUAAGAACAGGGUCCUCUGGCAUUUGGAGUUCCCACUUACCAGAAGAUUGCUCUGUGAAGUACGAAGCCACAGCAGAUUGAGGCAUUUGAAGUCCUCCAUCGAAACUCUCUGACCUGCAAGACACACACAUGAAGCUUAUUUUUCAAAAUUAUUGGUCUGCAGCAUGAAUGGUGCUCUGAAAUACGUAUAAAGUCUUUCAAAAAUAGCUGCAAAACUUCAAGUCACUCCCACGAUUAAAAUUUUCAACGGUUACAUUAAAUCUCAGAAAAUUUUCAUCAAUGCAAGUUCUGAAUAAGAGACGUAAUGUAAAUAGGUCACAUUAUCUCCUCUACUAGUAUAUAAAAGACGAGAAAAUUUCAAGCACCACCGUUGUAAUACAAUCAUAAGCUUAUAGGAUAGCAUAUAAAUCAUAAGCUUAUAGGAUAUCAAAGAAAAAAUGACUACCUAGUCCACAGUGAUAUGUCCGUCAGUCGAGGAGCUCCCUCUUCAAGAAAACCUUCCUUGUAAGCAUGGAGUAAUACUCCAACAAAACAUAGUUUAUGAUUGUACUUAAAUCUAGUAAACUGAUCUUGGCCCGGACCAAGCUUGAUUUCGACCCUCAUAAACUUCGUGAAACUUCUCUCCUUAUCAGCGACAUAUGGAAACAGACGUAAAUGACAGCCUUGAAUUUCACUCAAGAAAUUUGUCAGCAAAAAACUCGUCUGUGCGAUAAAACCAUCAAAUGAAUUUCCAUGACAGCCGGCUAAUGUAGUAUCAGAAUUUCCAGAGUCUGAAUUAGUGAUGAAUAGCUUCUGAUGCCAUGUUGCUGCCUAAAACUUUCAGCAUCUCCAACUGCAUUUGAUUCUUCGUUUAAAGCAACUUGGAUACUAUUCCAUGGGGAUAAAAUGGGAACCCUCAAAGGUCUUAUGGCUGGAGGAUGAAGUUCCUCUUUAAGAUUAGAGGCAGCAGCUUCGGUCUCCUUGAGGCAUAAAUAUGCAUCGCAAUCAGGAAAAUCUGAAGGAAUAUAUGGCAACCCCAUCUAGAAAAUAAAAGGGACUUAGAUGCAACAUUCGAUAACCUGAUAUUAAAUAUUAUAAUUUACACGUAAUAAGUUUCAAUGCUUACUUCACACGAAAUCCAGCGCUUCUCUCUCAACCCCAUUGCAUGAGCCCCCUUAGAGACAAGAGAAAUCCAAAAUGCCUUGACCCAGCUUAAGGGGAGUAUAACAGACCAUCUGUAAGGCAAUAAGAGAUAGACUUCUAAGGUAACUUUAAAAAUAUAUCAUACUCAAUUGAACAGAUGAUAAAGUUUGAUGCAUUGAUGGAAUUUUAAGGCGAGUCAGAAAAAAACAGAUUGUCACAUUCUACUUUCAUGAAAUCCAGAACUUCGAAGAUCACGUUAUCAAUUAUUGCACAAAGAGUCAGCAGGAACAUUUAUGCCAUGACUUUCAUGUUUCCGAUAAAAAGACAUAGAACUCCAUAAUAUAUAUCUUAUGAGAAACAAAAUAUAUUAACAGUUUAUAAACAGUACGAACAUACAACUCAGGAGAAAUGGUGCCCACUGAACCCACAUAUAAGCAUUAAUACAAGUACAUAAAAUAUGCAGCAAUUAGCUUAAUCCACAUAACACUAAAUGGAAGAAUAAACCAGGAAAAAAAGGAGUUUACCCAACAUGCAAGCCUCUUCCGUUACUAUCUUCAAAAGCAUAAUCGGGCAAGAUCAUGAGCCCUGUGACGUGGAGGAAGUAUUUAGUUCCCCUGAACUUCAAUCAUCGAGGCUGAACAAAUUCCUAUUCUGGUCAUGUUUUUCCUUGCAAAGAACAGCCUCUUCCACUGGAGGGCUUACUCCACUGCUAACAUCCUACAAAUUGUUUGCUCUGAUCUUGCCAUUACCUGCAGGUUCAUCUGAAAAUCGUCCAAAGAUAACAUGCUUUUUGUCUUCAGCUCCUAGUACAUCACCUAGUAUACUAGCUGAACCUAAAUCUUGAGCAUCUGCAGUGUUUCCCUUCUCUGUUAAUGUGCAAGGAUCCUUGACAUUAAGGGACAAAAUUGCAUGAGAAGGAAUUUCCUCCUCAUUUUUAAGAUGAAUUGUAGAUUGGGAAUCCUCAUCCGCCUUGGCAGCUGAAUGUCUCAUCAACUUCCAAGAAUUAUCUCUAGUCCUAUUCAGCCAGACAACAAAAUUAGCCAUCUUUAACCUCAUUACUUGGUUAUGUCACUGAAAUCCUCUCCGUAACUCACCUGGUAGAAGGGAUUAAUGUCCUUUGAAGGAGUUGAAAUGCUUUUGAUCCCACUAAUUCUAAUUUUGCAAGUUGACCCUCAAGUGAGAAACAAUUAAUCACGAUGUCCCUGCCCUCCAUCUAAGAUAAUAAAGCAUUAUAUGAAUAACAGUAAAUAAUCUACCGAGAACAUGUAGUAUCAUCUAACAGUAUGAGUUCUCUAUUCUGACAUCUACCAAGUCUAGACUAGAGGCAAACUUUGACACCUAAGCACAGCACAAAAACCACUUGAGAUAGCAUUUGAAAAAAAAUGUUGGCUUAUCAGAGAAUCAAGUACAAAGCAUAGAAGUAGACGAGUUUCAGUAUUGCCCUAAAUCAUCAUUCACUCAAAGAAUUCAAUACCAAACCAGGGCUGUUGCAUUCUAUCUUAAGAUCCAUAAAUCAUUAUUUCCUUCCUUCUGACGUGAAGUCAGAUGAGAUUAAGCCUCUAUACACUUGCUAUUGAUGUAUGUGUGAACAAAAAGAAGGAAUGGGUACCUCUUUUUGGCAAGCUAAUUUCAAAGUGUCAUAAGCUUCAGUGAGAGCAGAAGCAUGUAUCCACACCCAAAGCUGGCGAUCAGUAGAAGAGUGGUUUGUACUCUCUAGUCCUUUAAAUUCAUCGCCUUCACAGUCAGCUGCAUUAUUAUCUCUAUUUGGUUGGCCAGAAGGCCGCCACAUACAGUUCACAGGAGCAAUUGGUUUUGAAAGAGGUGCUCCCAAAUGAUGAAGCUGCAAAAAAUGGGUCAUCAAGUCAAUACCUCAAGUCAUCCACAUUCACAAAGAAAAGUGCAAUAGGAUAACUUACCAUAGCAUUAUCAUAUAUGACGCCAGAAAUAACAGAACGGGAAACAUUUUCAGAACGAGUUGACUGAGGAGACACCAUUACCAUGCCUAACACUGAUAGUAACGAAUCCUGGAUGCAUAUGAAGUAGGGUGUAACAUCAUAAUUUAGUAGCAGAAAAUAACAUAUUGCAACACUUUUCCUUUUGAAGAAAAAUAAAUUAAAAGGUAUACAAUUUCAUAGGAAUAAAUUCAUAAGAUAGAAAGUAAAUGCCUGCCUCCGGCCCCUCCAAUUGGAUAGCUACAUGAUAGCUUGCAUCAUGAACAAGCACUCCAUCCCUGAACCACUUCAAGACAGCUCUGGACCCCCUUCCUCUACAUUUUAUUGUUUUUUUUUUUUUUGAUAAAAUAGAUAUACAAGCGAAUUAGUUAUUUAUUGAGAAAUAGAAGAAAUAAUAAGCGAAAAGUAAAGAAUAACACUGCUAAAUUAAUAUGCGUUUUACCUGCCCUGCAAACCCAAGGGAAGGUAGUAACCCCAAAGCUCUGUCAUUGCGAACCGCUUCGCAUGCCAAACAUGUGUUCUAAGCCUCUUUGUACCAUCCCCUGAUGUGCAGAAACCCUUUUCAAGGUUCAUUUUAAGCUCAGCUCUCCUACGAAUGCGAUGAGGAACAUUCUUGUCAUCUUUCUCUGGAGGCAAUGUCAAAGCAUUACUCUGAUCAAGUUUUCUCUAUUUUCUAAAUCUUUUUUUGGCGGCUUGAUUGUCGUAAGCAGUGGUUCUUCUUCUCUUGCUUCUCCGAGACCGGAAAUCAUUGUUCAAUCUGUUAGAUACAAUUGAAUGGAGUGUCUCAAGCUCUGAACCCCGUGAUUCUGCAAACUUUUGGACAUUGAUUUUUCGAGGCGGAGCUGAUGAAACCUGUUGCCGUCUGAAACCAUCGGUAGCCAUUAGACAAAAUUAAACCCCUCAGAUGAAGAACGAUAUUAUACCAGUCUGCCACACAAUUAUAAUCGCCUCUUCACUCUUCGGACAUCAUUGGUCUCUAUUCGCAGUACUACUCUAUUACUCUGAAAUGUCCAAAAACAAAUUGUAAGAUUCUUCAAAGCGUAGCAAUCGCAACUGGUUCCAAUUCCAAUUACUUUUUAUGGCGCAUUUACGUAACGUAAUCAAAAUAGAGGAAUUGAAUUGAGGAGGACUCAGAAUCGGAUUCUAUUGAAGCUGUUGGAAUCGGAUUCUAUUCGCAGUACUAGUACUGUGAAAUGUCCAAAAACAAUUUUUGAGAUUCUUCAAAGCUUAGCAAUCGCAACUGUGGUUCCAAUUCCAAAUAAAUAUAAAGUUCGAAACAAUAGAAAACAUCAGAUACGAAAUUCACAGUCUAACUAACAUGAUAACAUCAAUGAUACAACAACUUCAACUUAACUUUCGAAAACCAAUAUGUAAUGACACAAAGCUAAAUGAGCAACUACUGCGGUAUCCAAUAAAUAUAUAAAGAUUGAAACAAAGAAAACAUUAAGAUAAGAAAUUCUGAAUGCAAUGUGACCAACAAAAUCAAUUACUUGGCACUGGCACUGCCACUGUAGGAAUUUAACAAAAGAAACUCCUCACAUCAACCACCAGUUGCAUUGCGUGUAUCAAAACUCACCAGAUAUGCUCACAAAUUCAUACUAACAAUUAUUUUAAAAACAAAAUCAAAAUAAGAACAAGGAUGCAGUGCAGUGCAGAUUCACUCGAAAACUAAGUGAGAUUGCGGGAUUAUCGGAACUGAAUGGCUUGGAUUUGCGUUUCAGCUUCUGGUUAUCUAGUGGUAGACGUCACAAAAUUAGUAAAAUUAACUAAUUUGAAUGAAAAUAAAGAAUAAAACUUUACCAUGGGAAUCUGCAAGCAGAGAUAGAGAGAGAGUACCUGAGGACUGAGAGAAGAAGAAUAUGUGAGAGGGAGAGGAGAGAGAUUUUGCAGCUGAAGAGUGGAGAAAGAAAGGAGGGAAAAGGGGUACCGAGCAAGUGGCAGCCUACUUGAUACCUGGAGCAAUUUAAUUGAUUACCGUUGGAUCAAUCUCAACGGCUGAAACUAAACACUUUCUGUAUCCAAGAAAAACAAGGCAUCGGACUGAAAACUCCAUUCAGGACUCGGAUUGAUUCAUCAGCGCGCUCACUCUCACUCUGUUGUUUUAAGUGAUGGAUCAUAUAAACUAAGGAAGCCAGAUCGUCGUUGUUUUCAGAGAAACACAUCUUCUCGGCCCUCUCAACUCCGAAACACACACGAGGGAGGCCAAAUGGGCCUCAGCCUUCUUCCUCGCAAUCUCACAACAAACCCAUACCUCUACCAAACGGCCCUCGCAACCUCUACCACUUUCGCUGAUUCAAUCCACGUCUUCGUCGAGGUAAAGACUUCAUCUUUUUCAAUGUUAGAGUUAAUGGGUUUUACCCCUUUACCUGAUCAAGUAUGUAAUCGCCAUUGUAAACUUGCAUGCUAGUUCUUCUCUGAUCAAGGCCAGGAAGUCGACCGAUGCUAAAUUGGAUUAUUCUCACAUCACGGUAAAACAAUUUUUGAAAUUACUGCCUGAAGUUUACUGCAUUUUCGUCACUAAUCUAAACCCAGAUAUGAGAUAUCGAAUAAGUAGCAAAUUGAUUUUGGGAUUUUAGGUUGAGCUUCGGACAGUUGAUGGGUUCUUGAAGGAUAGCACUCAAGAGUUACUACUUCAUUCCCGUUUAUGACAAGGUAUUAUUUCUUAUUCUUUUUCGGUGUCAGAUUUCGCUGGAUCUUUGCAUUUCACGUGCUCUCAUGCUUCAGUGAUGAUGUUGUGUUGUCUGUUAAAUUAUCGGAGGAGAUGGCGAAGAGCUAGACCGGUAAACGGUCGGAUUUAUUGGAUUUGAGUCGGGUUGAAUCCGAUCUGUUAAUUUAAUGGGUCAUUUAAACCCAACCCGUUAAAUUGACUGAUCAUCCGAACCCAACUUGUUAACAUUUUAUCCAAAUCAAUUACAAUCCCGUUUUAUAUAGUAGAAUUCGACUUUCUAUCAAUUAUAUGCAUCUCCUAAUCUUAACAUGGAUGAGAAAAUUGUAUAAGUAAAACACAACUUCGGCAGACCCGACAAUGAUGAGCCCUGCGAGGCUUGUAUUUAGAACACUUUUCACAGCCCCCAUGUCAGAGAUCAAGAAUCAAAAGUUUCAAAAUUAGCUACAGAGAGAAGAAAUCAGCAUUUUUAAUGUGCGGCUAGACGCACUGCCAUAAAGUACUUGAUGACGUGAACUCUUCAAAAAUUCAAUGAAAGUGGGUUGCAGGGGGAAGAGAGAGAGAGCUUUGCUUUUAAUAGUGCAGUACUGCAGUAUUCCGUCGAGUUGAAGAAGACGUCGGAGAGAGUGGUAAUUUCUGAGGAAGAAGGUGAGGGGGAAGUUCUCAGAGAUGACGUGCACACUACUGCAAUAGUGCAAUGCGAGAGAGUGAGGGUUUCAUUAUUACUAUUGAAAUUACACAAAAGCCCUCAAUAACGAGUGUUAACGGGUGGUUAAUGGGUUUCGCAGGUUCAUCCAAAAUAACCCGUUAUUUAACGGGUGCUUAAUGGGUUGACCCCGUUAACUACCCGACCCGAUAAACACUCAUCCACAUACUCAUUUUAACGGGUCAGAUCGGGUUGGGUUAACGGGUCGGAUUUAAAAUGCCAGUGCUACGAAGAGCCAUACACUUGGUAUUGCUUACUCGACUGAAACUCUCUGGUUGGGACUGUUAAUUGUACAGUUGAACUACACCACUCUCACAUCAUGAAUGACAGGUUUUGUUUUUGUUAUAGAUCAAGUCCUGAUUUGCCUGUAUUAUUGUUGAUCUUGGUAAGUUUACUUAUUUAGCUUUAGUUGGGUUCCUAAUUAUGCAUGCUUGUACUUUUUGUUCCAUACUUUGAAAUUGGCUUCAACCGCAAGAUCAUUCAAUUUGGUCACUUUUUUUUUAUAAUUUGGAACUAGUCCCCUAGACCAACCAACCUUCUUUAUAAUUUGACUCCUUCACGUAAAGCCACAUGCCCCCAAAAAUACCCUAAACCCGAAAGUCAAAUUAACUUUUGACCAAAAAAACCAAAUAUUGUCAAAUUAACGGUUUGAUUAAUGGAGGUAUGAAAUUGCUAAAAAAUACAAGUUUGUGUAUGAGAUUAAAAUGCUCUAAAGAUGUUGUAUGAGGUUACAAUUACACUCACACUUAGGAUGUAAAAUGUUAUUUACUUAAUUUUAAUUGUAAAUUUUGAAGUUUUCAAGGGCAAUUUAUGGUAUUUACAUUUAGAAUGCUUCACAAUAUAAAGUCUCCCACUUUAUAGAUAUAGACAAUUUAAUUGUAAAUUUUGAAGUUUUCAUGGAUAAUUUAUGGUAUUUUGAAUGUUUCAUCCUAUAUAAAAUUUAUGGUAUUUUGAAUGUUUCAUCCUAUAUAUAUAUAUAUAUAUAUAUAUAAAGGUUUAUGUACACCUCGUGUAACUUUUUUUUGUCCUAGUUUCAUCAAAGAACUGCUAGUGGGGGAUUCUCCACAAAAAUUGAUAGUCAAAGUCCUCUCAAAUUCUAUAUUAUCCUCAACAUCCCAUUCACUUACGAGGAAACUUCGUCGUCAAUAAGUGUGGAGUGCCUGGUGGCUAAUGGGAACCUUCCUCUUCAUAUAUCAUAUUAUGUCUUGUCCCUCUCAGAAACUGCAUAUAAUUGUCCUUGGCCUUGCAUAUGCUUGCCCUGCUUUCAUUCAUUGCGAGAACCAAGAAGCAGAGGGUUUCUCUAGAUGGAUGCUUUCCGAGAUUCCUCUUCCUCCUCUUACCGGUGUUCCUAUCAUGCCUUCUUGAGUUUCAGAGGCCAGGACACGCGCAGGGGCUUUACUGAUCACCUCUAUAGAGCCUUGGAGCUAGCAGGAAUCCACACGUUUAGAGACGAUGAUGAAAUCAAGAGAGGGGAGAAUAUUGAGUCGGAGUUAGACAAGGCGAUACAGGAGUCACAAGUAUCGAUAAUUGUCUUCUCCAAGGACUACGCUUCCUCAAGGUGGUGUUUGAACGAACUUCUGAAGAUCGUGGAACGUAGAAAUACUGAUCAUAGACAUGUGGUUCUGCCAGUUUUCUAUGAUGUGGAUCCAUCCGAUGUCAGGAAGCAGAGUGGUACUUUUGCUAAAGCAUUUGCCAGACAUGAGGAGCGAUUCAGUACCGAGAUGGACAAGGUGGAGCAGUGGAGAAGAGCUCUUGGAGAUGUUGCAUCUUUGGGAGGCAUGGUUUUAGGAGAUCGGUAAUUUCUAUUCUCAUUAUCUUCUCACGCUAAUUGAAAGUGUCUUUUAAAUUAAGUAAAAUUGUAGAUGGUGGUGAAGCUUGAAAUUGUUCGAUUUUGGUUUAUGUGUUCAGUGUUCCUAUCUAUACUGCAAUUUGUACGAGGAGCAAUCAUUUCCGUACAUGACAUAUUAUGUAAAAGAAAAUAACUUAUUUCUACUUCGUAUAUUUUGUUUCAAAUGAAUUACAGGUAUGAGGGGCAGUUCAUCCAAGAUGUUGUUGAAGAGAUUAGUAAUAAACUGGAUCCCGCAGCUUUAGACGUUGCUCCCUUUGCAGUUGGAAUAGAUAAUCGUGUGCAAGACCUAAAUAUGUGGUUACAAGAUGGAUCAAAUGAUGUUGGUGUAGCUGUCAUCUGUGGUAUGGGUGGAAUUGGCAAGAGCACCAUUGUGAAAGCUGCUUAUAACCAAAACUUUGAUAGAUUUCAAGGUAGCAGCUUUCUUGCAGAUAUACGAGAAUCUUCAGAACAACCUAAUGGUUUUGCUCGCUUGCAAAGAAAACUUCUUUUAGAUAUCCAAAAGGGGAACGCAAAGAAAGUAUACAAUGUGGCUGAAGGAAUAAGCAGGAUCAAACGAGCCGUAGGCUAUAAAAGAGUUCUUAUUGUUCUCGAUGAUGUGAACAGCCGGGAUCAACUCAAUGCAAUUCUUGGAAUGCGAGAAUGGCUUCAUCCAGGAAGUAAAAUUAUCAUAACAACUCGACAUGAACAUUUGUUAAAUGCUCAUGAAGUUUGUGAAAAGUUUAUGGUUCGAGAACUGGAUGAAGAUGAAUCACUUGAGCUUUUCAGUUGGCAUGCCUUCGGACAAUCCCAUCCGGUAGAAGGUUACAUGGAGCUUUCAAGACAUGUGGUGCAGCAUUGUGGAGGGCUUCCAUUAGCUAUUCAAGUUCUGGGAUCUUCUUUAUCUGGAAAAAGUGUAGAAGUAUGGCAAAGUGCAUUGCAGAAGUUAGACGUGAUCCCUAAUGACAAAAUUCAAAAAGUUCUGAGGAUAAGUUUUGAUUCUUUACACGAAGAUCAUGACCAAAAUUUAUUCCUUCAUAUAGCUAGCUUCUUCACAGGAAAGACGAUGGAUUAUAUAAUUACAAUACUGGACAACUUAGAGUUUUGCACAAGGGUUGGGAUUGAAAAUCUAGUUGAUAGAUGUCUAGUGACAAUUCAAGGGACGAAGUUGGUCAUGCAUCAAUUGUUGAGAAACAUGGCAAUGGCAAUUAUUCGCAAAGAAUCACCUCAUGACCCUGGAAAACGUAGUAGAGUGUUGCAGAACGAUGCCUCUAAUAUUUUGAGAAAAUUAAGUGUAAGAAAUGUGUUUUUCAUGCGUAUGUAUUUUUAGUUAUGAUUUGCAUGUGCAGUACUGGUUAUAUACUUACCCAAUGCUCUGAUUUUUUUGCAGGGCACAGAAAAUAUUAAGGGCCUCAUGCUCAACCUUGCUAGCAAAAGAACAUUUGUUGGAAGUGAUAACAAACGAUGCCAUGCUGAAGAUUAUGAUGGAAACUGUUCAAGACGACGUCGGCUUGGUUUCUUCUCUUGGAAGCCAGUUAGUUUUUCCUCCACAAACUCAGCUUCUGCAUCAAAUGAGAUAGAUUUCAAAUCUGAGGCUUUUAGAAGGAUGCACAAUCUUGAAAUUCUCAUGCUCAACAACGUCAACGUCAGGGGAAGCUACGAAGAAUUUUCAAAAAAAUUAGUAUGUUUAUCUUGGCGAGGAUUCCACUUAAAAUCAAUACCCGAAAAUUUUUGUUUGGAAAACCUGGUUGUUCUAGACAUGCGAAAUAGUAGCCUACAACAUGUUUGGAAUGAGACCAGGGUAUGUAAUUAUCUCUCUCUCUCUCUCUCUCUCACACACACACAAAAAUUAAUAGGGGCCAUUAUAUCUUCUUAGAAGCUAAUUAAUUUGUAUUAUUAUUGAAACAGGUUAUUCCGAGGCUGAAGAUUCUUAAUUUCAGUCAUUCGCAUGGCCUUAGGACAGUCCCCGAUUUCUCAGGACUCUAUAACCUUGAGAGGUUGAUUCUUAAACAUUGCAUAAAUUUGGUUGAGGUUCAUGAGUCCAUCGGAAACCUAGAAAAACUUGCUGUUUUGAAUCUAGAAGGCUGCAAAAAUCUCAUGAAGCUUCCAGUAUUGAGAUCUAUUCAGGAUCUUAUUCUUUCUGGUUGCUCAAAGCUUGAAAUGAAGAAACUCAAUCUGGUAUCAGCUAAAUCAUGGUAUUCAGUCUGGUCGUGGGUGUCGCCAAGAAAACAUACUGAAUUAAGCAGUUUCUCAUUGGCAAGUUUACCACGUUCUUUGAUAAGUUUAAGUCUGGAUUGCUGCAAUAUAUCAGAGAUUCCAAGUGCCCUAACUAUGCUGUCCUCGUUAGAGUACUUGAAGCUGGAUGAUAAUCCGAUUACAAGCCUACCAGAAAGCAUGAACAAUCUUGUUAAGCUCCAGAGUCUUAAAGUAUCUGGUUGCAGAAACCUCACAAUGCUUCCAGAGCUCCCACGUUCUUUGACAAGUUUAACACUGGCUUGCUGCAAUAUAUCAGAGAUUCCAAGUGCCCUAACUAUGCUGUCCUUAUUAGAGUACUUGGAUCUUGAUGGUAAUCCGAUUACAAGCCUACCAGAAAGCAUGAACAAUGUUGUUAAGCUCCAGACUCUUAAAGUAUCUGGUUGCAGAAACCUCACAAUACUUCCAGAGCUCCCACGUUCUUUGACAUGUUUAACACUGGCUUGCUGCAAUAUAUCAGAGAUUCCUAGUGCCCUAACUAUGCUGUCCUCAUUAGAGUACUUGGAUCUUGAUGGUAAUCCGAUUACAAGCCUACCAGAAAGCAUGAACAAUGUUGUUAAGCUCCAAACUCUUAAAGUAUCUGGUUGCAGAAACCUCACAAUACUUCCAGAGCUCCCACGUUCUUUGACAGGUUUAACACUGGCUUGCUGCAAUAUAUCAGAGAUUCCAAGUGCCCUAACUAUGCAGUCCUCAUUAGAGUACUUGGAUCUUGAUGGUAAUCCGAUUACAAGCCUACCAGAAAGCAUGAACAAUCUUGUUAAGCUCCAGACUCUUAAAGUAUCUGGUUGCAGAAACCUCACAAUACUUCCAGAGCUCCCACGUUCUUUGACAGGUUUAACACUGGCUUGCUGCAAUAUAUCAGAGAUUCCAAGUGCCCUAACUAUGCAGUCCUCAUUAGAGUACUUGGAUCUUGAUGGUAAUCGGAUUACAAGCCUACCAGAAAGCAUGAACAAUCUUGUUAAGCUCCAGACUCUUAAAGUAUCUGGUUGCAGAAACCUCACAAUACUUCCAGAGCUCCCACGUUCUUUGACAUGUUUAACACUGGCUUGCUGCAAUAUAUCAGAGAUUCCAAGUGCCCUAACUAUGCAGCCCUCAUUAGAGUACUUGGAUCUUGAUUGUAAUCCGAUUACAAGCCUACCAGAAAGCAUGAACAAUCUUGUUAAGCUCCAGACUCUUAAAGUAUCUGGUUGCAGAAACCUCACAAUACUUCCAGAGCUCCCAAGUUCUUUGACAUGUUUAACACUGGCUUGCUGCAAUAUAUCAGAGAUUCCAAGUGCCCUAACUAUGCUGUCCUCGUUGGAGUACUUGGAUCUUGAUGGUAAUCCGAUUACAAGCCUACCAGAAAGCAUGAACAAUCUUGUUAAGCUCCAGACUCUUAAAGUAUCUGGUUGCAGAAACCUCACAAUACUUCCAGAGCUCCCACGUUCUUUGACAUGUUUAACACUGGCUUGCUGCAAUAUAUCAGAGAUUCCAAGUGCCCUAACUAUGCUGUCCCUCGUUGGAGUACUUGGAUCUUGAUGGUAAUCCGAUUACAAGCCUACCAGAAAGCAUGAACAAUCUUGUUAAGCUCCAGACUCUUAAAGUAUCUGGUUGCAGAAACCUCACAAUACUUCCAGAGCUCCCAUGUUCUUUGACAAGUUUAACACUAGCUUGCUGCAAUAUAUCAGAGAUUCCAAGUGCCCUAACUAUGCUGUCCUCGUUGGAGAAGUUGGAUCUGAGUUGCAAUCCGAUUACAAGCCUACCAGAAAGCAUGAACAAUCUUGUUAAGCUCCAAACUCUUAAAGUAUCUGGUUGCAGAAACCUCACAAUACUUCCAGAGCUCCCACAUUCUUUGACAAGUUUAACACUGGCUUGCUGCAAUAUAUCAGAGAUUCCAAGUGCCCUAACUAUGCUGUCCUCGUUGGAGAAGUUGGAUCUGAGUUACAAUCCGAUUACAAGCCUACCAGAAAGCAUGAACAAUCUUGUUAAGCUCCAGACUCUUAAAGUAUCUGGUUGCAGAAACCUCACAAUACUUCCAGAGCUCCCACGUUCUUUGACAAGUUUAACACUGGCUUGCUGCAAUAUAUCAGAGAUUCCAAGUGCCCUAACUAUGCUGUCCUCAUUAGAGUACUUGGAUCUUGAUGGUAAUCUGAUUACAAGCCUACCAGAAAGCAUGAACAAUCUUGUUAAGCUCCAGACUCUUAAAGUAUCUGGUUGCAAAAACCUCACAAUGCUUCCAGAGCUCCCGCGUAGUUGAAACAAUUGUGUGAUCGUGGUUGCACAUCAUUGAAAAGAAUAACAAAUUAACCGAAGUUGGGCAUGUCACCGGGCUUAGAUUACCGGUUUUCUUGCAUAGUAAUGGACCCAAGGCUAUGGUAUUGUGGGAAACUUGUUGAUUUUAGAAGCUUGUUGGAUACACUAGCAUUGGACUUAUAUCUCUCAGAUCUAUUCGAUUUGGAACCCAAAGGUGGCAUUGAGGUCCAAGGGAACUAUUGUGAGAGUUUGGGCGUCAAGGUUCUCUCUCUCUCUCUCUCUCUCUCUCUCUCUCUCUCUCAUGUACAAAUGCUUAUAAUAUGGUGAAUAAGAUCUCUAUGGCGUAAACGAUUAGAUUGUAAUGACAACACCACCAUGAAACUGCAGGGAACUUUUCACUGCUGCAUAUUGAGCAUAUUUGUUCAUGGGAGCAAGAUUCCAGAUCGGUUCAAUUACAGGAGCAUGGGUAACACUGUGUUCUCUAUUAUUGUUCCUUCACAUCUAAGGGGGGUGUAUUCAAUUAGGAUUUUGAGAGAGUCUCUAGGAAUUAAUGAUUCCAGGUGUAUUCAAUUGGGAAUUUAAAAGACUUUAUAAAAGUCUUGGUGUAUUCAAUUGAGAUUCUUAAAGACUUCUUACAAUUCCCUAUAAAUUCAGGUGUAUUCAAUCAUAACUUUUUGAAAGUCUCUAAAAGUUUAGGUAUAUUGAGAAAGGAAUUGGAUUUGAACGGAUUUGUGAUUUGGUGGAUUUUGGAGGAUUUCAAGGUGAUAUGUAUACCAAAGAGCUUGGCAAAUCUCACCUCAACCCUAGAAACUUUGAGACAUGUUGAGCGUGCUGCUCUCUCCUCCAGAGAGCGUCUUCUCCUCCCCAGAAACAUGGGCUCCAAGGUAAAAAAUUUCUCACCUUGUACAUGCUAUCUUUUUUUCUCCCCUUCAAGCUUCAUGAUUUUCUUGUUUUGAUAGUGUUGUUCUAGGGUUAGGGUUUUUCUGGUUACUUUGGAGUUAAGGUUUUUCUUGUUAGGGUUAGGGUUUUUCUGACCAUCAAACUUUGUGAAAUUUUUAUAUAUAUAUUGUGAAGAUACAAGUAUUGAUUUUACCGUUUGGAUCCAAAAGUUGUUGAGUUUCUGCUUUGAUUACUUUGGAAUACAGUAUAGAUUGGGUUAGGGUUUGGAAUUCUCAAGUUUGUAUAGGUUGUUUUCCUUUUCCAUCCCGUAAUCAGUGGAGCACUGAUCCUUUUCUUUUCAACUGCAACAUUCUUGCAACCUCAUUCUUUUUCUUUUCAUCUUAAUAAAAAAUUUAUUUCAUGCCUCAAAGUUUUUUUUUUUAGUCGAAACAUGGUAGGGUGAAGUUGUUUCCUUGAUUUUUCAACCUUUGUAUCUAGUCUAUUCCUGAUCAGCCUGUAAUAGGGCUCGUACUUCUUGGCAUUCUUUACGGUAUCAUAAAUCAAAUCAAAACCAAUGGAUUUCCCCCUCCAAAAUGGGUGCAGAACUUGAAUAUGAAGAUGGAAUUUGGGUCCCUCACCUCUGAAAACGUUGUCUAUACAAAUAAUUUGUCACUCCAAAAGUUGUUGAGUUUCUGCUUUCUCUAUUCUUUUAAAAUGUUUUUUGCUCACUUAUACGAAUUAGCUGUGAAUAAAGAAUCCAUGUGAUCAUAUACACAAACUAAUUACGUUUAUUAUCUUAUUAUAGGGAGUUCAUUUGGAGUUGCAAGGAAGUGAUUUCAGAGGUGAGGCAUUUAUGUCCAAUAUUCUUCUGAACUAUCGUCCUAAUAUUUAGAACUCACCUUGAUAUGUAAAUGUAUGACUGGAACGAAUUUAUGACUCCAAACUGUAUUAGCUGCUUGUAACUUUGAUUUGGAAUUCAUAUAUAUUCUUAGUUGAUGGGAGGGUUCAGCUCAUGACUCCAAACUGUUACAUGAUGUUGUAUCAAGGAAGAACAGACUUAAAGUUCCAGAAGGUUCGUAUUCAUUCAUUUAUUUACACUAGGACGUACCAUAAAUAAUAACUUUAUGUGUUUUAUUUUUAGGUAAAUUUUUUCUAGUGGAUUGUGGAUUUGCAAAUCGUCGUCAAAUUUUAGCUCUGUUUUGAGGUGUUCGAUAUCAUCUCCAAGAUUUUGCUGGUAACGAUCGUGACCCCGUAAAUGCAAAUGAGUUGUUCAAUCUUCGACAUGCUUCCUUGAGAAACAUAGUGGAGAGGAUAUUUGGUGUAUUUAAAUCUCGAUUCAUAGUUUUUAAGUCUGCACCUCCAUUUCCAAUGAAAACACAAGCAGAGUUAGUGUUAGCUUGUGCAGGAUUGCACAACUUUCUUCGCAAAGAGUGUCGUUCUGAUGAAUUUCCAAUCAAACAAGAAGAUGAUGAAUUUGAAAAUGAUGAUGAACUAGGUAAUCAAACUCAAGAGCAACGGCGACAGAUUGCUAAUGCAUGGAGAGCUAGCAUAGCUACAAAUAUGUGGACAGAUGCUAUGAGUGAGAGCAUUCAAAGAUGACAAAUAUAAUUAAUUGUUUUUACGGAUUGGAGUAUGCAAUUUGUGUUUGAAAAACUUUGAUAGUUAGUAUUUUGUAAGCCUUAACUUUCAAGAUUUUGGAUGCCAAUGUUUAAUUCACUUUGAUAGCUACUUGAAAACAUUGCAUGUGAACUUGGUAUUGGGAUUUGGUAUUAGUAGGAUGAAACUGAUUUUGGCUUGUAAAGGGAAGGAAAAUGUUGAUCAAAUUCUCUAAAAUUCUCUAACCCCAUGUAAAGAAUUCUCUCAUAAUUCAUGUGAAUUCUCUGGAAGUUAUAAUUAAUUCACUCAAAAUCUCUGGGAAUUCAUUUUUUUUUCCUCUCAAACUCUCUCAGAUUCCAUAGAUUUAAAUUCCUGGAGACUCUCAAAAUCCUAAUUGAAUACACUCCCCUCUCAAGAUCGUAGGUUUAAACGCAUGUAUAUUAUAUGCACAGCAGUCGGAUUGCCUUGAGGUUGCACGUGACCAUGAUGACCAUUCGCUAGAACUUAGGAAUGAGACAAAGGGCCUUAAGUGGAACUGCCACUUGUGGGAUGAGGUUGAAUGGAAAGUGAUGAACGAAGAUAUGUUAUGGCUUAGCCGUUGGAUCAUGGGGGAACAAUGAGUUGGAAUGCGGGGAAAGAGUGUGUCUUGCAAUCAAAGAGGACUAUGGUUUGCUCACAAAGGAGAUUGGAGUCCAGUUUGUGUACGAGCAGCAAAAUAAGGAUAAGGAGGAUGUCCCAUCAAGUGGUGAAGAUACAACGAUCCAACGUGAAAGAUCUACUUGGGAGUGGAGCCAAAGUUUCCUUGAAACCACAAGAUCCCGUGUUCCGGGGGGUGUAGAGACGGGGGUUCAAUGCAUCCAUAGCUGCGAUAAGAAAGUAAUUUCAACUGUCACGUGCGCGGCUGAAUACUAUUUCUGUAACAUUGACAGUGACAGGAUCCAUCUUCCGAGAGGCUCUGAGGCAGUGGGUCGUAGGUUUUCGGACUUUAGCCAAAAUUGUCGCCUUUUUAGCCAAAAUAACCCAGUUUAAUUGAUGUUGGUGAUGCCCAAAUCACUAGAUUCAAAUGUGUAUUGGUUGUUACGCUUUCGUUUCUAUCUAUUUUCUGUUUCCUCCUAAAAAAUUGUUUUCAAGAAUUUAAUAAAAUUUCAUAUUAAACAAGUUCUUGCCUGGAUAAGAGUAUGAACUAGCAAAAAUGCCCGCGCUCCGCUGCAGGGACUUUUAGAAGUAUGAUCUUGUACAAUCUGAUUUCUUUUGCUAUUCCUAGUUCUUUUUGGCAUCAUGUGCAAAACCAAAUUGAUGGCUAGGAAGAAAAAAUGAAAACACCUGCAUAAAUUAAAUUUUCCAUCACCCCUACAUUAUAAUUAAAUAAAGCAAAUACACAAUAAUCAUCUCACAAUUACAGAAGCAAGGACUAUUAAAUGCCACAAUUAUUUAACAACUACUAUGCAUAAUUCUUAAAAAAUGAGUAUAAAAUUAACCUCUUUUGAAAAACGAAGGAAGAAAGAUGAAAGCUUAUAACUAUGUUGGACUCAAUUAUUUGACAUUAAUUACACAAACCCAAUUCCAUAUAUAUAGCCAGACAAGCUUUAUCCUAGAGAGAAACCAUGCCCAAAUGAUUAUAUAAUCUCUAUACUGUGAAUUCAGAGACUAAAUUUCAUAACUUUGCCAAGCAUUACAGGAACCAUGGAAAGAAUAAAAAUGACCACAAAGAUUGCAAAACAAUUAACCACAGGUGGUGUUUAUAUGCCCACUGAGAGAAAAAAGCUUCUGCAAGUCAAAAAACGUAUUUAUAUAAAACAGGCCUGUACCAUUUGAAAGAGCCUCUUGUAUCCAUUCCAAUUAUACUCAUGUCUACCAUAUCCCUCUACAAUUCCACACCACCAAUCAACCAUAACUGAUUUCAAUACCCUUAGCUGCUUUAGUGGACCAUCUAGUGACACCUAACUGCCACCAAAAUAAAAGACAUGAUCAAGACCAUACAGAUUACAGACUAAGAUUAAAAACAAUUGUUAUCUAUUAAGCAAAACUCGAACUCCUUGACAUGGCAACCUCUUAAUCCAGGAUGUAGAGUAGAAAAACAAAAUUAUUGAAAAACCGAAAAAUAACAAUUUAACUUGCAUAGUAAACGAAUAUUAGUAAAGUUACAGAACUCAAUGGACUACAUAUACCAGUAAAAAAGCGAAACAUCAGUGUUUGGGAAGUUACCUUAUUUGAAAUGUCAGGAGCAUUUGGUGUACAUACAGGGUAGACAGUCCUUGCAAAAUUCAGGGCUUCAAAAUAAAAUAAAAAAUAAAUUCAAAACUAUUAAUCCUAACACCUGUUCAGUAAAGGAUAAAACAAUCUUUCCAUCAAACAAAUUUGAGAAACAAAAAAAGGGAACUAAAUUUAAGUUGAAUAGAGGUGACAAUUGCUUACCUAGAAAUCCAAACGAAAUCCCCCAAAAUUCACGCCCCCAAAACCCUACAAAACACUAGAGUUGAAAACCAGCGCUACACUGGGAUCAUCCACACAGCGACGAACUCCGAUCAUUGUCACCGAUCUCCAUCUCCUUCCAAAGCCAAAACCCUUUUAAGAAAAAGAGGGUAAUGAAUAUGAUAAAGCCAGUAAUGAAUUUUUUUUUGAAAAGAAACGAAAGAAUUUUAUAAAACGAAAGAAUUACAAAAGAGAAACAGUAAACCACGUGGAAAAGAAAUCCACCUGGAGCUAGAAGAAAACUAGCAAGGGCCCCUAACUAAAACUAAAUGAACAGAGGAAAAGCUAGACCAAAUCAAAUAACGGCAGCUAACAAAUCCCUAAAAAUAGAAGAGAAAUUGUAAUCUCUAAACUCCACUGAAACCGAAGCCCAAAGGGCUGCCCAGUGUUUUACUCUAUCCCAAAGCUCCUCAACCCCCACUCCCUUGUAAUCCUCAAAGACUCUUUUAUUACGCUCCAACCAAAUGUUCCAGAAGAGGGCCAACAACAGAGAUCCCCACAAAGUUUUGGCUUUCCUCCCUUUCCCUAGGCCUUCGAACUUAGUGCUUAGGAGCUCAAAACAGCCCUUUGGAGUGACCCAACUUGCUCCAGCUUCCUUGAGCAAAUUCCACCAAAUUUGAAUGCUAUACGGACAGUGGAGGAAAACAUGGUUGACGCUUUCCUCCCCGGAUUUGCACAAAGCGCACCAUUGGGGGGAGAAACAUGCAAAAGGCAUUCGUCUUUGGACUUGUUCACAAGUAUUAACCUUCCCGAGCGCCAAUAGCCACACAAGGAUUUUGACUUUUGGAGGCACUUUUGCUUUCCAAAUCUGAACGAAAGGGGGAAAUUGUUGCACAACUUCAUUGUUGCAAAGGAAAGAGUUAUAGGAUUUGCAAGUGAACUGGCCAGAACCUUCUAAAUUCCAUCUUCUCCUGUCUUCUCUAGAAUGACACAGCCGUACGGACUCCACCUUCUGCACUAAACCAGCCACAUCUUCAAUCUCCGACUCUCUUAGGUUUCUCCUAAAAUCGAAAUUCCAACUGACCGGCUGUAAAGAAGAAACCACCAAAUUGGAAUACUUUGGUUUUUUGUCCUUGCUAAAGAAAAUAAUCUAGGGAAUUGCUCCUUCAACGGUCCGCCCUCCAACCAACCGUCCUCCCAGAAUCUCAGCCUCUCUCCGUUACCAACCUCGAAGAUGCAUGAGUGAAGAAAUGAAGGGUAACCAGCUGAGAUGUCUGUCCAGGGACGCCUGCUCGAGCCUCGACUCGGACAAUUAGCAUCCCAACCAUUUGCCACCAGACCGUACUUGCUCUUUAUCACCCUAUGCCAAAGAGAGUUUGAUUCGCGCGGGAAUCUCCACAGCCACUUGGCUAAUAAGGCGGCAUUCCGAUUUCUCAAAUUUCCCAGACCAAGGCCACCUUCCUCCUUGCUUUUACACACUUUCUCCCACUUGACCAAGUGAAACUUCUUUCCUUCCUCAACCCCUUCCCAAAGGAACCCUUUCAUUAGCUUUUCCAAUCUCCCAAUGACCCCUCGUGGGGCUUUGAACAGGGACAUGUAGUAUAUGGGCAAGGAUCCUAGGACAGCUUGGAUCAAUGUUAAUCUUCCGCCUCUAGAUAAAAAAGCUUUAUUCCAACCCUGAAGUCUCAAUUCCACCUUCUCUACCACCGGGUCCCAGAACUUAAUAGAUUUUGGCUUGCCUCCGAGGGGAAGACCCAGGUAUUUCAUUGGCCAACUGCCCACCUCACAGCCCCAAGAACUUGCUAGCCUUGUAAUUUUCUCGCCAUUAGAAUUAAUUCCCACCAAGGAACACUUUGCUUUGUUAAUCUUCAAACCUGAAACCUUGCCAAAAAUUUGCAGCAAAUGUAAUAAAUUGUUCCAAGCCUCCUCAUGCCCUUCCAAGAAAAAAAUUGUGUCAUCCGCAGAUUGAAGAUGAGAGAUCUCCACGUUAUCUUGCCCAACACGCAGCCCUUUGAUCAAAUGAUUAUCUUGAGCCUUCUCAAUUAAUCUGCUCAGCACGUCUACAACUAGGGUGAACAAGAACGGAGACAGAGGGUCACCUUGUCUCAGUCCUCUUGAAGCUUUGAAUUUUCCCCUAGGUCUCCCAUUGAUCAGAACUGAGAAAGUAGCCGUGCAUAUGCAACCAAGCACCCAUUUUCUCCAUCUAAACCCGAAUCCCUUUCUCAGUAAUACUUCUUCCAAGAAUCUCCAAUCGACGUGGUCAUAAGCUUUUUCGAAAUCAAUCUUAAGAACCAAACCCUCCUCCUUCUUCUGCCUCACCUCUUCGACCACCUCGUUUGCUACGAGGACAGCGUCCAGAAUUUGUCUGUCUUUAACAAAAGCUCCUUGAGAUGGGGAAAUUGUACUGCCCAUGACAUUCUUUAGUCUUGUAGCAAGGACUUUCGCCACUACCUUGUAAAGACUGGUAACUAAGCUUAUAGGCCUAUAGUCCCUCAAGUGCACAGAAUCUGCCUUUUUCGGGAUUAGGCAUAUAUAAGUUUCAUUUGUUACUGUGUUUAUAAUCCCAUUUUCGAAGAAUUCUUCCAACACCUUCAUGAUAUCCGCCUUCAAAAUAUCCCAACAACUUUGGAACAUUUGCAAAGAGAAGCCAUCUGGGCCAGGGGACUUAUCAUUCCCACCAUCGAAAACGGCUUUUUUAACUUCGGCUUCCUCGAACGGCCGUUCAAGCCAAGCUGCCUCGGUGGCAUUAAUUGGACCCCAAUUAAUACCAUCCAGCCCCCAGCACUCCUCUUCGUUGCUACUGUACAGAGACUUGAAAAAAUGAAUGAUUUCAUUUUCAAUCUCCUCUACCCCUUCUACCAUUCUACCAUCUUCCACUUCCAAUCUCUCUAUAAAAUUUCUCUUCCUUCUCCCACUUGCUACCUUAUGGAAAAAUCUAGUGUUGCCAUCCCCGUCUUUGGCCCAAUCCACUUUGCUUCUCUGCCUCCACUUUACUUCUUCCUUCCAAGCCAGAUCUUCCACUAGGAAUCGGGUCUCUUCCCUCUUUCUUUUUGAAUCCGAGUCUAGACCUUCCCUUCCUUCUUUAAAGUCAAUUUCCUCUAAUUUGGCAUGGGCUUCCUUAAGAUUUCUCUCAAUGUCUCCGAAGACCUCCUUGCUCCAAGAUUGCAACUUCUUUUUAAUAAUUUAACUUACUGGAAAAUUUGUAUCCCUCCCAACCUUCGACUAUCGCAGAAAACCACCACUCUUUGAGAUUGUUUCUAAAAUCCGGAUGAUGUAGCCAAGAAUUCUCGAACCUAAAAGGGCCUGGCCCCCACGUCACCUUGUUGGUAUCUAAUUCGAUUGGGCAAUGAUCAGAGGUUACCCUUGCCAGAGCCUUUUGCCUUGCAUGUGGAAACGACUCCUCCCAACCACCAGAGAAUAAGAAUCUGUCUAAUCUUCAGCAAACUGUUUCUUCUCGAAAAUUAGACCAAGUGAACUGAGCGUUGAGCAGAUCUGGGUCAAUGAGUUCGGAGUCCUGGAUAAACUGGUUAAAAAUCCUCAUACUUGCAGUGGACCUUCCCCCAUUAGACUUCUCGUUUUCGAACCUCACCACAUUAAAAUCUCCCCCCACACACCAUCUUGGACUGCAAAGACCAUAAAGGCCAGCUAGUUCUUCCCAGAAAUCUUGUCUCUCCCUAUAUUUGCAAGGGCCAUAGACCCCUGAGAGCCACCAUUCCAAACCAUUCAACUCUCUAAUUUUGAUGGAAACUGAGAACACUCCUACUAGAGACUCGACAACUGAGAUAUGUUUAGUGUUCCACAUUACAACAAUGCCCCCAGAACUUCCUUGAGCAGGGGCGAAAACCCAUUCUUUAAAUCUGCUUCCCCACACACUUGCCACUAGCUUUCUAUCAAUUGUGGCCGUUUUUGUUUCUUGUAAAAUGAUGAUAUCAGCCCGUGCUCGGCGGAAGUAGUCCUUCAAAAGCACCCUUUUCCUUCUGCUACCCAAACCUCUAAUAUUCCAGCUAAUUAUCUUCAUUUAAAUUUAUCAAACCCCUUUUGCUCUUCCUUUUCUCUCCUCUUCCCACCCGCACCCCUGAGCUUUUACCAAGGAAUAAGGAUUUUUUUAGUGGCAUCAGCGAAAUCUUCAUGUUUGACAAAAAUUCGCUAGAUCGUCCAGUAGCCUCCCAUUUGUCAGAGACUCGGCCGGACCUUUUCCUUCUGCUAUAUUUAAGCACGUUGUUGUUGUCGUCAUUUUCCUUGGUUUGAUUUUGUUCGACUACCUCAAGAUCUUGUCUGUAAUCCCGUAGGGUACCCUCCUCUUCAGUUGCCGAAAUCAUUUCCUUGUCUCCAUCGGAGAAUAGAUUCUGCAGUAUACCUUCACCACUGUCAAUUGGAUCGAAAUUAGCCUUCUCAUCUUGGGGCGAAUCCCCGAGCUCAACUUCUGAUUCAGAACCCUGAGACCAAUCAUCUUCCUCAGCAAGGUAAUCGAAAUCCAGAGUUGGAAAAAAGUUUCUUGAGGAAAUAUUGCCGCUGACCGGUUCCAUCCUCUGUGCGGCAGAUGUUACACAAAGAGGAUUGUGACCCAUUAACUCCUCCAUCUCUUCGUCCUGAUCCGAAUCGUCAUCUAGGGAUAGAAGAUUAGAAGCACCGAUUUUCUUUGGCGUUUCUUCCUCGUUGAGGUUCAGCCUCGAUCCGAACUCUUUUGGAAGAACAAGUUUAAACCUUUUCUCUGCAUUGGCUAAGUCUCCGAAUUUCGCAAUAAAUUUCAGAUUGCUGCAAAUUAUAGUGGCUUCGAUUCCCUUCUCGUGGGCACGAAAGGUGCUUCUUUCUGAUGCCAUCUGGACUGUGUGAAACAGAUCUACAAACUGAAAAUUUGGCAUCACCAUUACUUCUUUUCCGUGAUGGAAUAACCCAAUUUCUAUCGCCAAUCACCCUUGCUGAGUGAUGAUUCACACACUUCCUCAUACUUGUUUAUGGGUACCUAUCCAACAAAAUUUUGACUUAGUACCCAAAAACUGUAUCAGCUCACGAACAGAUCAAAUUCAAAGCAGAACCCACAUAUUCUGAAGAUUCUAGAGUUAAAAGAGGAGCAAGGAGGUUCGGUUACGGAAUCCAAAACGCCAUUUUAAUGAGCAAAUGAAUACCUAAACUGGGGUUAACAAUUUUCAGCAAUAAAAAACAUGUCUUUCGAUCGAAGUUGCAUAUAUUACAGAACUUUGGGAUUAAGGAGGAACAAAAAGCCCAAUUCCAAUCAAGAAAAAUAAAAAAAAUUGUAUGUAAAUUUAAGCUUUACCUGUAGAUUGGCAGCAGCAAAAGCAUACUGGAUCCAACGGGAGCCACGUGAGAGAACUGGAUGCCCAGCCUUUGACACGUUAUCAAGUGAGUUUAGGGAUCUGGGUUUUGUGCUUGCCGUUGAAUUUUGGAACGAUCCGGAGAAAUUUGGGUUUUAUGGUUCUAAGGGUUUGAGUGAACCGAAAUUGAUUUGGAUGAGCAACUUUUGGUUUCGAUUCGCGGUGGAGCAAGGAUGAAGAGGUGGAGGAGGAAGGAAUGAAGGGGUGAGAAAAUUUGGAUAGGCAGUAUUCGGUUUCGAUUCGAAGUAGAGCAAGAAUAAAGCUCUUGGAAUUCUUUGAACCACUCUAUGAAUAGUAUGACCUGUGAGUGAUUGAUUGUGUAACAAAAAUUAGUAAAAGAGAGUAAGAGUUAUAUAUGAAACUAUAUCAUUGGAACCACUUUGUGAGAAGUUGUAGUACUAUGGUAUACUCACUAUGGUAUACUCACUUUGUCCUUCGGAUGAUUGAACUUGCACAUCGUACAAAUUUGCAUCUUUGAGUCUUCAUAAAGUACUGCAACAUGCAAAUGGAAAAUGAUCAAUUAACAGUUCAAGUGCUUAAAUGCAUUAUUUCUGCAAAAAGAAUAAACAAUUGAAGUGCUACUUACAGGACAAUCUGGUGCUCCAGGUCUCUCGGGAAGGACUUCAGUUGAGCAACGCCAAAGCACAAAUUCAAUGGAAAGAACCAAUGCAAUUUACUUGUGAUGUUAAGUUGAACAUCCGAUGCCUUGGAGAAAUUAUUGAGCAUCAAAUGAUAAAGCAAUCAGAUUAUAGUAAAUUACUAAAUGAUAUUUACAAAAAUAAAAAACAUCAAGUUAAGAGAACAAUGAAAAACUUAAGAAUUAGCCUUAGCAAAGUUAAGAGAACUUAAUGGUAAAAACAAAAAGCUAGCACUUACUCAGUCGCAUUACCUAGACGCUCUGCUAAAGGUACGGUGCCCACUAAGCUGAAGAAGAAGACCCAUCCCUAACAUAUACAAAGUAAUUGUCAAUGGAUUAGGGGUGAAGUCAAUCUAAAUUAUUGAAAGGAUGUGCAAAAAAGAAACCAUGUUGGACACAUUCUUACACAGAACAAGAAAAAAACUUAAAAACAUACACUUAAAAAGUAAAAAACAGGUAUGAAUAUUAAGUGAACCAAAAGCAGAACAAACCCCUAAAAGUGCUUCAGUUCAGGUGGGUUUUCUAGUAUUUUAUCAAUAAUAUCAGAUCAACAAAACCCUUGAUGCAAAUCCAAUCCGAUAUUGAAAACAGAUGAAUAUAAGAGAGGGAAAAAAACACUUUUAUUGGGCCUCAUAUUUACUGCGGCACAGAAUCCACUAUUCUCCAUAGCAAAAGGAAAAUACCGUAUUCUCAGCUUCAAUUUCUUGGAAAUUAAAUAAGGCAUUCACCAGCAUUCCCGCAUAGAAAUCACAUAAAGUGUAUGACCGAUUCACGAAAUUUCAAUUCAAUCUAACUAUCAAUCUAUAAGUGUGAAAUGACUGAUUCGUAUACAUACAUUAUUCAUUUAACCAAAUCUAAAUGGCUGUAUUGUAUAUAUGGCAGUUAACACACGUAUACGAAAGUGAAUGCACAAACAUACAUAACUGAACACAUUUGAACAUUUGAGUAGGAGGGAAUGUAUAAAAUUUGAUGCAUAUAAACAUAUGUACCAAGUAACAAACCAAUCCAUAGUUUCCCUCUUCAAAUAACAAAAUCCACAGAAACCCAGCAUUGAAAAUUCAAGGACACUCAAAAGAACUGUAAACGAAACCGAAAUGCCCAAAUCUCACUGAAGAAAAAGGAAAGAUUCCAAGAUUACACAAAACCCAAAAUAACACAAACAAAUCUCAAAGCAUUUCUCAAAAGGACAUAUUACAAUCAAAGAAAGUGAAAACUCUAAUAAAUUAGCUUAGAGAAUAAAUUACCUAGCAGAGAAGCCCAUUUUUUGGGAGCAGUUUAGCCACAUGCAUGUACCAACAUUGAAAACAAACAAAAAGUUCAUAAAAAAUGAAGAAGAAUCGAAAGAAAACGAAGCAGAAAGGAGCAUACCUGUACUCGUAGAUAUCAUCAAAGUACUUCUCGAAGUACCGGAUCUGACCCUGCUAUUUAAUCCCAAACCACGAUUUCAAGCAAAAUCUCGAACAGGGGUUUUCAAAUUUCUCAGCUUAAUCUGCGAAAUAAAGACUGUUUUCAAGAAAUUAAACAUAUUAUAUGUGCACUGCACACACUUGCGAACCGGCUUACUUAACUAAUAUUUUUCUAGGUCAAAUUUUAAUUAUUUGAUUCCUUGUAUCGAUAAUAUUAGAUGUAAAUACAUGCAUGUUUAUGGAAUUCAAUGAGAAAAACCAUAUACCUCAGUUUUUUCAGAUGAUCAGUCACCCUCCCCCCUAGUCCCUUGAACGUUAAAAUUCUCAUGAGCUUGCUUGUUCCAUGUCGUGCCUUACUCCCAUUCGGAUCCUUCUCUUUCUCCUAGUUGGAGAGACUGAUUCAAGCAAAAUCAAACAUUCAGACAACACAUCUCUCACUUGAUUGAUUGGUACCAAACGAAGGCCAUUGAUACUUAUUUGUAAUUUAAUUAAUAAAAAAAAUUAAACGCUUCAUAAAAUUAUACAAAAAAUUCCAGAAAUUUACGAAAAUAGAGAAAGAGGUUGUACAAAACCUACACAAAAAUUACUAAAUUCCAGAUAAAAUCAUACAAAAAAAAUCCAGAAAUUUAACGAAGAUAGAGAAAGAGGAAAAACCAAAUAUUUCAGCCCAGAUCCUUGAAGUUCUCGAGGACUUUGGACUUUGCCGGGUUGGAGAGAUAGUUUCUCGGAUCAGAAAGUAGGUGGCGUGGCCGGCCUUGGCGCUGGCCUCGACGAUAAACUUUCCGGUGCUGCCGAUGAAGAGGAUUUUGGGCUUGGUUACCAUCAGGAAUGGGAUUGGGGGGAAUCAGAAUGGGAUGUGUUGGAGAGAGAGAGAGAGAGAGAGAGAGAGAGAUUCAAAGUGGUGCAUGAAAGAAGAGGUGGAGAGUCGGUGAGGAGGAGAUUGAGCUCCUUCUGCAGUCGGCAAUCCCAGAGGAAAUCGAAAUGAAAGCACGCGGGAAUGGAGAGUUCGAGAGACAUCCACCAUCAAUAAGUGGAUAAAACACAGGCACAUAUGAAAUAACAAAAAAUAAGAGAGGGCAAAAAAGGAAAAACACUGUAGAAGUAACAGUGUUUUGAGUCCGCUAGGACACCAUGGGAAUUAACCUGAAAGUUACUUUUUUAGUAUAUACUAGCAAAGGCGCCCAAGCGUUGCUGCGGGGUUGAAAAUUGUAUAACACAUGUAGAAGUUCUAAAAUAUAUAUAUAUAUAUAUAUAUAUAUAUAUAUAUACAGUAAAUAAUACAGUUUACAUACAUUUGCAAAUUUAUUUACUACUCUAUCAACAAUAAGGAACAAAAUAAGUGUCCUGGGACGGAAUGAAGCCUAUGGUCAUAAAUUGUCAAAUUUCAUACAUGUCAAACUUCAUUUAAGAAACUGAAAAACUAUAAAGAAUAAAGUGAUAAACAUAUAGAGCCAAUUCACAAUAGGAAACCGUUGCUUCACUAAAUAAGCAGUACCAACAAAAUAAUGCUUUUUUUGCUGCAAAAGAUUAGAAAAAGGGAAACAAAAUAUUUAUUUCUAUUUUAUAUUAUGCGGAAAAAAACUUGGAAGAAGAAGCAAUAGUGAAAAGAUCAUAUUUAUUUCAAUUUUUUAGGCAGAGAAAAAUAAAACAAAAUACCCAUUUCAAUAAACAACCUAAAACCCAUUUCACGUUUGUGGGUUUCGAUAUUGCACAAUUAUAUAUGGGAAACAAAUGGCUGUUAAAAGAUUCCUAAAAAAAUUUCUACUCGUUUUCGUACAGUUUUUCUAGAGCCAAAUAGAAACCAACAAUGAAGACACAUUAUGAGAAAGUAUUGAUGAAAACACAGUGUACACAUACCUCCUUAAACCUUUCCUCCUUUUGCUUAGCCUGCAAUUGGAAUAGAUUAUGACUUAGGCAUAAACUCAGAAAUCGGUAAAGAAUGAAACCCAAAAGUAAAUUGCAGUUUCUUAUUAUCAUUUCUCUUAGAAAAGACUAACAAAAUUGUUUCUUAAAAAUUUAAAAUAACAAUAUGUAUAUAAGCAGGAUUGUGCUUAAUUUUCUCUAAUUAAAGAAAUGGUUUGCGCAAUUUAGAACCUAAUAUAACAAAAGCAUACAACAACAACAAAAGCCUUUUCCCACUAAGUGGGGUCGGCUAUAUGAAUCCUAGAACGCCAUUGCGCUCGGUUUUGUGUCAUGUCCUCCGUUAGAUCCAAGUACUCAAGUCUUUUCUUAGGGUCUCUUCCAAAGUUUUCCUAGGUCUUCCUCUACCCCUUCGGCCCUGAACCUCUGCCCCGUAGUCACAUUUUCGAACCGGAGCGUCAGUAGGCCUUCUUUGCACAUGUCCAAACCAUCGGAACCGAUUUUCUCUCAUAUUUCCUUCAAUUUUCGCUACUCCUACUUUACCUCGGAUAUCCUCAUUCCCAAUCUUAUCCUUUCUCGUGUGCCCAUACAUCCCAGAAGCAUCCUCAUCUCUCCGCUACACACCCAUUUUGUGUACGUGUUGAUGCUUCACCGCCCAACAUUCUGUGCCAUACAACAUCGCUGGCCUUAUUGUCGUCCUAUAAAAUUUUCCCUUGAGCUUCAGUGGCCUACGACGGUCACACAACACGCCGGAUGCACUCUUACACUUCAUCCAUCCAGCUUGUAUUCUAUGGUUGAGAUCUCCAUCUAAUUCUCCGUUCUCUUGCAAGAUAGAUCCUAGGUAGCGAAAACGGUCACUUUUUGUGAUCUUCGCUAGAUUGCUCCGGUCAUUAGUGUGAAUAAGUAUAUAAAUGGAUAGAGAUAGGAAAGCAAACACAAGAUGUACGUGGUUCACCCAGAUUGGCUACGUCCACGGAAUAGAGGAGUUCUCAUUAAUUGUGAAGGGUUUACACAAGUACAUAGGUUCAAGCUCUCCUUUAGUGAGUACAAGUGAAUGAUUUAGUACAAAUGACAUUAGGAAAUAUUGUGGGAGAAAGAUCUCGUAACCACGAAACUUCUAAGUACCGGAGUGUGGUAUCGUCUUGACUUGCCUUAUCUGUCUCAUAGGUAGAUGUGGCAUUCUCUGGAAGUACUCUUCCUCCAUCCAGGGGUGGUAUCUGUAACUGGUGGAGAUGCACAAGGUAAUGUAUCAAUUUCACUUGAAGCUUACUUGUAGUUUCAGGCUUGGUCAAGCGCGAUACAAACCAUGUAGUAGGAGUCCCCCAAGUCGCCGGGCUAGGGGAUCUGCUGAAAGAGGUGACAGACAAGGUAAGCAAUCAGAGCCUGCAGUGCCUUUUGGAAGCUUAGUCCUAUUUCGAAAAUCUACAAAGAGAACAAUUGUGAACCCAAAUUAAAGCUUUUUCUCUCACUCAAAAGAAAAAUAGAAACUCUAUACAACAACAACAACAACAACAACAACAAAGCCUUUUCCCACUAAGUGGGGUCGGCUAUAUGAAUCCUAGAACGCCAUUGCGCUCGGUUUUGUGUGAGAUUGUGCAUAAUCAAAAGGCUUGAAAACAAUUGAGAUUGUGCAUAUAGAAACUCUAUAUGGAAAAAAAAUUGAAAUUGUGCAUAAUCAAAAGUGGAUCAAAACUCUAAAUAGAUUAUCUUAACGCGUAGGAGAUCAUUGUUAGAAUUUGAAAACAAUUGAAACUUCAUUUUAAACACAAACUUAAUCAAUUGAUUUAUAUUUAAAUGGAAAGAAAGUAGCGGUCAAUUUUACCUAUCUUUUGUUUAGUGUAGCUCCAUUUCUAUCUUUGAUUAAAAGCUUGAAUUUUGACUUUUCUGGACAUUCUAGUGAACUUUGCCAAUAAAAGUUCAAAUUCUGAAACAAAAAAGUGAGUGGCGAACCUGAAAAAGUUCAAAUGACUUUGCCAAUAAAAGUUUUGAAGCAAUUCAUUUUUAGGAACAAAAAUCUGAAAGAGAACACAUGAAAGGGAAACCAACUUUAAAUUUCAUACUAUUUGGCAAAAAAGUGAGUGGCGAACCUGAAAAAGUUCAAAUGACUUUGCCAAUAAAAGUUUUGAAGCAAUUCAUUUUUAGGAACAAAAAUCUGAAAGAGAACACAUGAAAGGGAAACCAACUUUAAAUUUCAUACUAUUUGGCCCACACCUAACCCAUUCAAAAUGCACUGAAGAAACAAAGGUCAGGACUAUAGAACACGACAUGAACUUUUUCAAGUAUAUACGACAUGAACUUUUUCAAGUAUAUAGAAGUUUCGGUAGAUGUCUACUCAGCAGAACACAGAAGUAUGCAUAAUAAGAGAAAUUCCUUAUGCAAUUAGAAACAAUUUCAAAUGAGAAGCUCACUCUGGAGACUGAAAGUUGACCCCUUAACGUGCUCAAGUUCUCCACCAUUUUAACUUUUUCUUUCUCCACGCAUUUAAAUUCUUUCUCAACUUUUAAGAAGCCAUUGUGCAGUUUACUAUUGUAUUGUUGCAAGCUUGCCCUGCUCAGGAAAACACGGAAGUAAGAUUCAUAGAUACAUAAUAAGAGAAAUUCCUUAUGUAAUUAGCAACAAUUCCCCUUAACAUGCUCAGGUUCUCCACCAUAUUAACUUUGUGCUCCUCCAUGCACAAAUUCUUCAUCAACUGUUAAGAAGUCAUUGUGCAAUUUACUACUGUAAUGUUGCAAGCUUGCAAUGUAUUCUUGCGAUCGUUUGCACAUAUCAUUCACUGAAGUUAUUUGCAGAGUUCUGAAAAGAAAAUUUUUCAAAUUAAAACAUUUGUAAGGGAAAUCCAUACCUGUUGGCACGGAAGCAAAAGAAGGAAGGAAUGCAUAUUCUACUUUACCUUCUAAGUAACACUUGAAAGCUCUCUUUGAACUCUCAUGUGCCCUGCAGCCUGAUACACAUAUUAAAACAUUUAAUAAUGUAGACAACUUAACCAAGCUCAGCCACAUUGAAUAUCAAACCCACCUACAAACAAAAUGCUUCUGGAUCUCUUCAGCUGUUUCAGCUGGUUUCUUCACUCCUAUAACAUAAGGCCAAAAUACCCACAUCAAUACUACCUAAGCUCUGUAAUUCCUAUGGAAAACUUGUAUAUAACCAGCCUACUCUUUUCAAAAGGAAUUCGGUGUAUAAAAAAAAUGAGAAAUUCUAAAACUACGCAGCAGAAAUAAAGAAAAAACAAAAACUUACUAUGUCUUAUGACUCUAAUUCCAAUUGCCCUUCAAGCUCUCUAACUUUUGAACCACCAUGGUCAUACUGAUGAAUUCAUAACCAUGAAACCAAAAUCAUUACGUUGACAAAUAAACAUAACCAAAAACAAAAACAACUAAAUUUUUCAAAUGGGUAUCCCAAAAAUUCCCAGCCAAGUUAUCGAAAACUGAGCGACCUGUGCUGAGAGGGUGAUUGCCUUGGUCUGAAGCGUCUGCAGCUUCCUCUCCUUCUACCUCGCAGCUGAUUGCCUAUUAGCUAAAUCCUACAAAACCAAAAAAUUGAAAAACCACAAUUUCUCAUUCAAUCAUAUAAUAUCCACAAAAAUAACCCAAAAAUUCAACAUAAACACACAUAAAUAAAAAGGACGAUGAGGAGGAGGAUCAUAUGGAGAGUUUUCUGAGGGCUAAAAAGGACUUGGUGCUCACGCUGGCAUCGUAUGCUUUACACGCCGGAUAUGACUCCGAUGAGGAGGUAUAUGCGGCCGCCAAGGCCGUCGAUGCCGGGUUGUUGGAGUACGAUUCAGAUGAUAAUCCCAUUGUUCUGGACAAGAGGAAGAUCGAGCCGAUUCCAGCUCUCGAUCACAGUUCAAUCGACUACGAGCCGUUUAAUAAGGAUUUUUACGAGGAGAAAGAGUCGAUUUCAGGUAAAUUCCAACCGAACUGAGAAUUUUUUUUCUUUUUCAUUCACAUUUUUCAUUCUUGUGAAUUUAGUCGAAAUGCGUAGCAAAGUAUUCAAAGGGUCUAUUCAAUUGGAAUUUUGAAAGGGUUUUAAUUCUUUUAAUGGAUUUAGGGGUAUUCAAUCAAGAUUUUAAAUAAUUAUUUGAAAUUCAAGAUGUAUUCAAUUAGAAUUUUAAGAUAGUUUAUUAAAAUCCUUAGAAAUUCGGAUGUAUUCAAUUAGGAUUUUAAAGAAGUUUAUAACAUUUCAGGUGUAUUCAAUUAGAAAUUGAUUUAAAAGAAUUUGAGAAAGAUGAGGAAUUAGAGGGAAUUGGAGAGAUUUUAUAGUGUAUUUUAAGCAUCCACAAAUCUCACAUCUUCCCAUGAGAUUUCGAGGGAAUUGAAUCAAAAUUUUAUGUGGAAUCUCUACAAAUCAAUUAAACUUCAUAAAAAUCCAUAGAUUUAUAAAUCUAUGAAAGUCUCUCAAAUUCUCGAUUGAAUAGACCUCCUAAAUUUGAGUGAGAGAGAAUCUAGACCGGCAGAAGUUCUCAAGGAGACAUUUGAAAUGGAAGGCUAGAGUUAACUGGUGUUUUGUUUUCCUUGUUUAGGGAUGGGUGAAGAUGAUGUUUUUUAGUACAAGAAGAGCUUGGCCAUCCGUACGUCGGGUUUUGAUGUACCGAGGCCAGUUAAGACAUUUGAAGAUUGUGGAUUUUCUUCACAACUCAUGGCUGCCAUAAAAAAACAAGACUACCAAAAGCCGACACCAAUACAAUGCGCAGCUCUACCCAUAGUUCUUUCCGGGAGAGAUAUAAUUGGUAUUGCGAAAACUGGUUCUGGAAAGACUGCCGCUUUUGUCCUUCCAAUGAUUGUCCACAUUAUGGAUCAGCCAGAACUUCAAAAAGAAGAAGGUCCCAUUGGAGUGAUAUGCGCUCCUACUAGAGAGCUGGCGCACCAAAUAUACUUAGAGUCCAAAAAAUUUGCGAAAUCACAUGGGAUACGUGUCUCUGCUGUAUGGUGGAAUGUCUAAGCUUGAUCAGUUCAAAGAACUUAAGGCAGGAUGUGACAUAGUUGUUGCUACUCCUGGGAGAUUGAUAGACAUGCUUAAAAUGAAGGCACUGACAAUGCAAAGGGCAACUUACCUAGUACUUGAUGAGGCUGAUCGGAUGUUUGACCUAGGGUUUGAGCCUCAAAUUAGAUCUAUUGUUGGUCAGAUUCGGCCAGACCGACAGACAUUGCUCUUUUAUGCGACAAUGCCCCGUAAAGUUGAAAAAUUGGCUAGGGAGAUUCUCUCAGAUCCUAUAAGAGUUACAGUGGGUGAGGUGGGAAUGGCCAAUGAGGAUAUCACUCAGGUUGUUCAUGUAAUUCCUUCUGAUGAUGAAAAGCUGCCCUGGCUUCUUGAGAAGUUACCUGGAAUGAUUGAUGAGGGUGAUGUUUUAGUAUUUGCUUCAAAAAAAGUUGCAGUGGAUGAGAUCGAGUCACAGCUUGCUCAGAAAGGUUUUAAAGUCACAGCUCUGCAUGGUGACAAGGACCAGGCAUCUCGGAUGGAUAUUUUGCAAAAAUUUAAAUCUGGCAUUUACCAUGUUCUUGUUGCAACUGAUGUUGCUGCUCGUGGUCUUGACAUCAAGUCAAUUAAGUCAGUUGUGAACUUUGAUAUUGCAAAGGACAUGGACAUGCACGUCCAUCGAAUUGGUAGAACAGGUCGGGCUGGUGAUAAGGAUGGCACUGCGUACGCUUAUUGCACAGAAAGAGGCACGUUUUGCUGGUGAGUUGGUUAAUAGCUUGGUUGCUGCUGGUCAGAUUGUCUCCACGGAGCUCAUGGACCUUGCGAUGAAGGUAAUUUUGCAGUACUAUUAACAAUUUUUUUUGUGGUUUAUAUAGCGAGUUUAUACAUGCAUCCAACUACCUGCCUUUUUGUUUUAGAGAUGGUGGUUAUAACCAUAGUUUGUAAUCCUAUAAUGCAUUUAAGGCGAAUACAAGUUAUUAAUAUGUUCUCUGGUAAAACGUGCUCUUUUAAUGCAAUCUAGAUUCUGGACAAUUACACCUACAGGUGUUUGUCUCACAAAUAAACUACGUUACUUUCACUCUACUAUAUAGGUGCAUAGGUUGCUUCUGAUUUAGAGUGGGCUUUCGAGAGAGAUGGAUUUGAUGACCAUUUGGUCUUCAAGGCCUUAUUUUGGAAAGCUUCAGUUUGUCCUUGGAAUUACAGCGAUUUUGAGAUCGUUGACUUCAUAAUGUCAAGAUAGUCAAUUUCAGGAAAAGUGCUUAGUUUAGAGAGAGAGUAAUUAGACAGUCUUUAGUAGUCCCAUCUUUACUUCGUACCAUGCUUUGCAUAGAAAAGGGGUUUUUGGGGGUGUAUGUUGGCUUGUGUAUUGAAGCAUAGAGAUGAAUUGAAGAUGAAGCUCAGUCUGGGGACUUAUUAGCUUUUUAUGUAUUAUUAAGUUCUUGCUUGCAUUCUGGGCUACCAAUACAUCGGUUGAGGCCAACCAAUUUGCAUUAAAGAACAAAGAGAAAAAUUGCAUUUUAAGUACUAAAUCUUAAUUACCACAUGGACCCUUAGUAAAUUGUCACUUAUUUUCCCUUGUGCCAAUAUAUCUCAUAUACAUAAAUGCACAGCUUAUCAUGAUAGGUGGCUGCACCUGCAUUAGUUUUAGAAGUUUUACACUAUGAGAGCCACUCAUGCAUCAUUUCUUCAGUCUUGCGACUUUUAAUUCUUGCUUGCUGCUUGUAGCUUUGUAUUUCACGUCCCUCAUAAAUACACUGGUUUCCAUCUCCUACAUGGAUGUACAUCUUUAUAGUUAUUUUGGGUGCACCUCGUCUGUGGAACUUUUGUUGCUUUCCCUUACUAUGUUUCUUGUUUGAUAGCUUUAGAUGUUAGCAUGAGAUGUCAGAUUUCAGAUCUUACAUUCUCUAUUUUAAUGGGAUUUACCUUGUUUAUUAUCAGGAUGGUAGAUUCAGGUCAAAACGCGAUUCAAGAAAAGGAGGUAUAAACUUUAAUCAUACUAAAAUUUCAAUUUUCUUAAGAUUCUUUUGCAGUUUCAUAUUAAAUUAGCCUUUUUCUGUAAUUUCAAAUGAUGAUAUUUAUGGAUUCUGCAGGUGGAAAGAAAGGUAGAGGAAGGGGCGGCGGUGGUCGAGGUGUGCGUGAGGUGGAUUUUGGUCUGGGUAUUGGAUAUAAUACGGAGUCCAAUAGUUCUUCAUCGAAUACUGUUCCUAGUCGAUCUGCCGCAGAAACUCCUCAGAGGACAGGAAUGAUGUCUCAGUUCAAGACUAAAUUUGUUGCCGCUUCAUCUAACUCUCCAAGUCAAGGUUCAGGUAACAACUCUAGUGUGCCCAACAGACCGGCAUUACGAGGAUUUGUAUCCGAUGGUUCAAUCGGUGGGGAUGUAUAUAGAACUCAGACAGCCAGUACAAUUACUCCUGGUCCUCCUACAUCAGUGGUAAAUAAAACUGCUGCUCGGAACACCGGAGCAAAUACAAGUCAGAAGGCCUCCGAAAGGUUAAUAAAAUUGAUGCUCGGUUAGAAUUUUCAAUGUCUUUACGUAUUUGAUUGGUGCUGAUCAGUUUCAUUUGUGUCUUUUGCAGUUCUAGAGACAAACCUAGAGAAAGGCGGCGGCGCUCCGGUUGGGACUGUUGACCGUCCAGUUGAACUCCACCACUCUCACAUCGUGAAUGACGAGUUUUGUAUCUUUUGUAGAUUAAGGCCUGAUAUGCCUGUAUUAUUGUUGAACUUGGUCACUUUCUUUGUCGCUGUGUUUUAAGUUAAAAGAAAUAUAAGAGUUUGUAACUUGCUGCACAAAUAGUAGAUGGCCUAAAAGAUAGUCGGUUUAAAUCAUUAAAUACAUUAUAAAGCGGGCCUCACAAAAAAGUGUCAAAAGUUGUGUUAAAAAAUGUGGUGUUUCACAUCUCUGCUCCAUAUGUUAUUUUUAUUGAUCACUUCGAAUUACUUCAUAAUUCAACAAUUGGUACUGUUCCACUUCUCUUCCUCUCUCCCUUGGUAUACAUAAUAUCAUUUGUUCAAAAAAAAAAAAAAACAAUUGGUACUGUUAAUAUAAUACAAUAUGGCUUUGUUCGAUGUCAAGGAUUGGAUUGAUUUGAUUGGCUUAGUGAUAGGAAUUAUAACGCACCACAAAGUAGCACACAAUAAUCCUAUUGAUUUUCCUUAUUAUCACUAAAUUUGUCGAUUGUAGCAUAUGAAAAUAAGGGUCUUUUCCGCAGAAGAUUGUUUUAGCCAACUACUUAAAAUGUCACAAAAACGGGGUGGCUAUCUCCAUUGACCAGCCACUGAAAAUAAUUAUUAAACUGACUUAUACUCAUCCAAAUGCAACGAAAUUUUGUACAUAUAAACUAGACACACCGAGCUAUGUUCACACAAAUUUUUGGGAUUUUUGGAUUUGAUUAGCUAUUUAAAUUAAAUCGCACAAAACAGAACAACACAAAUUUUAAAUAAUACCAAGAAAUUUUAAUUCACAAAUUAAGAAAACGAGUUAGGGGAAAUGCUAUCCACCACCAAAUAAUCAUGCAAGCAUGUUAUGUUUCAUUAAAAUUCCUUUUAUUUCUGGAUGAAGAUGCUCAAGUUGGCUCAAUGUUAGAACUCAAUCUAUUACUCUUUCUUACGUAGUAUGUUAAGAGAAUGGCGUUUUCAACUUAACUUAGUCCCUAGCAUGCAAUCUAGAAUGGCGUAUUCAUAGAUUUAACAAGUAGAAAUCAUUAAGAAUAAAAAGAGUUUGAGUCAUCACAAGGCAUCGUAAGUACUGGUGUUGUCUUACUUAUCCUAGAAAUCGUUUCACAUGUUAACCACAAUUAACAAGUGCUACUCUAGAACAUAUGUAGGUCCUCAUUCAACAAGGGCAGGCACACAUAUAUUCAUAGCAUUAAAAUCCUAGAUAUGCUCACUAUGUAUGCAUCCAUAGAAACACAUAAAGAAUUUAUCAAUGACAUAAGUAGUGAAACAAUUUUCAUCCUUUCAUAAAAGUCAUUCAAACAAAAUAUCACAACAAACUUACAAUCAUAUUCGGGGCUUCAAAACAGCCCCUAACUACUAAAAAUUAGUUACACAUCAUUAUUUUCAAAUUAAACCAAAAGUUAAACAUGAGUUUGAGACAAUAGAACCGAAAUAGAAGAGUGCAGAGGUUUCCUCUUUCCCUUGCCAAGCUUGCAGUGCAGCUUAAGCUCUCUUUUUCUAUUGACAGCUAGGACAGUAUGGGAGAGAUAAUAUUGACAGCUAGGACAGUAUGGGAGAGAGGAAAUAUGACAGUAUGGAGAGAGGGAAUAUUGCUCGUGAAAAGGAAUGUUGUAUAUUCCUUGACAGAUAGACAAUGCUGUAUGGGAGAAAGGAAUGCUGCUUAUUUUUUCUCUAGUUGCUGCAUCAUGACAGCAAGCACAACACCUGUAUUGCUUUUCUUUAUUGCAUGCGUGUAUGUAAAAUGCAUAUAAACAAUGCUGCCGUUGCAGCAGAAUGAAUAAGAAAGAAACAACAAAGUUGAAACCAAAACAUCAAUAUGGUAUCAGAGCAGGAACCAUAGGGUCCUGCCUCUGUUGAUUAUCCUUCUAGCUUGUUCUUCUUCCUCUGUUCAUCAUUUGUUGUGAUGGCAGAAGAUAUCUCAUUUAGUUAUGAGGCUACAAGUCCCUCAACUCUAACACCAGCCAACAUGAUACACGGGGAGAGCAACCCACGACUGUGCUCUGUGUUGUUGAAUGAGUUCAACUACUUGCCGUGGUCACGAGCUAUAUCUCUUGCCCUAGGAGGAAGAUCGAAACUAGGGUACGUAAAUGGAACCAUCAAGCCUCAAGAGUCUUCCUCAGCUACCUUUGAUGCAUGACACUCAAAUGACCAGCUUGUUAUGUCCUGGAUACUUAACUCGAUGGAGCCCAAGUUGUCCGGGAUCUUCAGCUACUCAGAUUCUUCACACAUCUUAUGGGAAUCGAUCAAGGAAAUGUACGGCAGUCAACACAAUGCUGCUCGUGUGUUUGAACUGAAGAAAAGCCUCGCUGGGCUUAAGCAAGGUGAUCAAACUUUCAUUCAGCAUCUUGGAAGCAUGAAAUCUAUGUGGAAUGAACUUGAUCUAUACCGUCCACACACCACUGAAUCCGCUGUACUCUUGAAAAGGGCUGAUGAAGAUAAAGUGUUCCAACUAUUGGCAAGUUUGGGAGUUGAGUAUGAAGACUUGCGUAGCCACUUACUAAUGAAUCCUAAGCUACCAUCUUUCGUCAACGUGUGUCAUGCAGUCCAAAGAGAAGAAACUCGAAGGAAAGUAAUGCAUGUUGAGCCCCGGUCUAGCCCAAAAGCUAGGGUUUUCACUAGUAACCACAACUUCACUAGUGAAAGGCCUUUUAAUGGAAGGAAAGCUGACUGGAAAUGCACAUACUGCAACACCAAGGGGCACGUACGGGAAAAAUGCUGGAUUUUACAUCCUGAGUUAAAACCUAAGUUUAACAAGGAAGGAAAAAUGAUUAGGGAUGGGAAAGGGUUUGCGCCUAAAGCCUUCCAAUCUCUGAGUUGUCCAUCUAAUGAGAUGUCAAACUUCACCUCAAACCCUAUCUCCCUGAUCAAUGAGUUUGCCGCCUUUCUCCAAAAGAAGAGUGAUAUCGCUGAGGGUAACAAUGUCACCACGGAAAAUCCCACAGAAAUGCUUGGAAAAUUUGCUGGUUUUUUGGCAAAUUCAAACACCACUAAAUUCGGCAAUAUCCCAGGUAUCAUUUGUGCACUUUCCACGGCUCUCAAUGUAUAUCUCACACACGAUUUUUAGAUUAUAGACUCAGGUGCCACUGACCAUAUAACCAACAAACAAGCUUGUCUACAUGAGUUUCAAAAAUUACCUAAUCAUACUCAUGUGUCUGUAGCGAAUGGGAAAGGGGAACCAGUUCUAGGAAAAGGAAAAAUUAAAUUGAUGGGGAGUGAUGUAGAGUCUACGGCACUAUAUGUACCCUCAUUUCCAUUUCAACUUCUGUCCAUAGGAAAAAUCACACAUACUUUGAACUGUCUUGCUAUUUUUUCUCCUCACACAGUUGUAUUUCAGGAUCGAGUCACUCAGAAGAAGAUUGGUGAGGGUUUUUUCUUAAAUGGUCUGUACUACCUCUCAAAGGAGUUCAAUCAAGUUAAGGAACCCAUUGUCAACCUAAGCCAUGUCCAGAAGCAUCAACUUUGGCACCAACGCCUAGCUCAUCCCUCCGAACCAGUAAUGUCUAAAUUAUUUUCCAAAUUAUUGUACCAACACACAUGAGUGUGAGAUCUGUCAAAUGUCAAAAGCCACUAGGCUACCUUUUGUACCCUCUAAAUCUAGAACUAGUAAACCCCUUGAAGUUGUACACUCAGAUAUUUGGGGACCUUCCCGUGUUGAGUCAUUUGAUAGGUACAAGUAUUUUGUUACAUUCAUAGAUGACUACUCUAGGGUUACUUGGUUAUAUCUCUUAAAGUCUAAAAGUGAAUUUUUUUUACAGCUUUUCAAGACUUUCAUAAGCUAAUAACCAACCACUUCUCCUCAAAAAUAUGUACCUUACGGUCAGAUAAUGGCACCGAGUAUACCUCCAAUAAUCUGUCAAACUACUUAAGCAGUCAUGGUAUCUUGCAUCAAACUAGUUGUGUAGGUACACCACAACAAAAUGGUGUGGCCGAACGCAAGAAUAAGGAUUUAUUGGAGAAAACUAGGUCUCUUAUGUUUCAGAUGCAAGUUCCCAAGAGAUUCUGGUCCCAAGCACUCCUUACUGCAGCCUAUAUCAUUAACAGACUUCCCACUCGUGUCCUGAAUUCCAAAUCACCUUUUGAAGUUAUGAAGGGAAGAACUGCUGAUUUAACUCAUUUCAGGAUUUUUGGGUGCACGUGUUAUGUUCACGUUCAAGCAAAUCAUCGUGAUAAACUCGAACCUCGAGUUAUCAAGUGUGUGUUUAUGGGGUACUCGAGUUCUCAAAAGGGAUACAAAUGUUAUAACCCACACACUGGGAAGCUGGUUGUCUCUAGGGAUGUACGGUUUGAUGAACACGUUCAUUUCUUCAACAAUCACUCCCCAAAUAGUUCUCAGGGGGAGAGUCUAAUGGAUAUUUUUCCACUACCAACUCUCGCUGAAAUCCAUACAGACACCCCCCCAGUGAUCCUCCAGUUGAUGAGAUGGUCAGUGAAGAUAUACCUCGUGCCCCAGCACCAGUUGUUGCCACACAACCAAUUGUAGCAACACAAAAAAGGAAUCCAACUCGCGAUCGCAACCCUCAUCGACGGCUACAAGAGUACAUCACUUACAGUGCAAGGCAUCCCAUUUCUGAAGCUCUCACUUAUCACAAACUGUCAGCAUCUCAUGCAUCAUUCCUAAGUCAGUUGGCAAACAAUGUUGAGCCUAAAAACUUUCAAGAAGCAGUAUGUAUACCUGUGUGGAGAGAUGCCAUGCAUGAUAAGCUCAAAGCACUGAACGAAAAUCAAACCUGGAGUGUAGUAGAUCUUCCCAAAGGGAAGAAAGCCGUAGGGAGUAGAUGGAUUUACAAGACCAAAUUCAAUUCUAAUGGUACCAUUGAAAGACACAAGGCCCGGUUGGUUGCACGGGGUUUCACUCAAACUUACGGCAUUGACUACAAGGAGACCUUUGCUCCCGUUGCCAAAAUGAACACAGUGAGGGUGUUGUUAUCAGUAGCAGUCAACCACGACUGGCCCUUGUUUCAAAUGGAUGUUAAAAACGCAUUUCUUCACGGUGAGCUUCAAGAAGAGGUGUACAUGAAGCUACCUCCAGGACACCCUCAAGAAAAAGAACCUACCAAAGUCUGCAAGCUUCAUAAAGCUAUAUAUGGACUUAAACAGUCUCCUCGAGCUUGGUAUGCCAAACUAAGCUCUGUUCUUGAAGUGGCAGGGUUCAAAAGGAGUCAUGAUGACUCAUCUCUCUUUGUUCGAAGUGGUGUCCAAGGGAAGCUUGUAGUUCUUAUAUGUUGACGACCUUAUCAUCACGGGGGACAACAUGGAUGAACUCGAGGCUCUUAAAAGGUCGCUUCACCAACAGUUUGCCAUUAAAGAUUUGGGAUCCUUGAAAUAUUUUCUGGGUAUUGAGAUGGCUACCUCAUCCAAGGGUUUAUUCUUAAAUCAAAGGAAGUAUGUUCUUGACCUUCUUGAUGAAGCACAUAUGGUCAACUGCAAACCUGCCCGCACCCCACUUGCUAGCAAACUUCAACUGGAUGCUCCAGGUACCCUUCUUUCAAAUCCUAAUGUGUAUCAACGCAUGGUUGGGAAACUCAUUUACCUCACUAUCACACGGCCUGAUAUUGCUUACUCCGUAAGCCUUAUCAGUCAGUUUAUGCAUUCUCCUACAUUGGUUCAUUGGGAAAUUGUCAAGAGAAUACUUCGAUACCUCAAGGGCUCGAUCGGCAGAGGCAUACUCAUGCAGAAAAAUGAGUCUAAUCACAUUCUGGCCUAUACCGAUGCGGAUUGGGCUGGUAAUUCCCUUGAUCGAAAAUCCACCACAGGUUUUUGUACCUUUGUAGGUGGAAACCUUGUCACCUGGAAAAGUAAAAAACAAACAGUGGUUGCACGGUCCAGUGCUGAAGCUGAAUAUCGGGCCAUGGUAGCAACAGCUUCUGAACUCAUCUGGUUGAAGAGUCUCCUUCUUGAUCUUGGCUUCACCAGUAAGGAACCCAUGUCCUUAUUCUGUGACAACCAGGCUGCCAUGCAUAUUGCAUCCAAUCCUGUAUUCCAUGAACGGACUAAACACAUUGAAGUUGACUGCCACUACAUCCGCACUCAAGUUCAAUCCAAAGUCAUCGAAACUGUGUACACUAGAAGUCAUGAUCAACUUGCGGACCUUUUCACGAAAGCUCUUGAUUUUACACAGUUUCAACGGUUAUUGUUCAAGCUUGGAUCAAUCAACCCCCUUAAUCCCGCUUGAGGGGGAGUAUUGACAGCUAGGACAGUAUGGGAGAGAGGGAAUAUGAUAUUGACAACUAGGACAGUAUGGGAGAGAGGAAAUAUGACAGUAUGGAGAGAGGGAAUAUUGCUCGUGAAAAGGAAUGUUGUAUAUUCCUUGACAGAUAGACAAUGCUGUAUGGGAGAAAGGAAUGCUGCUUAUUUUUUCUCUAGUUGCUGCAUCAUGACAGCAAGCACAACACCUGUAUUGCUUUUCUUUAUUGCAUGCGUGUAUGUAAAAUGCAUAUAAACAAUGCUGCCGUUGCAGCAGAAUGAAUAAGAAAGAAACAACAAAGUUGAAACCAAAACAUCAAUAUUUUCCUUCUGCUCUUCUUUUCCCUUCUGCUCUCUGCACUUCCUCUUCUUCUAUCCGUCUCUCCCUCUUUCCUCUUCUUUCGUUUUUGUUCUUCUCCUCUGCUCUGUCCGUUUCCUCUCUUCUUUAUAUUUUUUUCUUCUUUCUUCUUUUCUUCUUUCUGUCCUUUUCUUCUUUUCCUUUCUUUGUUUUGUUUUCUUUCUUUUCUUAUGUAACCCCCCCUUUUCUUCUACAAACAUCAUUAUGAAUCAUGAUGAUGUUUCAAACAUCAUCAUGACUCAUCAUUAUCUUUUUUUUUAAUUUAAUUUAAAAGCUGAUCUACACAGAGACGAAUUUAUUACAUAAAAUUUCACUUGUUCUAUUUUUAUUUUCUUUGCUAGACAAAUCCUAUAAUACGCAAAAACAAAGUAAUAGCUCAAAAAUAUAAGGAACUAACUAAUAAAAGACAAAUGAAAUUGAUGUAAAAUAUAUAUAAAUAUGAACUUAUCACUUAGCUUGAAAAAUCACAAAAUUCAGUGAAUAAAAAUACAGAUUGUUUAUUUUGUCCAAAUGAAGAUGGAAGAGAAAAAGAAACAGACUAGUAUAACAAAUAUUUACGGACCAUGCAUCGAUUAUUAAUUACACCUAUACGUCAAUUGAUAAUUAUAAUUUUUGUUUUUAAAUGUUAUUAUCUCUUAAAUAAAUAACCAUGUUGUUUUUAUCUCCUCAUCCUAUGUUACGUGUCGAAUUCGUGUGAAGUCUGGCGGGACAAGAGAUGACUUUGAUCACCAUGAGCUCCUUUCCAUAGCCAUUUUUCUUUACCUUGAGCCCCUUACACAAAGUCCGUUCUUAAGAUCUGGAGUUUUCUCUCAAUGGCUGCUAAAAGUUCCCGAGAUUCUUCUUCGUCCUCUUACCGGUGUUCCGCCUUCUUGAGUUUCAGAGGCAAGGACACGCGCAAGGGGUUUACUGAUCACCUCUAUAGAGCCUUGGAGCUAGCAGGAAUCCACACGUUUAGAGACGAUGAUGAAAUCAAGAGAGGGGAGAAUAUUGAGUCGGAGUUAGAGAAGGCGAUACAGGAGUCACAAGUAUCCAUAAUUGUCUUCUCCAAGGACUACGCUUCCUCAAGGUGGUGUUUGAACGAACUUCUGAAGAUCGU